UCUCUCCCUUAGGUGGUUUGCCAACUGGGGUUGGUGGCUUGUGUUCUGGGAGUGGCUUCUCCCCCUUGGGAGGUUUUUCCAAUGGGGUUGGUUUGUGUUCAGGAGGUGGCUUCUCCACUGGAGGCUUGUGUUCAGGAGGUGGCUUCUCCACCGGAGGCUUGUGUUCAGGUGGUGGCUUCUCCACCGGAGGCUUAUGCUCUGGUGGUGGCUUCUCGAAUGGGGGAUGCUUAGGAUAAUCAGCAAGUGAGGGGGCGGUGAGAACCACCAGGCCAAGCAACACCACUAGCAAAUAUGUAGGAGACAUCUUUGGGUUUGGGCUCAGAUGGUGCAAAACUAGGAGAAUUGGCUAGCCUUUUAUAGCGGAUCGUACCCAAUAAUGAAAUGACACGUGUCAUUAUGACCCAUGUGUAAUGGGGUCGAUUUGGGUCCUACAGUGUUGAAAACUUCGACAUCCACUUUUGGCCUUUUGCUUUCUCUACAGCCGCCUUGCUUUUUCCCUCUUUCCUUUUGUUUUCCUCCUGCCCCAUUCUAUCAACUAAACACAAUUAUGUAGUUGUUUAAUUCUUAAAUGAGAUAUUAUCCGUCAAUCGUAUUAUAUUUUAUCAAGAGAGAACGGAGUGCAAUGUGGCUGUAAUUUUAUCGUUUAGUUUUAUCUCUUGGACCACUGCAUUUUUGUUAAGAGGUGCAAUAAUACACGUCUUUAUCUGCCAUUCAAUAUUUACAGUAAAGAGAGGGCACAAAACUCUUCACUUCGCACCAUAAUUAUUUUGUUUUCUGGACACCCCGGGGCCCUUUGGUUGGUUUGGGGGUCAGAAAGUGAACAUCAUAGGGGGUUUUUCCCUUAUGUGCAUUUGUAUCUGAUGGCUUUAACUCGCCUUGUUACUACAAAGAAACUGUCACAGAUAGGAACUUAUUCCAGGCUGAGUAUCUCCUCAUAGACCCUAUAAAAGAAGACAAGUCAUAAUGAACAUCUAACCUUUGUUCAAUUUGAUUCAAUGCCCCCAUUGUGUCCAUCUCACAAAUCUGAAUUAUUAUAUCCAUUGAAUACAUAAAUUAAUGAAGAAAAUAUGAAACCCAAGAUACAUCUCUGCACAACCUCAACCCUGGUUGCUAUGUUUCCCUUCUAUUCACAUGAUUUGAUGCUAAUUGCCAAACUUGCAACAAGCCCUGAGUUUGACACCUAGUAUCGAUGGGCGAAUUUAAAGUCUCCUCCAAACAUAUAUUCCACAGCUUGAAGCUCACAGAAGAUGUUACAGGCAGGGAAAAACCUUCAGAGUUCGCUACCAAAGAUAAUUAUUAAGGAGAUAUCACAAAGAGAAUUCCAAGGGGUCUGAAUCAAAGACAAAUUGGUCGUUCGUGGGGGUUCUUACUUUCUUUUGGGUAUAACUCACUGAGGGCACUGUCUUUGUUAUUUGCAUUUCACAUUUAGAGUUCUGUUCUGGAAACAUAUAAAAGGAGCAUCAUUUUGUUCUUGGGUAACCCAUAGUCGUGAGUGGGUCCAUUUGCAUGCUACUUAGUUGAAAAGUUGGACCAUUUGCUCCGACGCCUACCUCCCGGAUUCCAUGCUCGGAUAAAACAAGAAUAAAAAAAAUAUUUAUAAUUUACAAAUGGGGGAAAGAAAAAAAUGUCAACAACAAACCAGGAAAAAAGAGUAGUAAAAUUCAUGUCACAUGCUAGUGAGAGAAGGGGUUGUUACACUCACUCGAAGUUCUUUCCAAAAUAUCGCAUGGUAUUUUAUUUUAUGUGUCAGCGCAGUUGUGAAUGGAACGUGCAAAAGUCCAAAUUGGCGUUUUUCCUUUUCCCGUGUAGGAUGGCGACCUUUAAUAAAUAUUUAAAACAAAAAACGAAAAAAAGGAGGGAAAAGGGAUCAGAAAAGAUAAAACAAUGUGUACAAGAGCUCAAUUAGUUUGCAAAUUACUGUUUGGAUUUUGAUAGUAUUUUAUUUGUCCAUCUAUAUUUGAUGGAAAAGAGAAUUUAAGAUAUUUCUGAAACAAAAGCAUUAGUGUAAAACUAAAUUAAGGUAUAAUUAAGUUAGUUCAAUGCAUUAAUUUAAGAAACUUGAUCUAUCCAAAGUACAAAAUUAGAUGAAAUCCAUUUCAAUGGUUAAAAUGAUCAAAAUCAAACUUUUUCUAAGUAUUUUUUAAAAGCAUCAAUAUUAAAAGACAAUUUUAUAUUUAGUCGGAGUUUGGACAAAACCAAAAAGCACACAAAAUCCAAGCGACCAUCUCUAGCUUGGAUAGUCACUUGAUCCCACCUAGAGAUGUGCAUGAGUAAAAGGAUUUGAAAAUGGAAAUUGACUAAAUAUUUAGUUGAUCAAUUAAAUUUGCAAUGUCAUAUGCAAUCCUAAUAGCUAGUCAUCUAAUCAAUUAGGUAGUCAAUCAAGUGUUUGUAAUGACUAUUUUGUACAAAAAACCACAUGUAUAGUUAAAUAUAAUGCAUUUCAUUUAUAAAUCUUCUAAUUCUUGAAUAACGAUCCUAUCAUCCUUUGAAAAUUUUUAUUACACCUUUUUUACUUUUGUUCUAAAACUUACAUAUCACCCUUAAUUGUACCAUGAGAACCUAGCUAUUUUUUUUUUUUUUGUAAUUCAUCAAAGUUAGCUUUUGUAUUCAUUGUUGUAUUAUUUUUAGUAUAACUUAGAAAGCUAGUGUUUUCAAGUGAGUAAAAUUAACUUGUAAAUAUUGUAAAGAUUCAUUGAUAUGUAUCUUAAACUAAGUGUACAAAUUAAAACAUUUGCUAGUAGAUUUUCUCAAAAUUUAGAAUAGAGCUUGAGGCUAUUGAAAUAGGUGGGGUUACACCAAACCACAUCACAUCGUUGUUUGCACCUUUUUUCACUCUCUUUUACUUAGUUUCUCUAUAUUUGUUGUCUAGUAAUAUCCUAUAGGCUUGAUGGGUUAGGGAGCAUCCCUUUGUGAAAAAAUUUCAUUCAAUUCUUAGUUGUAUUACGCAUAUAUAAAAUGCCUCAUUGUUUUAAUGGUAUUCAGUCGUGGCAUCACAGAUAUGGGCAUCUAAAUUUUAAAAGUUUGAAACUUUUGUAAAGCAUGUUGAUAAAAUCCAUGAGAGUUGUGUACUUGGGAAGCAACAUCGAGGUGACUUUAUUUUUUUUUCCUUUUAUAAUGCCACACCUAAGUCCGGUUUCUAAAUGCUAAAGUGAAAGGGUAGGUAUGGACCAUUGAAAUGUGAUCACAACUUUUGGCCUUUUCCUUUCUCUGCAGCCAUGUUGUCUCUUUUUUCUUUUGCAUGAUUUUCUUACCAAAACAGAAUCAUAGACUUGUUUAGUCUCUAAGCUACUAUAUUAUAUCUCGGUGGACUUUUAAGAGUGCAACCGACAUAGAGCACAUGCAAGUGGGCAUAUGGGACAUGAAAUUUCUUCUUACAAAGAUUGCAUGAUUUUUAUAUUAGAGUUGUUCACGUGCAAUGUAUUUAGCUUGUUUUGCAGUUAAAUUAAUUGGAUAAGUAAACAUUGGCAUUUCUAAAUCGACUGUGAAGUGCUUCAUGUACGUGUAAAGUAUUAGAAAUUUCUUUCUUGGCAACUUGUUUUUUCCUUGCCAUCUACUGGUAGGUUUGACUAAAAUUAUAUUCCCUGUCAUGCUAAUUAAUUUUCAUGUGCAUGCUCAAAAGAAGAGUAUGACCUUAGUGCACCAAAAUCACUUUGAUUAAUUUGUGAUAGGUUUUUUUGCAUCAUUUAGAUAAUGUUUAGUUCUAAGAAAAAUUUAUAUAAAAAUGGUUUAUUUAUCUUACAUAUAUAUAUAUAUAUAUAUAUUUUUUUUUUUUUCAUUUUUUUUUCUUCUAUUUUAUUUAUUUAUUUUAUUUUCCUUAUGUUUUCCUCACAUUUUCCGGAACUAAACAUAGUCUUACGAAAUCAACAAUUGCCUUCAACUGAGUAGAUUCUGUUGUUUUAGCAAUGUUAGGCUGCUAACUUGUGGUGGUACGAACCAAAUGACCCAUGUUAAUCUUGGCUUGGUUUGAUUUGGCUCUAUCUCAGAGAGCUAAAGGAUCACGUCAACUCUGGUUUCUACUAUUCAGGUCCAUUCCCAGAUGAACUGGUUCAAAUUUGAGAAAAUGGUAACAGACCUUUAGUGAUGUUGGUUUGGAGCCAGUUGCCAAACCCGCCCUGAGCUUUACCACUAAUGUCAAGGGAGAAAGCCAUUUGAACAAAAACAAUAGCUUCAAGAGACUGAAUCGUGGAUGAAAUCUGAUCCACAUUUCUUCUCAUUUUGGGAAAAAAUGAGAACUUAACUACAAAGAUUCUACUGCCUCAUUCAUAGUGCUUUUCCUGAUCCAAGGUUGGUUCGUUUCCCAAAUUGUGAGGUGCACGUGCCACUCUCACGCUCAGGAGUGUAUCCACGUGGUGGACAUCAGAUGGUGGCUUAAUAUCUGGUGUCGGUGGCUUUACUUUACUAGGAGAGUAGUGUGUCUUCAUCUCAUUCACUGCCGGAGGGUGGCGUAAGCAGUGACGCUAAGGUGGGGCACAGUCAAUAUCAUUUGCAUUUGACCAUUAUAGUUUUCUCCCGGCUUGAAAGUAACCUUAUCGUGAUAAAGGAUUACUAGCACUAGUUCAGAUGACCGUCAUGUUAAUUCGGACCAUGUUUGUGUCACAUUAUCAGCAACCAUGUGUUUAUGGUUCAUGCUAUCUGCAACUAAACUUGAUAUAUAACCAGGUGAACUUCAAUCAAAAUUCUGGAAGUACUCUUGUGAUAGAUGGUGCCUGUCUGCAGAGUCCAUCAAUUGAAAAAUGGAGUGAGUGUAUCUAUAAGAGGGAAGGCUUGGCAAAUGUUCAGUUUUCUGGGAAUUCAACAAGGAUCUAAAAUAGAUUGUUUUCUUUGCCGACUUCAAUGGUUGAAAUUUGAGAAGAUUGUGUCCACAUAUCACAACUAUUACUGGUCCUUCUGUUGCAAUUUAUCCUGUAAGGCUCUAACAUGUCUUCCAAUUCCCACUUCCCUGUUACUCCAGGAAAGCUAUUUCUGUCAUUGUGAAGAAGAAAAGAGAAUGUACAUAUCGAUGCUUUUAAGUGACUGGAGCAUUCAUAUCAGGUGGUCUGCAGCCAUAUAUGCCACUUUGUGAAGGUUGGAACAGUCAAUCACUAGGCUAUAUAUUGGUGUGGCCCAGCCACUUCAAUCAAGGACAAGUCUUCAUACUUAAAGUCAAAUUCUGCCUUUAGUCUCAUUAUAAAUUGCUGUUUAAAUAUUAAGCAAACUUUUGUUUAAUGCGAUUAAGACAGUACUAACUCAAUACUUGUUCUAUUUUUGGAUGCAAAUGCUUGAUGGUUUCAUCAUUGGAUGGGAUAAAGGUGCAUUCAUGAUUAUGAAUACUUGUAGUUAUAUUUUCAUUCUCUUUUUUCUCAAUGAGACUUGUUGGCACAAUGUUGCUGUUCAGAAACCUACCUCUCCAUGGAAAAUAAGUUGCGAUUGAUAGUACUGGAUAUGUUCAAGAAAGCUAAAUAUAGAUAGCACAAAAUAUUAUCGAUAUAAAUAGCAUUAACAGCGUACGUAUGUCUCAAUGCUCAUCAGCUAUAAGCAUGGGACAAACACUUACUAUGAGCAACUUACGUCAAAAUUCCAGAAUAGGACAUAGAAGUGACAGAUCUAUAUAUAUAGAACACUGCAUAUGAGUCACAAGAAAGGAAAUUACGGGUGCAUAGCAGCUCUUAUUUUACAUACUACUACUCAUACUGAUCAAAGUCACUCAGUUGGGAUGGGUGGGAGUAGGAGGUUUGUGGGGUGGCUUGUGCGGAGGAGUUGGCAGCUUCUUUCCAGGACCUGGUUGCUUCUCUGCUGGAGUUGAAGGAGGCUUAAUCUUCCGAGGUGGCUUGUAUGAGUCUUCAGCAUUCUCAGCUGGAGGGUGACCAGGGUUGUGACCAUAAUGUGGUGGCUUCUCUCCCUUAGGUGGUUUGCCAACUGGGGUUGGUGGCUUGUAUGAGUCUUCAGCAUUCUCAGCAGGAGGGUGACCAGGGUUGUGACCAUAAUGUGGUGGCUUCUCUCCCUUAGGUGGUUUGCCAACUGGGGUUGGUGGCUUGUGUUCUGGGAGUGGCUUCUCCCCCUUGGGAGGUUUUUCCAAUGGGGUUGGUUUGUGUUCAGGAGGUGGCUUCUCCACUGGAGGCUUGUGUUCAGGAGGUGGCUUCUCCACCGGUGGCUUGUGUUCAGGAGGUGGCUUCUCCACCGGAGGCUUAUGCUCUGGUGGUGGCUUCUCCACCGGAGGCUUAUGCUCUGGUGGUGGCUUCUUGAAUGGGGGAUGCUGAGGGUAAUCAGCAAGUGAGGGGGCGGUGAGAACCACCAGGCCAAGCAACACCACUAGCAAAUAUGUAGGAGACAUCUUUGGGUUUGGGCUCAGAUGGUGCAAAACUAGGAGAAUUGGCUAGCCUUUUAUAGCGGAUCGUACUCAAUAAUGAAAUGACACGUGUCAUUAUGACCCAUGUGUAAUGGGGUCGAUUUGGGUCCUACAGUGUUGAAAACUUCGACAUCCAGUUUUGGCCUUUUGCUUUCUCUACAGCCGCCUUGCUUUUUCCCUCUUUCCUUUUGUUUUCCUCCUGCCCCAUUCUAUCAACUAAACACAAUUAUGUAGUUGUUUAAUUCUUAAAUGAGAUAUUAUCGGUCAAUCGUAUUAUAUUUUAUCAAGAGAGAACGGAGUGCAAUGCAGCUGUAAUUUUAUCGUUUACUUUUAUCUCUUGGACCACUGCAUUUUUGUUAAGAGGUGCAAUAAUACACGUCUUUAUCUGCCAUUCAAUGUUUACAGUAAAGAGAGGGCACAAAACUCUUCACUGCUCUGCAUGUGUCCCAAAAAUGCGAUUGGACAAAUUAUGAUUUGCAUGCUAAAAAGAGGCAAAUGAGGUUAAUUCGCACCAUAAUUAUUUGGUUUUCUGGACACCAUAAAAAGAUGUUAUACAGGCAGGGAAAAACCUUCAGAGUUAGCUACCAAAGAUAAUUAUCAAGCAGAUAUCACCAAGAGAAUUCCAUAGAGUCUGAAUCAAAGACAGAUUGCUCGCUCGUGGGGGUUCUUACUUUCUUUUGGGUAUAACUCACUGAGGUCACUGUCUUUUUUAUUUGCAUUUCACAGUUAGAGUUCUGCUCUGGAAGGUUUGUUCUGGAAACAUAUAAAAGGAGCAUCAUUUUGUUCUUGGGUAACCCAUAGUCGUGAGUGGGUCCAUUUGCAUGCUACUUAGUUGAAAAGUUGGACAAUUUGCUCCGACGCCUACCUCCUGGAUUCCAUGCUCGGUAAAACAAGAAUAAAAAAAAAUAUAUAAUUUACAAAUGGGGGAAAGAAAAAAUGUCGGAAAAAAUAGUAAAAUUCAUGUCACAUGCUAGUGAGAGAAGGGGUUGUUACACUCACUCGAAGUUCUUUUCAAAAUAUCGAAUGGUAUUUUACUUUAUGUGUCAGCGCAGUUGUGAAUGGAACGUGCAAAAGUCCAAAUUGGCGUUUUUAUUUUUCCCAUGUAGGAUGGUGACCUUUAAUAAAUAUUUAAAACAAAAGACGAAAAAAAAAAGGAGGGAAAAGGGAUCACAAAAGAUAAAAUAAUGUUUACAAAAGCUCAAUUAGUUUGCAAAUUACUGUUUGGAUUUUGAUAGUAUUUUAUUUGUCGUUCUAUAUUUGAUGUAAAAGAGAAUUUAAGAUAUUUCCGAAGCAAAAGCAUUAGUUUGCUCUGUGAUGUCCCACAUCGAAUAGGGGAGAAAGUUUCUGGCGCUAUAUAUGUAGAGGCUCCUCUUAACCAAGUAGAUGCGUUUUAAAACCAUGAGGGCCCCCUUAGGUCCAAAGCGGACAAUAUCUACAUGAUUGGGUGUAAGUCAUUACAAAUGGUAUCAGAGCCGAUCCCCGACCCCGGUGUGGGGGUUUGUUUGGCCCUGUAAGGGGUGUUUGUCUGUUUGACCCCACAAUCCCAUGGGACACAACGAGGACGUUGUGUCUGCAUGGGGGGGCGUUUGUGAUGUCCCACAUCGGAUAGGGGAGAAAGUUCCUAGUGCUAUAUAUGUAGAUGUUUCUCUUAACCAAGUAGAUGCAUUUUAAAAUUGUGAGGGCCUCUUUGGGCCCAAAGCGGACAAUAUCUACAUGGUUGAGUGUAAGUCAUUACAUGCUCCAUGUCAAUUUCAGCAUUUCUCAUAUGUUUCACACAUACACAGAAGAGCAUCGUUUUUUAAAGCAUGCAUUUAUGUUGGAUUAAUUUGGAUUUUGUGGGAACUGGGGCAAGGAUCACAUGGAAGAGAGGUUGACUUUUUUCAGUACUUCAAUGGUUGAAAUAUGUGAAGGCUUGAUUGAUACUAAAGCUUGAAAUUGCGACUCUGUCAUUUGUAAAAAAAUAUGACAGCUUCCAUGCUCUCGUUUGGUUGCAUUGUCCGGUCGAGAGGUGCAAAAAGCAUUCUCUCUCUUCUAAUAGUCUUUUCGUUUAAAUCAAGGGAUUUGCCUUCCCGGUCGAGGUCCAAUAGAGGGUAACGGUCACCUACUAAACAUUAAAUGCUCCAACAACUAGUGAACUGAUCGACCCCAGCUCGACUAGUUGAGGUUACUUUUUGGUUUUCUUGUCUCCCGAGGUUAGAAACCUAUAAAUAGAGAGCUUCACUUCAUUUAUGAGUAAGAGAACACCUAAAUUUAUUUGUUUACCUACUUGUUUUUGCCAUAAAAGCUCUCAUUUCUUUUCUUGGUGUAUUAAAUCUCCAUUUGCAUAUCCUUUAGUGCACCUUUGUGAUUCAUUCUAGCCUUGAGUUGUAUUUAAGCCUUUGUUGAGCUAGGUUGAGAGUUUCAUACUUGUUUAUUGAGUGUUAAAGCCUUCAAGUGAGUUAAAACUUGAAGAGAUUGUGUAAGAGCCCAUUGGAGUCGGAAUCCAAGUGUAAAGGUGAUUAAAAGCUUGGUUGAAGCUUCAAGUUAGUGGAACUCUCACUCGGUUAUGAGCUUGAGAAGAGUGGACAUAGACAAGGCAGUGUCGAACCACUAUAAAAUCUGAGUUUGAUUUCUCUAACCUUAUCUCUUUAUAUUUGCUUCUCUUGUGCUUAAAUUUUUUGUGUUUAAAAAGAAUUUUUAAAAACUCAAUUCACCCCCUUCUUGGGAGUUUUUCUCUUUUAAGAUCAGCUUUUAUUUUCUCAAUUGGUAUCAGAACUAUGCCUCUUGUUUAAGACUUAAUCGUCUAAGAGGAAAUGGCUAAUCCAUCAAGUUCAUCUCACAUUGAAAGUUUUGCAACCAAUAGACUUCUUUUUUUUUUUUUGCGGGAACUGAUUAUCCCUAUUGGAAAACUAAAAUGACUUGGUUUUUACAAUCAAUUGAUUUAGAUGUAUGAGAUGCCAUUGAAGAUGACCUAACUUUUCCUUCAAAACUAGUUGAUGGAGUCAUGGUUCCAAAACCUAAGCAAGAAUGGGAUGAGCGUGAUUGAAGAAAUUUUCAAUUAAAUGCUAAAGUCGUUUAUACUUUGCAAUGCUCUAUGGACAGAAAUGAAUAUAAUAGAAUAUGUCAAUGCAAAUCGGUUAAAGAAAUUUGGAGAUUGCUUGAAAUAACUCAUAAAGGAACAAAUCAAGUUAAAGAGUCAAAAAUCAAUUUACUUGUUCAUAGAUAUGAAUUGUUUUUUAUGAAAGAUAAUGAAACUAUUGUUAAGAUGAUCACUAGGUUCACCAACAUUGUUAAUGGUCUUAAAGCCUUGGGAAAGACCUACAAGGAAUCCGAAAACGUGAUGAAGAUCUUGAGGUCACUUCCAUCAAAGUGGCAUACCAAGGUCACCGCAAUUUAAGAAGCAAAAGACUUGAUCAAGCUACCUUUGGAGGAGUUCAUAGGGUCAUUGAUGACAUAUGAAAUCAAUUUGGCAAAGAAGUAACAAAAAGGUGAAGACAAAAAGAAGAAGAACAUAACUCUCAAAGCUACAACUAAGGAAGAAGAAGUUGAAGAAGAAAAACAAAUUGAAGAAGAUGAAGAUUUAGCCCUCAUCACAAGAAAGUUCAACAAAUUCAUGAGGGGUGAAAGGUUUAGAAGAAGAAGGUUCACUUCUAGAAGAGACUUUUCUAAAAAGGAAUCUUCAUCUAAUGGUGACAAAAAGAGAUGGGAAGAGAAAAGAGACUUGGUGUGUUUCAAGUGCAAGAAACCGGGACACAUUAAAUAUGAUUGUCCUCUCUACAAAAGUGAAGUCAAGAGGAAAAAGAAUAAGGCAAUGAUGGCCACUUAGAGUGAAAGUGAAGAUGAAUCAUCCGAAGAAGAAAAUGAGAAAGAAGUGGCAAACAUGUGUUUCAUGGCAAUAGAUGAACUUGAUGAGGUAAAAUCUAACCUUAGUGAUUAAGAUAUACAUGAUGCAUUUGAAGAAUUGUAUGAGGAUUUUUAAAAACUUAGUUUGAAAAAUAUUUCUCUUAAAAAGAAAGUUCAACAACUUGACAAAGAACUUAGAGAAGUAAAAGAAAAAUUUUCAAAUGUUAAAGUUUCUAAAACUCAUCUUGAAAAAGAAAAUGAGAUUCUAAGAAAGAAAAAUGAAUAGUUGAACUCCUCUCUUUCAAUCUUUUCUUCUAGACAAAAAUCUUUUGAAAUGAUUCUAACUAGCUAAAAAUGUGUUUUUGACAAACAAGGGUUAAGAUUUAAAUCUUCAAAAAAUCAAAAGUAUUUUAAAAACUAUUUUGUAAAGGAAUCCACAAGUGCAAGUCCUUCCACUACUUGCAACUUUUGUGGAAGAGAAUGGCACAUUAGUAGUACGCCCUUUAAGAAAUGGUUCUCAAAAGAAUUUAAAUGCAAAAACUAAAAAAGAUUUGGAUUGAGAAAUCCAAGGUCACUAACCCUCAAGGACCCAAAAAGAUAUAGGUACCUAAAUCAACUUGAGUUUUAUGUUGUAAGGUUCAAAGAAUGAUAAGUGGUUCUUAGAUAAUGGUUGCUCAAGACACAUGACCGGAGAUGAAUCCAAGUUUGCUUUUCUUAAAAAGAAAAAUGGAGGAUAUGUUACCUUUGGAGACAAUGCAAAAGAAAGGAUGAUUGGUCAAGGCAACAUUGGUAAUGGCACAUCCUCUCUCAUUGAAAGUGUUUUAUUAGUAGAUGGUUUCAAACAUAACCUUUUAAGCAUUAGUCAAUUUUGCGACAAAGGUUUUUAAGUGAUUUUUUAAGCAUCUCAUUGCAUCAUCAAGGAUAUUCAAAAUGAUAAAACCAUUUUCAUGGGCCAUAGAUGUGAUAAUGUUUAUGCUAUAAAUAUUUCAAAAUAUGAUGGCCAUGAUAGAUGUUUUUCAAGCAUGCAUGAUCAAAGUUGGUUGUGCCAUAGGAGAUUGAGACAUGCUAACAUAGACCUCAUUUCCCAACUCAACAAAGAUGAACUUGUUAGAGGCCUUCCCAAAAUAAUUUUUUAAAAAGAUAAAGUUUGUGAAGCUUGUCAAGUGGGAAAGUAAAUCAAAAACUCUUUUAAAAACAAAAACUUCAUUUCCACAUCUAGGCCACUUGAGUUGUUGCAUAUGGAUUUAUUUGGUCCCUCUAGGACACCAAGUCUUAGAGGAAAUUCUUAUGCAUAUGCUAUUGUGGACGACUUCUCUAGAUACACAUGAGUCUUGUUUUUUAGUCAAAAGAAUAAAGUUUUUUAUGAGUUUUCAAAGUUUUGCAAUAAGAUUCAAAAUGAAAAAGGUUUUUCAAUUACUUAUAUAAGAAGUGAUCAUGGGAGAGAAUUCGAAAAUAUUGAUUUUGAAGAGUAUUGCAAUGAGCAUGGAAUUGACCACAAUUUUUUGGCUCUUAGAACUCCUCAACAAAAUGGGGUAGUUGAAAGGAAAAAUAGAACUCUUCAAAAAAUGACAAGAACCAUACUAAAUGAAAACAACUUACCAAAAUAUUUUUAGGCCAAAACGGUUAACACUUCUUGUUAUGUUUUAAAUAGAGUAUUAUUGAGGCUCAUACUUAAGAAAACUCCCUAUGAGCUUUGGAAAAACAAAAAACCCAACAUUAGUUAUUCCAAAGUCUUUGGAUGCAAUAUUUUAUAAUAAACACCAAAGACAAUCUUGGAAAAUUUGAUGCAAAAUUGGAUGUUGGAAUUUUCCUUGGUUACUCAACUUCAAGUAAAGCUUUUCGAGUUUUAACAAAAGAACCAUGGUUGUAGAGGAGUCCAUCCAUGUUAUUUUUUAUGAAUCUCCAAGAAAGAGAGAGGAUUGAUGAUGAUUUAGGUUUGAAGACCUCUAUAGGAAGAUUGCAAAUCGAAGAUAGAAGACAACAAGAAGAAAAUGGAGAGAAUCCAAAGAAAGAAGGAUCACCAUUGGCACUACCCCCUCAUCAACAAGCGCAAGGUGAAUCAAGUCAAGAGCUUCCUAAAGAAUGGAAGUUUGUCAUCAAUCACCCACAAGAUCAAAUUAUAGGCAAUCCAUCUAGUGGGGUAAGAACUAGAUCCUCUCUUAGAAAUAUUUGCAAUAAUCUAGCUUUUAUCUCUCAAAUUGAGCCUAAAAAUAUAAAUGAUGUUUUAGAUGAUGAAAAUUGGAUAAUUGCAAUGCAAGAAGAGUUAAAUCCAUUUGAAAGAAGUGGAGUAUGGGAAUUAGUACCAAGACCUUCAAAUCAAAGUGUUAUUGGAACUAGAUGGAUCUUUAGAAAUAAAAUGGAUGAAAAUAGCAUAAUUGUUAGAAAUAAAGCAAGAUUGGUAGCCCAAGGUUUUAAUCAAGAAGAAAUGAUAGAUUAUGAAGAAACCUUUGCCCCCGUAGCUAGGUUGGAAGCCAUUAGGAUGCUACUUGCCUUUGCAUGUUUUAAAGACUUUGUUUUAUAUCAAAUGGAUGUGAAAAGUGCUUUUUUAAAUGGUUUUAUAAAUGAAGAAGUAUAUGUUGAACAACCACCCGGUUUUCAAAGUUUCAACUUUCCUAACCAUGUUUUUAAACUUAAAAAGACACUUUAUGGUUUGAAACAAGCACCUAGAUCAUGGUAUGAAAAAUUGAGUAAAUUUCUUUUGAAAAAAAUGUUUUAAAAUGGGAAAAAUUGACACAACUCUUUUUAUAAAAACCAAAGAAAAUGAUAUGCUCUUAGUUCAAAUAUAUAUUGAUGAUAUCAUUUUUGGUGCUACUAAUGUCUCUCUUUAUGAAGAAUUUUCUAAGUGCAUGCAUAGUGAGUUUGAAAUGAGCAUGAUAGGAGAACUCAACUUCUUCCUUGGACUUCAAAUCAAGCAACUAAAGGAAUGAACCUUCAUCAAUCAAGCAAAGUAUAUAAGAGAUCUUCUCAAAAGGUUCAACAUGGAAGAAGCCAAAACAAUGAAGACUCUAAUGAGCUCAUCCAUUAAGCUUGAUAAGGAUGAGAAAGGUAAAUCCAUUGACUCUAUUAUGUAUAGAGGCAUGAUAGGUUCUUUGCUCUAUUUGACCACUAGUAGACCUUACAUUAUGUAUAGUGUGUGUUUGUGUACUAGAUUUCAAUCUUGUCUUAAAAAAUCUCACUUAAGUGUCGUGAAAAGAAUCCUCAAAUAUUUGAAAGGGACAAUGGACAUAGGCUUAUGGUAUCCUAAGAGUGAUAACUUUGAAUUAAUUGGUUUUUUGGAUGCUGAUUUUGUCAGUUGUAGGGUUGAAAAAUAAAACACUAGUGGCACUUUUCAUUUCUUAAGACACUUACUUGUCUCAUGGCAUAAUAAGAAGCAAAAUUUGGUAGCUUUGUCAACAGCAGAAGCUAAAUACAUAGCAACUGGUUUAUGUUGUGCACAAAUCCUUUGGAUGAAAUAAACACUUAGUGAUUUUGAUUUAUCUUUUGAGCAUAUUCCUAUUAAAUGUGAUAAUAGUAGUGCCAUAAGUAUAUCAAAAAAUCUCGUGCAACACUCUAGGACUAAGCAUAUAGAGAUUAGACAUAAUUUUCUUAGAUAUCAUACACAAAAGGAUGAUAUAACACUUGAAUUUGUAAGCAUAAAAGACCAACUUGCCGAUAUCUUUACAAAACCUCUAAGAACAUUUUGUUGAUAUUAGAGGACAAUUAGGAGUGAUUUCUUUAUGAUCUAAUGUGAUGAAUUCUUGAUGAAUAUACUUUUUGAUUGCAUGAAUUUCAUGUCAUAUAUGCAUCAUAUAGAAAUAUACUUAGAUAAUGGUCAAAUUUCGACCAAAAAUCAAAAUUCCCAUGGCAUUAGGCAUAAAAAUUUUGGAAUUUCAACUGAAAAUGGUAGGAGGAGGAUCACAAAAUGAGAAAGUAUGCAAAAAUUGAAAAAUCAAAACGUUGACCAAGCGGUCAAUCGGACUAGACCGAUCGACUAGUUUGUCGAGAUUUAGGAUUUUUAAGAGACUCCAACGCUUCAAUUUUUGCACCGUUCUCCUCUAUUUCUUCACGGUUUCUCUGAUUUUGUCUUUUAGAGACUAAUUUGAGUGCGUUUUGGAUCAAUUGAAGCAUUUUGGAUUGGAUUUUAGGAAGAUUGAAAGUUAAGGUUUCGGAUUUGGGUCGCCUUCUCUUCCUCUCGCGUGUCACAAUCAGCUUUAGCAUUGUUCUCUUUCCAUUUUCACACACCUAGGGUUUCAGUUGUGAGCAUCUCUCUCUCUUUACCAACCACUACUCCCUUGCUUCUUCCAUAUGGCUCCUAGGCGAGAGUCCGCUACUUCUAGGGCACAAGGCAAGCACCCAACUGAGUCGUCUCAGUCAAAGGCACGUCGAAAAGUGAGAUUUGACAUUGCCUUGUUCAGUUCCAUGGAGGACUACCAACUAUACAAGCAACACUUUGCUUAGAGACGAGUAGUUCCCAAGAGAAAUAUUAAUUUUCCUCAACUUCAGCAUUUCGAAUUUAAGGGUCUAUUUACUAGGAUGGUUGGUUGUCUAUUGUCACAAUUUCGGAGCCGGUUUUCCUGACCUUAGUGCGAGUUUUUUACUCGAGGGCGACUUAUGGCAUGGGUGGCAUGAUCAUUUCUACUGUUGGAGGAGUUGAGAUCUGUCUGGACCCAGAGAGCAUCUGCCAUAUUUUCGAUAUUGCUCUGGUUGGACUCAAAGUAUACAAGUCCAAAAUGUGGCCCAUUGUGCCAGGAUUUGAGCUUAGAGAGGUCAUUCAGAGGAUUUGUGAACUUCCAGACGCCCAGGAGAUGGGCAAACCAUUGCCACACAGUUUGACGGUCAUCAACAGGGUGCUACACCAUAUAUUGUGCUCUAUCUUUCUACCACGAAGUGGACAUUGAGAUGAGGUCUCUUAUUAUGAGGCAUUCCUUAUUGACUCCAUUCUAACGGAGAGACGAAUUCAUCUACUAUGUCAUCAUUCACUAAGCCUCCUCACAGUGACAUACCACCUCAUCAGGCACCUCUUGCUCCUGACCAUGCUCCAUUGAUGGAUUUAUUUACUCAUAUUAGCUCUCUAGGCACUCGCAUGAAGGAGUUUGUUGUAGUUAGUGAUACAUGGUUCUACUCCAUAGAGGAUCGCAUGGAUCAGUAUCAGACUGGCUUCACGUCACAGUUUGAGUAUCUCCAAUAGAGGAUUGAGCAUAUUGAGGAUCACUUGAGCAUGAGAAGAUGAUGGCUUUUCUAUGCUCUGUGUUUCCACCUCCACCUCGUCAACCUUGAUUUCUUAGAGACCCAUUGUUUUCAUUUUGUAAUGUUGCCAAAAGGGGGAGAUAUUUAGGAUCUAGGACUCUAUAGGAGACUUACAUGCAUAUCAUUUUCAUAUCAUUGUUUGGAUCGUACAUAUUGGAUAGUGAUACUUUUUACUUAUAUAUGAUAUGCCUAUAUGUUUCAUGUCUUACAUUGUUUCUUAUUGCAAAUUAUCUCUAACAUGUCUUGAUUAUCUUUUUUUUAACUUCAUAAAUUUUGAUUGUUAACCCAUGAUUGGUUUGAGGGGAAGAUUCUUCUUCUCCUAGAUAACCAAGGUUUGUCAUCAUAAAAAAAUUGGAGAUUGUUAGCCCAAGGGUUCUCCUAAUCAUGUUUUGAUGAUAACAAACCAUGCUUAAGUUACUAAUUGGUUUGAAUUAUAAAGAAUUUCAAGUGUUAAUUUGAAAAUUCAUCAAAGAACCUAAUGGAUGCAAGAUCAAGAUUUUUGGAAGACCUUUAAUCAUAAGAAACAUAUGUAAGAUGAAUGCAUGGGUGCACUUAAGAUUUGCAUAUCAUUUCAUGCAUAUUUGGAAAACACGGUUUAUGCUUUAAAGUUACAUUUCCAUCAAAAUUUGAGAUCCAUCAAAUGAACCUUAGGAAAAAUGUUUUAAAAUUGGCAUAUAAUUUUACCUAAAGACCUUGCCUAAGUGUUAGAAGCAAAAGGACAAAAAAAAUAUAGGUUUUCUGGUCAAAAAUGGUGAACCAGUCAAGGCAUUGUCUAAAUCAGCUCAAUCGGCCAAGGUACCGGUCGAUCGGUUUCCCUUUCCCUGUCGAGAUCUAGUCAAGAGGUACAAAAAUCACAAUCUCUGUCUCUUUCUCUCUUUGUCUAUCUUCCAGUAGUCUUUCCUUCCCGGUCGAGGGAUUUGCCUUCCCGAUUGAGGUCCGAUUGAGAGUAAUAGUCACUUGCCAAAUAUUAAAUGCUCCAACAGUUAGUGAACUGGUCGACCCCCACCUUGCCCAGUUGAGGUUACUUUUUGGUUUUCUUGGCUCCCGAUGUUAGAAACCUAUAAAUAGAGAGUUCCACUUCAUUUAUGAGCAAGAGAACACUUGCAUUUAUUUGUUUACCUACUUGUUCUUGCCUUAAAAGCUCUCAUUUCUUUUCUUGGUGCAUUAAAUCUCCAUUUUGAUAUCCUUUAGUGCACCUUUGUGAUUCAUCUUAGCCUUGAGUUGUAUUUGAGCCCUUUUUUUAGCUAGGUUGAGAGUUUCAUACUUGUUAAUUGAGUGUUAAAGCCUUCAAGUGAGUUGAAACUUGUAGAGAUUAUGUGAGAGUCGAUUGGAGCCGAAAUCCAAGUGUAAAGGUGAUUAGAAGCUUGGUUGAAGCUUCAAGUUAGUGGAAUCCUCACUCAAUUAGGAGCUUGAGGAGAGUGGACGUAGCCAAGGAAGUGUCGAACCACUAUAAAAUUUGAGUUUGAUUUCUCUAACAUUGUCUCUUUAUAUUUGUUUAUCUUGUGCUUAAAUUUAUUGUGUUUAAAAAGAAUUUUUAAAUACCCAAUUCACCCCCCUCUUGGGUGUUUUUCUCUUUUAAAAUUAGCCUUUAUUUUCUCACAAACUAUUGUAGUAUAGUGGUUUUUAGGUGUCAUCCAUUAGGAUGAAUUGUUCUCGGUAAUUAAGGCGUGAAUGAGAGGAGAAUUAAUGAUUGUGAUUAAGUAAAAUUGAUUUGAAAAUUCAUGGUGAAAAAUCAAUUUAACAAUGGUUUCUAAUUGAGAAAAACAAUGAAAUGUGAAAUAAAAUAAAAUUAAUAGGAAAUGAAAUUCUCGAAGUUAGAAUUUUCUAAAAAACAAAUUCCAUGGUGAAUGGAUGUUGAGAUCUAAUUUUCAUCAAGUUAGAUUGAAAACCGAAAUUUUCAUAUAAACUGAUUUUUUAUUUAGUUUUAGGUCUAGAUUUAAUUUCCCUUAAAAUUAGGUUAUUUAAUCCAAGAAAUCAAUUCAAAUCAUAUAUUCAAUUCAUCUUAAAUUAUCUUCCAAUUAUUCACACAAUGCAACUAUUCAAUCUCAUCAAAUCUAGCUUUUAAGAAUUUAAUGAAUCUACCUAGUUUGCAUUGUAAUAGUCAUCCAUGACAAUUUGAAGAGAAAAAUAAUUCAAUUAAUCAAUCACUUGGAUCAAAUUACCUUUGCAAUUAAAGUUCAUUUCUCUAAUUCACCACAGAUUUUGUCUCUAGAUCCUCCUUUCUCAAAGAAAAAUGAGAUUUAGCCACACAUGAUUGGAGAUUUGGUCUCAUAAGGCAUGUUUAGCUAGUGAUAAAAUGAGAGAAAAUAAAGAAAAAUAGAGAAUUCGAUUAAGAAAGAAAAUCUAAAAAAUUCUACAAUUAGAAAUGUCCAAAAAGCUUUUUCAUGAGAAAAUCAAGUUUCUAUUUAUAGGCCAAGGUCAAGUGGACACUUGACAUCAUCUAAGAGGUCUUCCGGAAGCUUCUUCAUCAAGAAAUCUGGAGUUUAAUAAUAAAAUGGUCAUUUCACAAGAGCUCAAACAAUUUCGCAUGAUUAUGUGAAAUAAAAAAUGCAACAACAGCAAUUUACAUCUUCUUGGAGCAUUUCGCAUGACUGUGUGAAAUUUUCACAUGAUCAUGUGGAAUCGACUUGACAACUCUCAUUUAGCCUACAACAUAAUUCCACCUUUUGGUCCAUUUUUCAUAGUCAUGCGAAAUGGAAAUAUUUGAUUUUUAAGUUUUCUUUUGUCAUUUCUUUCAUUUCCUUCUCUUGAUUCCACUUCAACUACCUCCGAAUCCUGGUCCAAACCAAUUGCAUUACUUCUUUCAUUAUGCAUUUGGAUCAUCAUCAACAUUAUUUGUUCUCUUCAAUUUGAUUCAUCUCUUUUGUCACCAAUUUAUCAAAAUCAUACCUUGAAAUGACUCCAAAACUUCAUAAAACUUGUUAGUAACUCUUGCAAGGGCAACAACAUAUUAAUUAAGUGUUUUAGGCAUAGUUACUACUCAAAAGAUGCGAAACUCAUGAUAAUUAUUAUAUAAAAUAUGCUCUUUUUGAGUAGUAAUCAACUUUCUUGCAUAAGCAGACCUUUUAGGGUGGAGUACUAAAGACCAAUAUGCUUGUCCUUGUUGUAAUAAAGAAACUUGCUCUUAUUGAUUGCACCAUGGGAGAAAAUUUUGCUACAUGAGUUAUCAUCAAUUUCUUCCCACCAAUCAUAGAUUUAGACGUGACAAGAGGCCUCUUAAUGGCAAGGAGGAACUGACACUCACACUUAUACAAUUAUCGGGCAUUGAUGUGUUGCAACAAUUAGAAUAACUUACACCAAUUAUGUUGGGGAAGUCACAAAAGGCAAACAUGAAAACUAAAAGGAAAAAAGAAAAAUGUUACAUAUCACCACAACUGGAAAGAAAAAAGUAUUUACUUUCAUUUGCCAUAUUGGAAAGCACUUAUUUUACAUCAUAAUAAUUUAGACAUAAUGCAUAUUGAGAAAAAUGUGUGACAAUAUAAUUGAGACAUUGUUCAGUAUUGACGAAGAAACAAGGACAACCUAAAUAGUCAUCUCGAUUUACAAGCUCUAACUAUUAGAAAUGAGAUUCACCCAAUAGAAAGCAGGACCAAAUUUAUUUUGCUUGCAACAUGCUACUCACUCACCCCAAAUGAGAUUAAGGAAUUUUGCAAGUUUUUGAAAUCAAUAAAGGUCCCCAAUGGCUAUUCUUUCAAUAUCUCUCGUUAUGUGCAACUCAAUGAAAGGAAGAUAUAUGAGCUCAAAUUGUAUGAUUGUCAUGUCCUAAUGCAACAACUUCUCUCACUUGUAGUUCGUGGAGUUCUACAUAAGAAUGUUUGUGGAGUUAUCAUAGAAUUGCGUAAUUUUUUCAAGCAAUUGUGCUCAAAGGUGUUAGAAACAAAUCACUUACACCAACUUGAGAACAAUAUUAUUGUCAUACUAUGUAAAAUGGAGCAAAUAUUUCUUCCAUCAUUCUUUGAUAUUAUGGUGCAUUUACUUGUGCAUCUAGUAAGGCAAAGGUUGCAAGACUUGUGCAAUAUUGUUGGAUGUACCUAAUUGAACGAUAUUGUUAUAAUUUCAUAUGAAUCAUUUAAUUUUAUUUUAUAUUAUGUUCAGUUCAUUAACAUGUACAUUGGUCUACAUAUGGAUGAUGAUAGGUACCUAAGCACUUUAAAGUCAUAUGUGCGUAAUAGAACUUUUCUAGAAGGUUCUAUUGUAGAAAGGUACCUUGCAAAAGAAUGUACAACAUUUUAUUCUAGGUACUUGAAUGAUGUGGAAAUAAAGUAUAAUCACAAUGAUAGAAACUUUGUUGGUUUCAACACUAGAGGAGAUGAAAGGGGUUAUCUUUAAACAUAUUGGACAUGCAUUGGGAAAGCCCAUAUUUCAUUAACUUAGUUCAAAAGAGUGGUCACAAGCACAUUUAUAUGUGUUGACAAAUUGCGAAGAUGUCAUACCAUUCAUUGAGUAAAAAAUUUAUUUGAAUUUUAAUUAAAGCUCUAGUUUAUAUCCUUAAUCAAUGUUUUUUAAAUUCACAAGGAGCACAAGCAAACCAUCAAGGCUAGACCACAUAUACGUGUUUGAGACGUAGAUUUAAUUCAUAACAAGGAAUUUAUCAAGUGGUUUGAAAGACAUGUAAGUAUAUUCCUUAUUAUAAGGGAUUUAUUUCACAUUAUGUUUAUAUUGAAUCCAAACCUAUUAUUGAAUUGUAGGUUGAACAAUUACAUAAUGAAGGUCAUAUAUCUGAACACCUUCUCACAUUAUCAUGUGUUCCAAAUUCAUUAGUUACAUGCUUCAAAUGAUAUAUUGUCAAUGGAUUUAGAUCCCACAUUAAAGAACGUGAUAAAAAAGUUUUUAAAAAAAGACUCAGAAUAAUGGAAUUGUUGUAGUUGCAAAAACGUCAAGCUUUACAAGUGCAUGUGAUAUGAGUCCAAUUAUUAGUGAUGCUCUCUACUAUGGUGUUCUAACUAAAGUUGUUGAGUUACAUUAUCUUGGUGAAAAUAAGGUUGUUUUAUUCGAGUUUGAUUGGUGGGAUGUUACAAAUAUUGGAAAAUUGAUAAAAGAUGAUGAGUACAAUUACACAUUUGUUAACUUUGCAUGAAUUCUAACCACGAACGAACGAUUUGUACUUGCAUCUCCAGCAAAGUAAGUGUUCUAUGUGAAGAAUGCGAAUGAAUCAGAUUGGCAUACUAUCAUGGAGAUGCAACCUCAAGACCUCUAUAAGAUGAACGGGAUAGGAUCCAAUGGUGAUUUUGAACCAUUUCAACAAAGUGAACUACAUGAUCACUAAUAUAUCUCAGAUUUAGUUGAUGAAGAUAUAAUCAAGUGGAACAAAAGUGAUGUUUUAGGACUAAUCAUCCUAAAAAAUAUUGUAGUUUCUUAAAAAAAAAAUGAAAAUGAAGAAGAUAAUUGAACCUUUGUCAUACUUUAAAAAGCAACUAUGCAUUGUUCAUUUUGUAUGUUUUGGUUUUCUUCAUUUAAUUUCCUGAUUUUUGUGAUUCAAUGUCAUAUUAUUGAUCUUGAAAUAUUUUUCUAAUUUUUCAUUCUACGAUGGUUUCAACAAGGAUGACAUCAAGUCAAAAAAGGAAAUGUGGUCCCACACACAAUAUUGCAUUACAGGGAUUAAGGUCAGGGAAGAAGGUAAAAGUUGCAUUUAAUGAGUACAAUCAAUUGGUUAAACAGAAAAAUGGAAAACACUUAUCGAGCUACAUAGGGACACUUGUAUCUAACCAACACAAUGUACCUCUCCAAGCUAGUGAUUGGAAAAAUGUUCCAAAUGAUGCAAAAGAGAAAGUAUGGCCUUUGUUUUGGUAUGUUGUAUUUCUCACUAUAUGAUGUCAUUUCACUGUUAUUCUAUUUUGUGACUAACGUUUGAAUCAUAUGUAAGAAAAAUUUGAAGUAGAUAAAGACUGAAAAGAUUACAUGUUGGGUAUAGCCUCAAAUAAAUAUAGAAGCUAUAAAAAUAUGAUGAAUGCAAAAUACUAUGACCCUUGGCAUAAGGAUGCAUGAGGAGAGGUUAAUACAUAAAUCACCAUUUGUCUCUGAUGUUGAUUGGAAGUGGCUUGUCUCUGAUGCAUAAACCAAAUCCCCCACUGAAUGUUUGAUAUUUGAUAGCAGGAAAAACACACCCGCAGCUAUACACCUCCAUCAUUCAGAUAAUUAUAGUGGGGGAGAUGAUUCAUGGUUGCCCUUAUACCCUUUAUUUGCACCAUCUAUUGAGAUUCUUUAUCAUGGCCAGGUUUUACUGCAGCAAUAAGAUAUGGUGGCAACAAUUUUAUCUAUAGGUGCGGUUCCAGACCGCCUCCAUAGGUGCGGUUCCUGACUGCCUCCAUAGGUGCCUCUUCUUGUAAUGUUUGUUCUGGGAAUUACACUUGAAAGCCUUAUCGUGAUAAGGGAUUACAAACACUAGUUCAGAGGACAGCCAUGUUAAACUUCCACUAUGUUUGUGUCACAUUAUCAGCAGCCUAGUGUUUAUUGGUCAUGCUAUCUGCAACUAAUAUAACCCGGUGAACUUCAAUCUAAAUUCUGAAAGUACUCAUGUGACAGAUGGUGCCUUUCAGCAGAUAUCAUCAAUUUAAAAGUAGUGUGUGUGCCUAUAGGUGGGAAGGCCUUGGCAAAUGUUCAGUAUUCCGGUAAUUCAAGAAGGAUAUAUCUAAAAUAGAUUUUCUUCUUGCCCAUUUCAAUAGUUAAAAUUUGAGAAGAUUGUGUCCACAUCACACAAAUAUUAUUGGUCCUUCUGUUGCAAUUUACCUCUGAACAUGUCUUCCAAUUCCCACGGUCCUGUUACUCCAGGAAAACUAUUUCGGUCAUAUUGAAAAAAAAAAUAUUAAAGAAGGUACACAUGCUUUUAAGUGGACUGGGGCAUUCAUAUCAGGUGGUCUGUAUCCACAUAUGCCACUUCGUGAAAGGUGGAACAGCCUAAUCACUAGGCUAUUUAGUGUGGCCCAGCCACGUUAAUCAAGCACAAGUCUUCAUACUUAAAGUCAAAUGGUGUCUUUAGUCUCAUUACACAUCGCUAUUUGAAGAUUAACUCAUCACUAGUGUAAUGCGAUUAAGACAGUCCUAACUCAAUAUUUGUUCUAGUUUUGGAUGCAAAUGCUUGCUGGUUUCAUCAUUGGAUGGGAUAAAGGUGCAAUCAGGACUAUGAAUACGUGCAGUAAUACUUCAUUCUCUUUUUUCUCAAUGAGACUUCUUGGCACAAUUUUGCUGCUCAGCAACCUACCUUUCCAUGGAAAAUCAGUUGUGACUGAUAGUAAUGGAUAUAUUCUAGAAAGCUAAACAUAGAUAGCAUUCAAUAUUAUCGAUAUAACAUUAACAGCGUAUGUCUCAAUGCUCAUCAGCUACAAGCAAUGGACAAACACUUUGAGUAACUCACAGCAGUCAAAAUUCCUAAACAGGACAGACGUGACAGAUCUAUAUAUAGAACACUGCAUAUGAGUCACAGGAAAAGAUAAUACGGGUACAUAGAAGCUCUUAUUUUACAUAUUACUCAUACUGAUCAAAGUCGCUCAGUUGGGAUGGAUGGGAGAAGGAGGUUUGAGGGGUGGCUUGUGCGGGGAAGUUGGCAGCUUCUUUCCGGGAGCUGGUUGCUUCUUUGCUGGAGUUGAAGGAGGCUUAAUCUUCCGAGGUGGCUUGUAUGAGUCUUCAGCAUUCUCAGCAGGAGGGUGACCAGGGUUGUGACCAUAAUGUGGUGGCUUCUCUCCCUUAGGUGGUUUGCCAACUGGGGUUGGUGGCUUGUUUUCUGGGAGUGGCUUCUCUCCCUUGGGUGGUUUGCCAACUGGGGUUGGUGGCUUGUGUUCUGGGAGUGGCUUCUCCCCCUUGGGAGGUUUUUCGAAUGGGGUGGGUUUGUGUCCUGGUGGUGGCUUCUCUCCCUUGGGAGGUUUACCAAUUGGGGUCGGUGGCUUGUGUUCUGGGAGGGGCUUCUCUCCCUGGGGAGGUUUAGUGGGUGGCUUGUGUUCUGGAGGUGGCUUCUCCACCGGAGGCUUAUGCUCUGGUGGUGGCUUCUCGAAGGGGGGAUGCUCAGGGUAAUCACCAAGUGAGGGGGUGGUGAGAACCACCAUGCCAAGCAACAACACUAGCAAGUAUGUAGUAGACAUCUUUGGGUUUGGACUCAGACAGUGCAAAACUACGAGAAAUCGCUAGCCCUUUAUAGCGGCUCGGACCUAAUACUGACAUAAUAUAAAAUAAAUAUUAUAUUUUAUCAAGAGAGAACAGAGUGUAAUUUUAUCAUUAAUACCGAUCGAGGCCAAAGAAAGAAGACCCAUAAUCCAUUUCCCACAAGCAUACACAAUGCAGCUGUAAUUUUAUCAUUUACUUUUAUCCCUUGGACCACUGCAUUUUUGUUGAGAGACACAAUAACACAUUUUUAUCUGUCAUUCAACAUUUACAGUAAAGAGAGGGCACAAAACGCAAUUAGAUAAAUUAUGUUUUGCCUGCUAAAAAGAGGCAAAUAACUUUAUUUGCAACAUAAUUAUUUUGGUUUCUAGUGACCCCGGGGCCUUUCGGUUGGUUUGGGAUCGGAAAAUGAACAUCAUAGGGGGGGUUGUGCCCUUAUGGGCAUAUAUAUCUGAUAGCUUCAACUGGCCUUGUUCCUAGAAAGAAAUUGCCAAAGAUAUAAACUUAUUCCAGGCUGAAAGUAGAUGAGAGUCAUAAUGAACAUCAACCUUUGUUCAGUUUGAUUCAAUGCCCCCAUAGUGUUCAUUUCACAGAUCUGAAUGAUUAUAUCCGUUGAAUACAUAAAUUAAUGAAGACAAAUAUGAAACCCAAGAUACAUCUCUGCAUAACAACCCCAACCCUGGUUGCUAUGUUUCCCUUCUUCUAUUCACAUGAGGAUACUGGUUAUAAUUGUCAAACUUGCAACAAGCCCUUUGACACCUAACGUCAAUGGACGAAUUAAAAGUCUCCUUCAAACGUCUAUUUCACAGCAUGAAGCUUAUAAAGGAUGCUGACAACCUUCAGAGUUAGCGACAAAAGAUAAUUAUCAAGGAGAGAUAGUUCCAUGAGAAUUCCAAGGAGUCUGAAUCAAAGACAAAUUGCUCACUCAAGGGUUCUUAUUUUCUUUUAGGUACAAAUCUCUUGAGUGUUGUUAAAGAAACACGUCACUGUCAUUUUGAUUUGCAUUUAACAUUUCACUUUUGUUCUGGAAGGUUUGUUCCGGAAACAUAUCAAAUGAGCAUCAUUUUCUUCUUCGGUGACACAUGGUCGCGAGUACGUGGGUCCAUUUUCAUGCCACUUAGUUGAAAAGUUGGAAAGAAAAAACAUGCCAACAAGAAGAUAGUGAGAGAAGGGGCACUUCAAGCCUUUAACAUGAACAAACAGUAAAUAAAAGAUGUUUCUCCACUCAUAAAAGUGUGUUAGAUAGCAAUAUAACGAAUCACAUCCAAAAUCUUUACUAGGCUCAAACAUAAAGAAGACUCAUUUUUAAGAAAAGAUAAAAAUGGCAUUGUCUGAUAGUAUCCAAUACACGAGAUGGCACUUAAUUUGUACAAGAUCUGUCAAUGCUGACGCACAUUUUCUGAUUAAAAAAAAACUGAUCAGUCAAAAGCAAUGAAGAGAAGUGAUGACAAUGAAUGAUGCUUCCAAUAUUUUCACCCCUUAUAGUGUUCUUCAUGAUUCAGAUAUAUAAUUGGAAAUAGAACAACCCUAUGCCAUACAUUCGUCUAAGUAUGGUGUCUAAUUUUUUGUGUCAGCGGUUGCGAAUGGAGCGUGCAAAAGUCCAAAUUGGCGUCUCUCCAUUUCCACAUAGGAAGGUGACCUUUAUUGACAAAUACCCAAUAUUUGUAGACAUUCCUUAAAUAUCAUAACUUCUUGUUGAUUUGAAAAUCAUUUUUCAACUACCAUGUUUUAAUAAAUAUUUUUUAAAAUGUAUUUUUAUCAAAGUCCACCAUGAUGGAUAAUAUUCACCAUGCAAUAAUUAAUAAAGUACAAACUAAGCGAAAUGAAAAGCAUUUUCUUUGCUUUGAGUUGAUUUUGGUUGCAUUGAGUUGAUUUUGGUUUCAUGGUUUUUUCAACUCUUAUUUUGAUUGGAAGAUGUCAAGAAAAGAAAACAUAAAGAAAAAUUAAAAGGGAAAAAAGAAGAAAAAUAAAAAAAAAUAGAUUUAAAAGUUAAUAAAUUAUUUUUUAUAUUUAUUUUAAUUCAUUUCACUUAUUUUUCUUUUACUAUAUAAAAUUUAAAUAAUUUAAAUUUUAUAAUUAAUUUAAUUACAUUUCAUUUUCUUCUAUAUUUAAAUAUUGGAAAAAUAUUUUACUUAAUAUUUUUUUCUUUAAUUUCUUUGGCAUUUUGGGAACCAAACUUAGCCUUUAAAAUAAAAAACAAAAAAAAAAUGAAAAUAAGGAGGGAAAAGUGAGAAAAGAUAAAAACAAUAUGUAAAGGAUUUGAAAAGUAUUAGUUUGUAAUUACUAUUUGGAUUUCAAUAGUAUUUUAUUUGUCUUUCUAUAUUUCAUGUAAGAGAGAAUUUAAGAUAUUCCCCAAGGCAAAGCAUUAGUUACCUGCAAUCAGUGGUGAUAAGGCUCCAAGCCAAUUUUGGGCCCCAUAUCUUAAGACAGUACAAUUUCCAUUUCAACAUUUCUGAUUUCUCAGAUGUUUCACAUACCACAGAAGAACAUUGUUUGUGAAAAUAUGCAUUUAUGUUGGAUUUUGUAUGCUGUGGGGACUGGGGCAAGGAUCAUAUGGAAGAGUGGUUGACUUUUUCUGUACUUUAACGGUUGAAAUAGGAUAAGCACGGGCAUUUGUGAGGCUUAAUUGAUUUUGAAGCCUGAAAUUGCGUUUCUGUCAUUUUGUCAAAAAAAUGGCAGAUUCCAUACUCAUAUGUUUGGCCUGUGGCCAUGUACAGAUGCCAUUUAGUGACCAGUUUGUAACUGUCAAUCGUUGCGUUUUGACUCUGCCUCAACAACAUCUGCCAUUGACGGGUUUUCAUACUUGCAAAUCAAAUAGUCUUUCGUCCCAUCAGGAAUUUCGGUUUAAAUAUUAUUAAGCAUACGUUUGGCUGACAAUCAUUAUCCAGUUCAUGAUUUGGUUUCUUACCCUUAAUCAAUGGUUUCUAAGUGAAUAUAUGUAGAAGGAAAUCCGAAGUGUAGACAGUAGUAUCGAUAACUCUCAAUAUUCUCUAUAUAAUAGAAUAAACAGCGUCAUAGUGAUCGUCGCCUACAAGCAAGGUACAAAUACCAAAACGAGUGACUCACAUAGACAUCUCCCAACAAGAUGUAGUAGUGACUGACACAUGGACACAAUUAACUCGUAGAAAAGGAUAAGACCAUUGCACAGCAGCUCUUAUUUUACAUACUACUUAUGCUAACCAAAGUCAAUUAGUUGGGAUGGGUGGGAGAUGGAGGUUUGUGCGGUGGCUUGUGGGGCGGAGUUGAUGGCUUCUUUCCAGGAGCUUCUGGCUUUUUCAUCGGAGCUGAAGGAGGCUCAAUCUUAUGAGGCGGCUUGUAUGAGUCUUCUUUACUCUCGACAGGAGGGUGGCCAGGGUUGUGAUCAUAAUGUGGUGGCUUCUCUCCCUUAGGUGGCUUGCCAACUGGGGUUGGUGGCUUGUGUUCAGGAAGUGGUUUCUCUCCCAUGGGAGGUUUAGCAAUUGGGGUUGGUGGCUUGUGUUCUGGGAGUGGCUUCUCUCCCUUGGGAGGUUUAGUAGGUGACUUGUGUUCUGGAGGUGGCUUCUCCACCGGAGGCUUGUGCUCCGGUGGUGGCUUCUUGGUUGGAGGGGGCUUGGGGUAAUCAGCAAGAGAUGGGGUGGUGAGAACCACCAGUCCAAGGAACAACACUAGCAAGUAUGUGGGAGACAUUUUUGAGUUUGGGCUGAUCAGAUGAUGCAAAACUAAAGCAUUACGUGACCUUUUAUAGCAUGUAGCUCCCAAUACCCACUAAGUAUUGUGGGGUCCAUUUGUGCCCUACGGGGUUGAAAACUUAGACAAUUGGGCAAGGACCCACCUGACUAUGGAGGACUAGUGAGGUGUGAUCAUAGCUUUAGGAUUUUUCUUCCUCUGCAGCCGUCGUGCCGUUGGCAUGAUUUUCUUAAUCUUAAAUAAAGGCAUAGUUAUAGAGUUGUUUAAUCUCUAAAUGGGAUUUUAUAUAUAUCUUCAGAUAGCCAUUAAUAUAUUUGAUGAAGAAAGAAAGACAAGUGCAUACAACAUGUAUACGACUAGCUUUCAUGGAGUUCAUUUAUGAUCAGUUUUCCUGUACAUGUAAACCAGGAUCAUAUAUAUGUUUCUGUUCCACAACUAUUUUGGAAUCUUGUUUAUCAGUUUUUAUCAUUAUAAUGUCACAUAGGCUGCCAACUUGGGCGCUAAAAGAACCAGUUGGGCUAGUUCGUUUCAGAAUUUCAAUGUGGAUUCAGGAAUUGUUUUGUAAGAUAUGCGAAAUAGUAGAGGGAUGAAUAGUGUUUCAUUAAUAAAAGUGUCCUGUAAAUUAGAAGGUGUCAUAGAAACUAUAAUCAAUAAAUAACUUUUUUUCCCCACGGGUGGUGUUUCUUGUGGGGAUCAGUGACUGGUUUAGGUUCACCCAAAAUGAGUUCAGACUAAAAUUGGUUUGAGUCAAUGCCGUGUCUCUUUUUUCCAGAAAUCAACUAUUUUAUGCAUUGAAUAAAUCAUACAAAGAAAAUAUGAACGCCCGCAAAACCUAAACCCUGGUUGCUAACUUUCUAUGUUUCAGUUCUAUUCACGCAAGAAUAUUAGUUUAAGUUUGGGAAAAAUGGCAACUUACCUAGUGAUUACUUGGUUUUGGUUUGCGACUAUUUACGCAACCAACCAUGAGUUUGACUUUAACGUCAUGGGUUGAAGCCUCCUACAGGAAGGGAGAAAGCUCCACAGCUAGCUCCAAAAGAGAAUUAUCACAUUGAUAGCUCCAGAGAUUCCCAAGGGGACUGAAUCAAAGACAAGUUCCUCACUUUUUCUUCUUUUGAGGCCAAAUAUGAACCAAGGAUCACACAACCUCAUUCAACUUCAUAAGUUUGAUUUCAUGCAGUUGAACACUGGGUGAAGGCCAUGACAAGAAUUGAUUCAAAAAUUCUAUCACUCUUUUAAGUAAUGGAAGAUUAUUAUCUCUGAUUGGCAUCACAACAGCACAUGCUCCUAGAUCUUUCUAGACACUCCAUGCAAUGAAAGCACAAUGGAUCUUGUAACGAUAGAAACUAAGCCAUGCUACAGUACUAGAUGAUGAGGUAAAACUAGUAGACACGGGUGGCAGCCUAUAUGGGAGGGACACAAGUCUAAUUGAUUUGCAUUUCAGCAUUAUAGAUAGGUAUGUUUUGGAAGAUUUGUUCUGGAAAUACCGCACCAAGUAGGAUUCUUUUUCUCUUUAGUGGGUCCACUUGCAUGCCAAUUAACGAGUUGAAAAGUAUGAGCACCUACCUCGUGCUCGUGGAACCGAAGGUCAGUGAAGUGGGGCUCCUUUUGGCCUCGUGUAAACUUGAUUCAGAAGUGAAGUUAAUAGUCUUCCAUUCAGAUGGAUACAUGGGAAUUUUUCUCUUUUAUUUAUUUAUUUAUUUUUUUUUUGUGUGUGUAUGUCAAAGGAUAAUGAAUGAAGCGCGUUAGCUUGUUUUCUGACUGGAACCGCAGAUGUCCAAAUUGGAGUUCCUUCAUUUCUUACUUAGGAUUGUUACAUGUAUAAACAAGGUAUAAGAAAUAUGCCAACGUGUCUUGAGGAGUUAUUGAUUAGAAAUAACAAGUCACCCGACUGUAGAGUUCCAAGAUUUGAAUCUUCAGACCCUAUAGCAGCCUCUGGGGUACGUGGCAUCCUAUAGCAUAUUAAUGAAGGCUUUUUCGAUUUAGACUUCACAAUACCAAUUAAUAUGUAUGCACAAAAUGGAGAUGACCCCAAAAAAAACAGAAUCGCCAUAGUUUAUGAGGUUAAGGUGAUUCUCCACUUAAUAUCUACAUUAGCUAAUUAUGUAAAUCAAAUGAACUUCUAUUUUUCCUUUUUUUUUUUGGUUUAUGUCAAAUAGUAGCCCAUAAUUAACCCAACCAUUAGCCUGUUUGAAUUGAUUUCACAUGCACAAUGUUGUAGUAGUUCAUAUUUUGAAUUUUAUUUUUACAAAGGUAGUUAAGGAAAAUGAAGUAUAAUAAUUAUAAAAGCAGACUAUAUACACUACAAUAAUUGUUAGAAUGGUAUCUCAAAUUCUAAUUUAAAAUAUUAUUUUUUGUAAAAGAAAUAUUAUAUAGAAUAUUUCCUAAUUUUAUAAAUGAUUAUAAUUAGAUCUUUAUAAAAUAAGGAAAGUUGGUAAGAAUAUCUUUAUAAAUAUUUUAGGUCAUGAGAGAAAGAAAUGGGAUAAAAAUGUGAUGAAGAGGUGAAAUAAGAGAGUUGAUUAGGAUAUAGAUGUGAAGAAGAAAGGGAUUCAAUAUAUAUAUAUCUUUCAAUUACCACAUUAAAACCCUGUGAACCUUUUAUAUGGUUUACUUUAUUUUUAUAUUCCUCCUUUAAUAUAUUUACAUUAAUGCUUCCAUUGGCACAACAAUAACGAAUUACAAAUACAAGCAACAAGUCCCAUGUUUUAUUACCAAAAGCAGGUAAAAUCCACCUAAUAUAUUACAAUAUAUUCAUCCAAUAUUUUAGACCAAUUCUUCACCAUAAAUAUCAUAAUGUGGCUUUUGUUCUUUCUUAAAUUUAAAUUGAAUUGUCUUAUAUCAAUUUGUUUGUGAUUUUUUCAUUAACUUCACUUUCAUUUGGUUAUCUUUGGUUUUUGAAAAGUAUUAAGGAAUUAAUUAACAAAAUAAUGUUAAGAAAAAUAAUUUUCUCUCUUUUGAUUUUGAUUUUGUAGUAGAAAAAUAUAAUUAAAAUUAUUUAAAAAGUAUGUAAUUUUAAAUUAUUUAAUAUUUAGAUAAAAAAAAUAAGUCUAAUGAGUUUAAAAUAACAUAUAAAAAUAAUUUAUUUAUUUUAAAUUUAUUUUUUAUUUUCCAUUAUGUUCUCUUUCUCUUUUACUUUUUCAUAUUUUUUCUUACGAAGAAUCAAACACAACCUCAUAUUAUAUGUCAAGUGUUUGUCUAUAUUUGAGCAAUGUUAGAUACGGCCAUGGAUUCAUCAAACUAAACUGAUUUUAAUAGAUACUUCACAAAUUGAUUUAUACACUAAAUCAUUGGAUAGCAAUGAUGCAUUGGAAUUAAACGUAGGAUGAAGCUCGAAGAACACUGUUUGUGUAACAACAUAUUUAUGAAAUUAUGCAAAGGAUGAGCUUCGGGGUAGUAGUACAAGGUCAUUAAUGGAGAGCCGUGUUAAACCUUGAUUGUGAUUGGAUUCCGUUAUCAGCAACAGCAACCUUGUUUGUAACCUUGAAAGUCAUUCUGUCCACAUCGAAACUCCAAUUUGACGUUUGUAAUUACCAUUCCUGGAGUGUUCCUUGAUUGAAAUUUAAAUAAUAAUUGCGGCCCACAAGGAAUAUUUUCGAUUCUGUGGGAAUUUGACAAGGUUUGUUAGAGAAGACUGGUGACAUGUUGACUUCAAUGGUUCAAAUAGGAGACGUAUGUGGAUUUGGGGGGUUUAAUUGAAACUGAGUCCCUAUGGCUUUUUAAUAUUUGCAUUGAGCAGUCUCCAUGUGACUUCCUAAUUCCCACCAACCCUCCUGUCCAUGCUGUGAAACUAAAUUGUAAUUUAUCAGCCUUUGUCAAUGGUUUCUAAAUUAAAGAUAUAGACCAUGCAUGUACUUUAAUAAAAGCAAAUCUAAAGUGUAGAUAGCAGCAAUGGUGACACCCAAUAUUCUCCAUAAAAUAGAAUUAGAAUAAGCAGUGUUACAUUGUUCAUGAUCACCUACAAGCAUACAAGAACUUCCAUGAAUAACUCAUAGCAAUUGCCAACAGGGCGUCGUAGAGACUCAUACAUAGAACACUAUCCACCCAGAGGAAAGGACAAGACCAGUGCGCUGCAGCUCUUAUUUUUCACAUGUAUACCACCACUCGUAAUAACCAAAUUCACUCAGUUGGGAUAGGUGGGAGAUGGUGGUUUGUGGGGUGGCUUGUGGGGAGGAGUUGGAGGAGGCUUUAUUUUCUGAGGCGGCUUGUAUGAGUGUGCAGGAGGAUGCCCGGGAGUGUGACCAUAAUGUGGUGGCUUCUCUCCCGUAGGUGGUUUGCCAAAUGGGCUUGGUGGCUUCUCUCCCUUAGGAGGUUUACCAAUUGGGGUUGGUGGCUUGUGUUCUGGGAGUGGUUUCUCUCCCUUGGUAGGUUUGCCAAUUGGGGUUGGCGGCUUAUGUUCUGGGAGUGGCUUCUCUCCCUUGGGAGGUUUGCUAAUUGGGGUUGGCGGCUUAUGUUCUGGGGGCGGCUUCUCUCCCUUGGGAGGUUUGCCAAUUGGAGUUGGCGGCUUAUGUUCUGGGAGUGGCUUUUCUCCCUUGGGAGGCUUGCCAAUUGGGGUUGGCGGCUUAUGUUCUGGGGGUGGCUUCUCUCCUUUAGGAGGUUUGCCAAUUGGAGUCGGCGGCUUAUGUUCUGGAAGUGGCUUUUUUCCCUUGGGAGGUUUGCCAAUUGGGGUUGGCGGCUUAUGUUCUGGGGGUGGCUUCUCUCCCUUGGGAGGUUUGCCAAUUGGAGUCGGCGGCUUAUGUUCUGGGAGUGGCUUCUCUCCCUUGGGAGGUUUUGUUGGUGGCUUGUGUUCUGGAGAUGGCUUCUCCCCUGGAGGCUUGUGCUCCGGAGGUGGCUUCUGAAAUGGCGGGGGCUUGGGGUAAUGAGCAAGAGAUGGAGUACUGGUGAGAACCACCAUUCCAAGCAACAAUACUAGCAAGCAUGUGGGAGACAUCUUUGAGUAGUUGUAGCUAAGAUGGCGCAACACUGUAGGCAUUGGGUGGCCUUUUAUAAAGGGCUGGACCCAACAGCCAUAUGACACGUGUCAUGAUGACAAAUGAAGUUGAGGGGAUCCAGAUGGGUCCUACUGAGUCGAAAACUUGCACUAAUUGAUCUGGUGAGAUGACUAUUUCUGUCCUUUUGCCCUUCUCGGCCACCCUGUGCUGUUUUCCUUUUGCACGAUUUUCGUUGCCAAACAAGCAAAUAAUAUUUCGCCAAGAAAGAGGAGAGUGAAUGUGGAAUGCAUCAAGUCCCAUCAAGGAUGGCAGAGAAGAAAUAGAAGAUUGCCCAACUGUGAUAAACAUAGCAUACACGUAGCACCAGGAACUUCAUUUACUUCCAUCUAAUGGAACAUAACAAUCUUCUAAAGUUUUUGCAUGAUUUUGUUAUAUGUCUCUUAGCCUAAAGUUGGAAAUGCGCAACAAAUUUUGUCACUUCUCUAUUUCCCACUGAUGAUGUUAAUUAGCCUUCAUAGAUAUCAUCCUUUCUACAAAGUGCUUCAUUUGUGUGUUAUUGUAAAGUGUAAGAAAAGUAAUUGAACAUGUUCUUUUUCCUUUCAUAGAUGACUUUUGAUGUGCAUUUUAAAAGCAGCGCUGUGAGUCGGUGACCUUGAUUCACACGGAAACUAAGGCUCCUAUAGGACCCACUUUUAGCUGGUUAGGGGUGAAGAAAAUAUCAACUUUUCAGAGUGAUUUAAGUCAAGGCCAAGCCUCACUGUGUCAUUACUCGUGUGAAUUUUAUAUGCACAUACAUACAUAAAUAAAGUAUGAGACCCAAAUAACACCUUCCCUUUACAAACUUAACCCCAGCCGCUCUCUUUCAAUUCUUUUCACACAAGGGUAUUGACUCUAUAAAGGUCAAGAAAAUCAUAAUUUCCUAGGGUUUACAAGGUAAUUGGCUUAAUGCUAAUGUGAAAACAUAAAAGAUAAUAGUAUAUUGUAAGCUAACGAAUAUUCUAUAGUUAUAAUUAUUUGUGAUGUGCAUAAAUAAAUCUUCAUAUAUAUAAUGGAACAAUGAAUAAAGAACCAAUGAAAAAAUACUAUAUAUCAUUGCUUGGCAUUUAAACCGUAUAUGCUGCUCUUUCUAGCUACUCCAUCCACUGAAAGACAACAAGGUAAUCCAUGUUAUAAUGAUAGAAGAUACUGUCUCUAGGCUUUUUGUGAUGAAAAAUAUAAGAUAUGGGUAGGGUUGACCCUUGUAUGUUUGUCCUAUAAACACUUCAAAGUAACAUAUUUUUCUUCUUUAGCAACUCAUAAUGAUGGGGUUCAUUUGCAUGUCACUGAGUUGAAAAGUUGGACAAUUGCCCAUGUCGCCUUCCUCCUAGAUUCCGUAGUUCACGGGAAGGUAACUCAAGUUUGACAUAUUUUGAAUUCUUUUCACUCGGACGUCUUCAUAACCUGACAAAACAAAAAUGAAAAACAGAGGAUUGGUAUAUUAUUCAUGGUAAGCCUCAAAUUAUAGUAGUAUGAGAAAGGAGAAAAAGAUUUUGGGAACUCCAAUCUGGAUAAUUCUCGUUUCUUCUCUUGAAUAAAAAUUUCACUUACCUAACUUCGUUUGGAGAAAUGGCAUAUUUUAAUUUUGUACGUCAUUGCUAAUAAAUGGAGCAAUUUAGCAUGUUUUGUGACUGAAACUGCAAAUGUCCAAUUGGCAUUUCUUCAUUUCCCACUUAGGAUCUGAUCUUGUAGACCAUAUAACGAUAUGUAUCUGUGCAAGCAUUGAAAACUAAUGUGAACUAUGAGGAGUUACAAGCCACUGGACUGUAGAGCGAGUGCCAAGAUUUAAAUCUUCAGGCUCUAUCUGGGUAAGGGGAGGAUAGCGACCUAACCUUUUACCAAAGGCUUAGAAUUUAGACUUUUGGAAAAAAAUUUCUCAUGUUUUGGCUGGAUUUCUUGUGCUUGGCGCAAAAAGGAGAUGGCCUCAAGAAAUAGCAGACUCACUUUUGUUUUCAGCCCUUAAUAAUUCUCCACUGCUUUCCAUAACUACAUGGGUUAUACAUGCAGUCUGCUGCAAUAUUCCAGUUAUAUUUAUUAUUUCAAAGAGGGUGAAUGACUUCACAUGCAAUAUGUUGCAGUAACAACCCAAAUUUUGGCACACCAUCUUAAGAAUAGAAAAGUAUAAUAAAAGAAAUCAAUCAGAGAAUCACUUUGCAUGCAGUUCAUAGAGUUCGCCCAAAAUGGAGCCACAUGUACGGACAACCCCACAAUAGACAAUCUUCUCUAUACAGUAAUAAAAUACAGAAAUGGUUAAUGAAGCUCUGUAUUUCCUUAUCAUAUAUGACCGGUUGAAAACUCAGCAAGUCUUCCUCAAUCACAGACAGUUGGAGUUGCUUCAUCAAAAUCAUGCCUUCAUUACUGGCUUCAUUUUGGUUUCAAUGUCUGUUCUACCCUUAAAUUGGGUCUCUGCUUACUACCGGGAUAUCCUUUAGCGUCCUGCAAUUCUACUAGAUUAAAGAGAAUGACUUAAUUCUGCAUUCUGCCGUCCCUAGUCCAAGUGGUACUAGAAUUGAUGUUUCCUUUAGUGUCCUUUCUUCAUACUUUCAGGUUCUUCCCUUGUUUCAAUAAUGCUGUUUUCCUUCAUGUUUAACCUCUGUUGAACCACUUAAAACAACACAAUUUGCACACCAAUGUUUCUUUACAGAAAAGACUGUUUGCAAAAAUGCACAUGUUAUAAGGUUAAUGGAAGAAUUAAUUUGGGGAUAAGGGACUAGGAUUGGGCCAAUGAAGUUUGGUGUUAAAUUUUGAUUAUGAUUGCUUUUCAUUAUCAGGUACCUUAUAUUUGCUGAUGCUAUCUGGAACUAAAUUCAAAUCAGACAUUAUCCGAUUACUAACAGGACAUAUCAUGUCCCUCUGCAGAGUUUCUAAACUAACAUGUAUCGAAAUGUGGCCCCAAAAGGAAGGCUAGGAAGAUGGAGGAUUUUGUAGGAAUCGACCAGAAUCAGAUGGAAGAGAGAUAGUCCUGUUGACUUUAAUGGUUGUGAUAGGAACAUGCAUCAUUAUAUGAGAAGUUGCAUGAAUUUAUGUAUCCUGUUAUCGUUCCUUGACGAUUUCCCAAUGCAAUUUCACUGUCCACAAGACUAACCUCUCCAUGCAGUCAAAUGAAUUGUAAUUUCUCUAUUGGUACCAGUAGUACAUUUCAUACCAAACAUAUAGUAAAUAUAAAAUAUAAAUAGAUCAAGGAAAUCUGAAUUGUAGAUAGCACUGCAAGUAACACUCAAUAUUCUCUAUAUAUAAUAAAAUAAACAGUGUCACAAUACUCAUCACCCAGUGGCAAGGGAGAAAAACCUACAAUGAGUACUCAAAUCACCAUUCUCAAACAGAAACAUAGCAGUGACUGAUACAUAGAACCUAUAUGCUCACAGGGAAAGAAUAAGAUGACCAGUGCACAGCGGGCAGCAGCUCUUAUUUUACGUACAACUCAAAUCCCAAACUAACCAAAGUCGCUCAGUUGGGAUGGGUGGGAGAUGGUGGUUUGUGGGAUGGCUUCUGGGUAGGAGCUGGUGGCUUCUGUCCCUUUGGUGGUUUGCCUAAUGAGCUUGGUGGCUUGUGCUCCGGGAGUUGUUUCUCUCCCUCGAGUAGGUUUCGAGUCUUGUCAGAUGGCUUGUGUUCUGGUGGUGGCUUCUCUCCCUGGGGUGGUUUGCCGAAUGGGCUUGGUGGCUUGUGUUCGGGGAGUGGCUUCUCUCCCUGGAGAAGGUUACGAGUUUUGUCAUAUGGCUUUUGUUCUGGUGGUGGCUUCUCUCCCUGGGGUGGUUUGCCGAAUGGGCUUGGUGGCUUGUGUUCGGGGAGUGGCUUCUCUCCCUGGAGAAGGUUACGAGUUUUGUCAGAUGGCUUGUGUUCUGGUGGUGGCUUCUCUCCCUGGGGUGGUUUGCCGAAUGGGCUUGGUGGCUUGUGUUCGGGGAGUGGCUUCUCUCCCUGGAGAAGGUUACGAGUUUUGUCAGAUGGCUUUUGUUCUGGUGGCGGCUUCUCUCCCUGGGGUGGUUUGCCAAAUGGGCUUGGUGGCUUGUGUUCGGGAACUGGCUUCUCUCCCUUGGGAGGUUCAGUUGGUGGCUGCUGUUCCGUAGGUGGUUUCUUCACCGGCGGCUUGUGCUCCGGAAGCGGCUUCUCUACCUGGAGAAGCUUACGAGUUUUGUCCGAUGGCUUGUGUUGUGGUGGUGGCUUCUCUCCCUGGGGUGGUUUGCCAAAUGGAGUUGGUGGCUUGUGUUCGGGGAGUGGCUUCUCUCCAUUGGGAGGUUUAGUUGGUGAUUGGUGUUCCGUAGGUGGUUUCUGAAGUGGGGGAUGCUUGGGGUAGUCAGCAAGAGACGAGGUAGUGAGAACCACCAGUCCCAGCAGCAACACUAGCAAGCAUGUGGAAGACAUCUUUGAGUUCAGGCUGAGAUCUGUGCAAGGAUAACAGAAUUAGGUGGCCUUUUAUAGAGGCCUGGACCCAACACCCAUAUGACACGUGUCAUGCACUCAUGGUGACACAUAAUUCUAUGGGACCAUUUGGGUCCUACAGAAGUUGCAAAGUUGGACUACUGAGGUGUGAUCACAACUUUUGUCCUUAUUGCUUUCUCUGCGGCCAUUGCACGAUUUCCUUUAGCAUCAUUUUCUUGGCUAAAUAAGCGUAUUAUAUUUGUGGCAGACCGUCCACGUGUCAUAAACAGAUAUAUUAUAAUAAUGUAGUAUGCUUUUCUCCAAUGGAACAUGACACUCUUCUAAGUCUUGUUUUAAAUAUUGUGCAGGAUUACUUUAUACGUUGCAGUUCCAAGUCAAAAUUGGUGGGCAAACGUUGGCCUUUUUUCAUUUCACCUAAGAUUAAUGCUCACCUGGGAUAGGCACUACAUGACUUAUCUGCUCUUUUACUGUAAAGUUGCUUUGUGUAUGAGAUACACCUCCCCUGCACACCCUCAACAUUCGUUGCUCUGUUUUCCUUGUGUCCAGACGAGGAUAUUAAUUGGAGGCUGACAAAACGACUGCUAGCCCAGGAUUUACAAGGUCCUGGUUUGAGGCUUCGGUGAAAGUAUUUUUGAAAAGACACACAUAGAGAUAGUGCGUUUGGUGCAAUGCAGCACUGUGAGCCAUUCUGACGCGUUCUUAAUUUCAAAACUAAUGAAUGCUUCAAAAUUUUAAGAAGUGACAUUUCCAAAUAUUUGAGUUCGUUUAAUUGAACAUUGGAUAACUAGUGAUCAUAGAUUAUUAUCUGUGCUUGGCACUAUAAGAGGGUAUAUGCUUCUUUUUCUGGCCCCUCCUUCAAGGGAGGAGGGACAAUGUGAUCUGUAACGUUAGAAGCUAUUCCAUGUCAUCUUUGGGCUCAGUUCAAAACUAAAAGAUAAUGGGGGGGGGGGGGGGGGGCAUAUCAUUUUAUAUUUCUUCUAGAAGGUUUGUUCUGGAAAUAUUUCACAGGAGCAUAUCUUUUUCUUCUAUUACGUCAUCCGCAGCCUCCAAUAGGUCGGUUAACAAGCCACCGAGUUGAAAAGUUGGAAAAAUGGGAACACAGCCCGCCUCUUGUAUUCAGUAGUUAAAUAAAAGGUCACUAGAAGUGAGAUCCCUUUUGGCGUCUUGAUUUUCAAUCCAGCACCUCUGUGACCUGACAAACCAAAAAAACUAAAAAAUAAAAAACAGUACGUGGGUUGGUGUUAAGCAUCAAGACAUGUUAAUGAAAGAAGGUAGAGAAUAGGAUAUUGAAAUCCCAAUCCUGAUAACAUGAUUUUCUUUGCUAACAACCAUAUUAUAUUUUAUCAAGAAAGAGUAAUGCAUGUGGCGUCCAUCAAGACCCAUUAGAGUUCCGCUAAAGCUAUAGUUCUGUCAACGUUAUCAUUUACGUUUCCUCUAGAUAAUGGCAUUUUCCUCUAAAGCUCUUGCACCAUUAGGCUUCAAGUCAAAAUUUCACAUGUGAACUUUGGAAAUUUUCUCCAUUUGCCCCUAAGGAUACAGUUAGAAUUGACUUAAAAUCCUGAUUGAUAUGUACUAUUAACCAAAGAAUAUUGUAUAUAAUAAUUGAAAUAUUGUUGAUUCAUCGUGGAAAUACAUUUUGUAAGGAAAGUUGUUGAGAAUUUAGUAUGCUAUAUGGAGAAAAAAGUCAUGACUUAAGGUUGUGUAUGUAUAUUCUAUAUCAAAUAUUAGGUAGGAAUGUGGGAAAGAGCAGAGUGUAAUGAUAAGAAACAAAGAAAUAUAAGAUAUUCUUGAAAGUGGAAAAUAUAAAAUGGCUAACGAGUCAAAUUUAUGAUGCGUAAGGGGGAUCAUGUCACAUAAGAAAACCAUGGCAUACUAAAGACGUACGUGUGGUAUGGAGUAAUAAUUUUGUUAAAAUAAGUUUCUUGUUGGAGUACAUUAGGUGACUAUUCAUAACGUAUCAAAUUAAAGAGUCAAGUGCAUCAAUGAAGGCAUAUGUAGAAAAUUUGUUUGUGACAUGUACCAUAAAGAUAAGAUUGACUUGAUAGAAUUUAGUCUAAGUAGGAGUUGUUAAAGGUGUCUUAAAUUUCUAAUUGAUGUAUAUUUUUUUCUAAAAAAAUAUUAUAUAGAUAUUUUAAUAAAUGAUUAAUUCUUUGUAAAAAUACUUACAUAAUAAAAAACAUCAUUAAAAAUAUCUUUAUAAAUAUUUUAAGUUACAAGAAGGAAAAAAACCACUGUGAGAUAAUGAUGAACAUGCAACACUGUACCAAGUAAAUAAAAAUGUGAUAAAAAAAAAAGAGAAACACUCGAUAAAGGAAGGCUCGUAUAUAAAGAGUAAUAUUUUUAAUCAUAUGAUAGAAUGAUUUUCUCUCAUUCAUGAAUAUAGGCAAGAUUGGGGAACCAUUAUAAAAUUUUGUACACCUCGUGUAAAUUGAUGUUUGUCUUCAUAUUUUACACCAACAAAUGACAUUGAAGUUGUCAUUGAUAAAAGGGAAAAGGCAUGCCUCCACACCAUGUGCUUGAUUCGAAUGGUUCAAGUUUGAAGAAUUUUCUCCGGAAGAUCUAAAACAUUUUCGCCUUUAAAUUUCAUUUGAUUAUUAAUAUCCGAAAAAAUAGUUAAAUACUCUUUCUAUUUUUGAGUUGUUGAAUUUUUUGAAAGUUUUUAUAUUUGUUAUCAAGAAUUUCUAUUUUAUUAAGGGUGAAUAUUUAUAAAUAAGAUAUUAUAUAAUAUUUGGAUAAGAGAGAAUGGUGGAAUAUAAUAAAGUUUUAAUCCUUCCCAAUUUUGAACCUUUUUUUUUUUUUUUGAUAUAAUCGCCUUUCUCUUGCAAUCCUAUUAUCAGGUACCUUAUAUUUGCUGAUGCUAUCUGGAACUAAAUUCCAAUCAGGCAUUGUCCAAUUACUAAUAGGACAGAUCAUAUCUCUCUGUUUCUAAACUAACAUGUAUCGUAAUGUGACCUCAUAAGGAAGGCUAGGAAGAUGGAGGAUUUUGUGGGAAGCGACCAGAAUCAGAUGGAAGAGAGAUAGCCCUGUUGACCUAAUGGCUGUAAUAGGAGAAGCGUGUGGUUUUAUGGGACUUAACUGAUACUAAACCUGUAUGAUGCUUGGAGUGGUGUUUCUUUCAUUUUGUUAAGAAAAUAUGGCAGCAUACAUGCUUUCAACUGAGUGCAUCAGAGCAUCCAUAACAGAUGGUCUGCAACCCUAGGUGCAUGCCACUUUCUGACUGAUAAUGAAAUUGUCAGGUACCUGGCCUUGACUAAGCUCAACAGCAUCACAUAAAGAGAAGCUUUCAUACUUAGAUUACUGUUUAAAGUUUUUGCUUAUUUGAUUUCUUAAUGCCAUUAUGACAUUAUUGAUUCAAUUCUGCUUCCGAUUUUCGAAGUUCUGGGCAUCUACUGAUUGCAUCAUUAUAUGAGAAGUUGCAUGAGUUUAUGUAUCCUGUUAUUGUUCCUUUGCGAUUUCACUGCUCACGGGACUAACCUCUCCAUUCAGUCGAAAUGAAUUGUAAUUUCUUUACUGGUAGCAGUAGUACUUUUCAUAGCAAAGAUAAUAGAAAAUAUGAAAUAUAAAUAGAAGGAAAUCUGGAUUGUAGAUAGCACCAUAAGUAACACUCAAUAUUCACUACAUAAUAAAUAGACAGUGUUACAUAGGUAGAGAAACCUACAAUGAGUACUCAUCACCAUUCUCAAACAGAAACAUAGCAGCGACUUAUACAUAGAACCUAUAGGCUCGCAGGGAAAGAGUAACAUGAUAAGUUCACAGCGGGUAGCAGCUCUUAUUUUACGUAUUACUCAAAAUCUCAAACUAACCAAAGUCACUCAGUUGGGAUGGGUAGGAGAUGGUGGUUUGUGGGGUGGCUUCUGGGUAGGAGCUGGUGGCUUCUUUGUUGGAGUUGAAGGAGGCAUAUUCUUCUGAGGUGGCUUGUAUGACUCUUCGGCACUCUCUGCAGGAGGGUGCCCAGGGUUGUGACCAGAAGGAGGUGGCUUCUGUCCCUUUGGUGGUUUGCCUAAUGGGCUUGGUGGCUUGUGCUCCGGGAGUUGUUUCUCUCCCUCGAGUAGGUUUCGAGUUUUGUCAGAUGGCUUGUGUUCUGGUGGUGGCUUCUCUCCCUGGGGUGGUUUGCCGAAUGGGCUUGGUGGCUUGUGUUCGGGGAGUGGCUUCUCUCCCUGGAGAAGGUUACGAGUUUUGUCAGAUGGCUUUUGUUCUGGUGGCGGCUUCUCUCCCUGGGGUGGUUUGCCAAAUGGGCUUGGUGGCUUGUGUUCGGGAACUGGCUUCUCUCCCUUGGGAGGUUCAUUUGGUGGCUGGUGUUCCGUAGGUGGUUCCUUCACCGGCGGCUUGUGCUCCGGAAGCGGCUUCUCUACCUGGAGAAGCUUACGAGUUUUGUCAGAUGGCUUGUGUUGUGGUGGUGGCUUCUCUCCCGGGGGUGGUUUGCCAAAUGGACUUGGUGGCUUGUGUUCGGGGAGUGGCUUCUCUCCAUGGGGAGGUUUAGUUGGUGGUUGGUGUUGCGUAGGUGGUUUCUGAAGUGGGGGAUGCUUGGGGUAGUCAGCAAUAGACGAGGUAGUGAGAACCACCAGUCCCAACAGCAACACUAGCAAGGAUGUUGAAGACAUCUUUGAGUUCAGGCUGAGAUCUGUGCAAGGAUAAAAGAUUUAGGUGGCCUUUUAUAGAGGGCUGGACCCAACACCCAUAUGACACGUGUCAUGCACUCAUGGUGACACAUAAUUCUAUGGGACCAUUUGGGUCCUACAGAAGUUGCAAAGUUGGACUAUUGAGGUGUGAUCACAACUUUUGUCCUACUUGCUUUCUCUGCGGCCAUUGCACGAUUUCCUUUAGCAUCAUUUUCUUGUCUAAAUAAGCGUAUUAUAUUUGUGGCAGACCGUCCACGUGUCAUAAACAGAUAUAUUAUAAUAAUGUAGUAUGCUUUUCUUCAACGGAACUUGACACUCUUCUAAGUCUUGUUUUAAAUACUGUGCAGGAUUACGUCAUAAGUUGCUUGUUCCAAGUCAAAAUUGGUGGGCAAACGUUGGCCUUUUUUCAUUUUCCCUAAUAUUAAUGCUCACCUGGGAUAGGCACUACAUGAUUUAUCUGCUCUUUUACUGUGAAGUUGCUUUGUGCAUGAGUUACACCUCCCCUGCACACCCUCAACAUUUGUUGCUCUGUUUUUCUUGUGUCCAGACGAGGAUAUUAAUUGGAGGCUGACAAAACGACUGCUAGCCAAGGAUUUACAAGGUCCUGGUUUGAGGCUUUCACGAAAGUAUUUUUGAAAAGAUACACAUAGAGAUUGCGCGUUCGGUGCAAUGCAACAAUGUGAGCCAUUCUGAAGUCUUAAAUUUCAGAUUAAUGAAUGCUACAAAAUUCUAAGAAGGGCCGUUUCCAAAUAUUUGAGUUCAUUCAUCCGAACAUCGGGUAUAUGCUUCUUUCUCUAGCCCCUCCUUGAAGGGAGGAGGGACAAUGUGAUCUGUAUCGUUAGAAGCUAUUCCAUGUCGUCAUCUUUGGGCUCAGUUCAAUACUAAAAGAUAUGGGCGGGGCCCUUAUCAUUUUAUAUUUCUUCUAGAAGGUUUAUUCUGGAAAUCUUUCACAGAAACAUAUCUUUUUCUUCUCUACGUGAUCCGUGGUUUGAAAGUUGGAAAAAUGGGUCCGUUAACAAGCCACCGAGUUGAAAAGUUGGAAAAAUGGCAACACCGCCAACCUCUUGUAUUCGAUAGUUAAAUAAAAGGUCACUGGAAGUGAGAUCCCUUUUGGCCUCUUGAUUUUCAUUCCAGCAUCUCUAUGGCCUGAUAAAUUAAAAAACUAAAAAAAAAGACAGUACGUGGGUUGGUGUUAAGCAUCAAGAGUCAAGACAUGAUAAUGGAGAGAAAGGAUAUUCAAAUUCCAGUUCUGACAACAUGAUUUUCUUUGCUGAACUACCAUAUUAUAUUUGAUCAAGAAAGAGUAGUGCAUGUGGCCAGGAUCAAGACAUACAUUAAUUUCCACAUGAUGAAGACAGUUUCUGAGAGUUUCUUCUAAAGCUCUUGCGCGAGUAGGCUUCAAGUCAAAAUCUCCCAUGUAAACACUGGUUUUUCUUUCAUUGCCACUAAGGAUGCAGUUAAUAUUGACUUAAGAUCCUACGUGAUAUAUUUUUUUAAAAGAGCUAUAUUGUAGAUAAUAUUUGAAAUAAUGUUGAUUCGUUGUGGAAAUAUAUUUGUAAGGAAAGUUGUUGACAAUUUAAUAUAGUAUAAGAAGAAAAAAGUUAUCAACUAGCUAGAGAUGAGUAUGUAAAGUGAGGCUCACGAUUCAACGCGUAAAUAUAAGAUAUUUUAAGGCUCAAUAGUUAUGAUAUCUAUUUUAUUUUUUGUAUCUCAUAUAUUCAAAGAUAUAGUAAAAUGAUUUUACAUAUAUAUAUAUAUAUAUAUAUGAACAUAACUAUUUGUGCCAAUUGAUUUUUAUCUUUAUUUUGUAUAUUAGUAAUUAUAUUAAAGUUUUUACUAAUAUAAUAACUAAUAUAAAAGCUUUUUCUAAAAGAGUCAACAGAGCAAAACACUUAUUAUAAAAAAUAAUUUUGAUUGAAGGUGGAGUCAAUUAUUCUUUAUUUAACAUGUAAUGCAUACGGCGUGUACUUCAUAACUAAAGUAUAUAAGUGUAACAUCUCUUAUAUAUUCUCAUUCAAUCUCGAAAGUGGAAAUUUUAAAAAGAUUAAACGGUUCAAAUUUGUCGUGCAUAAAGGGGAUCAUGUCACAUAAGCAAACCAUGGCAUACCAAAGACAUAGGUAUGGACUAAGAAUUUUUUUCAAAUAAGUUUCUUAUUAGGGUACAUUAAUAGGUGACUUUUUAUGACAUAUCAAAGGAGUCAAGUGCACCAAUAAAAACAUAUAUAGAAAAUUCAUGCAUGACAUGUAUCACUAAGAGAAGAUUGACUUGAUAGAGUUUAAUCCAAAUAGGAGAUUGUUAAAAGGUGUCUCAAAUUCUUGAUUGAUAUAUAUUUUUUUUAUUAAAAAGGUUAUUAUAUAGAUAUUUCAAUAGACUAUUAAUUCUUUGUAAAAAUAGUUAUAUAAUGAGGAUGGUGAUUAAAAAUAUCUCUAUCAAUAUUUUGGAUUAUAAAAAGAAAAAAAAUGAGAUAAUGAUAAACAUAUAAAACUUGUACAAGUAGAUAAAGAUGUGAUGAAAGACACUUGAUGAAUGAAGGCUUUGUAUUUCAAGAUAUAAAUAUAUGGAGCAAAACUCUUAAUUAUAUGAUCAAAUGAUUCUCUCAUAUUCAUGAAUAUAAGCAGGAUUGGGGAACCAUGAUAGAAUCUUAUAUGCCUCUCCAUGUAGAGUGAUCGAUGUUUAUCUUCAUAUUUUACACCAGUGAAUGACAUUGAAACUCUUAUUGAUAAAAGGGAAAAGGCAUGGCCUCCACCCCAAGAAAAACAAGUAACCUCGGUUUAAAUCACUAGUCUACACCCCGAAGAGAGAACUAGCCAAACCUACUAAAAGAGAAACUUAACAAUUUAGAAAGAAACCGUCCAUGAUAAAGGGCCCCUAAAGGUCCAAUUCAGUGAGGUCGUGAACAAAAACACUUUCAUGUCAAAACAGAGAUAGGUACCACCAAAAUGUAAAGGGAAAGAUGUAAACCACGUCGAACUUUGGUAAUCAAUGGUAAAGAUAGCAUGAUAGCUAAAAGCACUAAAGCUGUGCUUGGUAUGCAAAAAUGAAAAGUGGAAAUCAGCGUCUUAUUCUUUUUCACCUUUAUUCACAUAUUAGGAUAACUAAUAUCUAAUGUUUUUUAUGUCUCAAAUUCUAUUCCAUGUUAUGGUAAACUUUCAUCUUGUUUAGAUCACUUUUGUCUGGUUUGGGCUCAAGACGAUAAGCCUAUAGAGACUUCAUAUUGGGUUGAAUCGAUGCCCUUGAUCUGAUCUGUUCGUUAGAAAAAUCUGAAUUAUUAUAAGCAUUUAGAUAAAAAAUAAAUAAAUGUGAAACACAAACUACUCCCUGCACAACCUUGACCCUAGUUACUCAGUUUCACUGCUCACAGGACUAACCUCUCCAUUCAGUCGAAAUGAAUUGUAACAAGAAGAUUUUUGACAGGAGGACGGUAGUUUAAAAUAAUAAUUUCUAAAGUACUUUUGUGAAAAAAAAUAAUUCCAAACGUGGAUUUUAUCAAGUAAAAAGAAAAAAAAAAGUUAUUUUCUUUUAAAAUCUGUUCUUCUAAAGAUGAUAUAUAUACCAAAAAAAAAAAUUGUUUUCUGAAGGUAAAAUUUUUAAAAUUCAUUUUUAAAAAAAUUUACACACUAAAAUUAUCUUUUCAAGAGAAGAUUUUUUUAAUUUUAAAUAAUUAUUAAUUUAUAAUUAAUUUGUUAUUAAUUAUUUAUUAAUUUUUUUAUUUGAAAAAUGCAUUUAUAAAAAACAAAUUUGUUAUUAAUUUAUUAAAUAAUUUUUACAAAAUAAAUAAUUUUUUUUUAUUUUAAUUUUAAAAUUAAUUUUAUUAUAUAAAUUUUAAAAUUAAAAAUAUUAAUAUUUAAUUUAAAAUUUAACUAUAAAAGGAAUAAAAUAUAGAAAAAUAAAUUAAUUUAUUAUUCAAUAAAUUAAUUUUCAAUAAAAUUUUCAGCAUUAAGAGAUAAAUUUUUAAGUAUUAAUCAAUUUAAAAAGAAAUAAUGAUCAUUUGUAUAUUAAGAUAUUUUAUUUAGUAAUUAUGAAUGAUAAACAACUAAAGUAAUUUGAAAAAAUAAUAAAAUAUUUAAAAAAUAAUAAUUUAAUACACGUAAAAUUAGAAAUGAUUAACUAUUUUUUAUUAAGAAAAAAUUGAGGAAAUAUUUUGUUAUUUAAAAUUUUUUAUUUGUUUUCAAUUUUUAAUGUUAUAGGUUUCAAGAAAAUUGAUCAAAUAAAAAUUAAGAAGUCAUUUUUUCAAAAACUAUAUAUCUAAAUAAAAGCCUUGAAAUUCAAAUACACAAUAUCAUAAAUAUAAACACCAAGUCAAUCCUUAAUUAUCAAAUGUUUUUAAUAUUAAAGAAUCAAAAUCACCUACUAUCAUGAUAAUAAGAAAACCAAUAAUAUUGUUCAUAUAAAUACUAAAAAGCUAACAAAUAUCCCAAACAAUUAAUAAAGUAUCAAACAUGAUAAAAAGUCAAUUAUUAUCAUGAAUGCAAAAAAUCAAUAAUUUUGUUUAUAUGAACCAUCAACAAAGAAAAAAAAAAUCAAUAUCUAAAUAUUAAACAUAAUUUAUAUUUUUAUAAAUAUUAUUGUUGAUAAAUAUCUUAACAAUUAUAAUUUUAGUAAAUAAAAUUAAUUAAUUUUAGUUUAAGAAUUAUUUUUUUAUACUUUCGUAUUCUUAUCAAAAAUCCCCAUUUUGCAUGUCUCCUUUGGCAUGACUUUCUUACCUAAACAAGCAUAUAUAUAUAUAUAUAUAUAUAAAAUAUUUGGUUAAGAAAGAGUACUAAAGUUUAUAUGGCACACAUCAAGAUAGAAACAGAAGUGGAAGAUAAUCCAAAUGUAUGAACAGAUAUAUUAUAUCCAUGUAGUGGUAGUGACUUCAUUAUUUACUUUUAUCUAAUGGAGCAUGACACACUUCUUCUGAAUAUUUUGCACGAUUAUGUUAUGUGUCAGCUUGUUCUAAGUCAAAACUAGUGAUAAAAAUCGGUUUUUUUUGCAUUUCCUUCAUGAAGAUGGCACCUGGAUGGGGCACUACAUGAGUGGCAUAGCACGAAGUGAUUUAUCUGCUCCCUUUACUAUAAAGUGCUUUGUGUAUAAGUUACACCUCCCCUGCACUGCCUCAACAUUUGUUGUUCUGUCUUCCGUCUGUCCAAACGAGGACAAACGUAUGUUGUAGGUUGACAAAACCACAGCUAGCCUAGGAUUUGCAAGGAUCUAGUUUGAUUCGUAUGCAAAAGGAUUGGUGAAAAGAUUCACAAAGAUAAUGCUUUUUGCAAUGCAAUCUUGUUCUAAUUCAACAGUGUGGACCAUUUUCAUGUAAUGCUUCAACUAGAUGUCAGUUUCAUGAAUUUUUGUUCAUCUAAUUGAUCACUGGAUAGGCCAUAACCCGAAGAAAUUCAAAAUUCCCUUCAGUACUGUAGCUAAGGAAAGAUCCCUAUCUACCACUGGGAUUUUAAGAGGGUAAAAAUGUAGGUGGGUGCCUAUAUCAUUUGCACUUCACUAUAGGCCUCUUUGGGAAGAUUUCUUCUGAAGACAUUUCAAAGAAACAUAUUUUUCUCUUCUCUCCGUAAACGGCAGCUGCAAGUCAGUCCAUUCACAGGCCACCGAGUUGAAAAGGCUGGAAAAUUGGCCAAAGCACCCGCCUCCUGGAUUCCAUGGGUAAGGAAAAGGUCACUGGAGGUGUGAUCCCUGUUGGCCUCUUGAUUUCCAUUCCGCCAUCUAUAUGACCUGAUAACCCAAAAACACAGAAGGAAAACGUCACCUGGGUUCAUAGUAAGCAUCAAGUCAUGAUAGAGACCAGACAACAUGACCAACAAAGAGUAGCGAAUGGGGCCAACAUCAAGCCCCAUUACGGUUAGAAGAUGGAAGAAGUAGAAGACAAUCCAAUUCUGAUAGAUUCGGGCAAAUGUAGUGCUGUUCAAACUUAAUCAUUUACUAUUUCUUCAUGAAUCACGGCAUUUUUCUUCUGAAAAUUUUCCAAGAUUAGGCCUCUGAAGAAAAAUUUCAUAUGUAAAUUGGUAUAUUAAGGAAAAGGCGUUACAAAGGUGAAAAAAAACCAAUCAAAUCUUAUAUAUGACAUCUCAAAAAUAUGAACUUGCUAUAAAUAUUUAAAAUCAAAAUCUUGCACAUCACCUCGUAGUACGAACUUGCUAUAAAACUUGAAAAUCAAGAAGAAAGGGGCAGUAUUGGACGAGACUACUUAGCACAUAUUAUUAUGAUGUUUUUUCAUUUUCUUAAUGUUGUUUUUAUGUCUUAAAUUCUAUUAUUCUAUGUUACGGUAAACAUUCAUCUUGUUUGUGUGGAAUAGGAUCACUUUUCUCUGGGUUGAGUCGAUGCCCUUAGUUAAUUUGUUCAUUUGAAUAAACUAAAUUAUUAUAAGUAUUUAGAUAAGAAAAACGUGAUACAUAAAUUACGCCUCUCGGCACAACUUCAACACUGGUUACUCUGUUUCAGUUUCCUCACACAAGAUUAUUGGUUCUAGGGUUUAUUUGGUUUUGGUUUGAUUCUAAUUGCUAAACUUUCUCAAGGAAGAUGUUAUAUAGGGAGUGAGAAACCUUCACUCUUGGCUACCUCCAAGAGAAGAGCAAGUGGUCUGAAUCAAAGAUAUACUGCUCACUUUUUCUUCUUCUAAGGACAGCUAUGACCUUGCUUUAAGGUUCGAAUAGCCUAAUGCAACCUCCCAUUUCUCAAGUCAGCUGAUGAUGUAAGUCACCUUGGCUUUCCACAUUCAUACGGUGAGGACGUUUGUGGGUGUAAUUCUCUUAACAGUUUUCAUUUUAUAUGGAAAAAUUCAUAAUUAAGGGUAAUUACUGAUUCCAUUUGACAGUGACCAAGUUUAAAAUAUUAAUUCAUAUAUUAAAUGCACAUUAAAAAAUCAUGGAAUAAAUAUAUUUACUAAUAUAUAGUUCUUUUGCCAUGUUCUGUCACAGAAGCAUCGAACUUUCCCUAGAAAUUUUUGCAUGGUAUUCUACUUAUGAUUUUGAAAACUCUAGGCACCUGAGGCCACUAAUUGCAUGGUUGGAUGAGGAGCUGCAUGAGAUUAUGUAUCGUGUUGUUCCUUAACUACAAAUAUCAGUUUUAAGUAGCAUCUCCAUGUGACAUUUUCCUGAUGCAAUUUCGCUGUCCACCAACAAAUUUCACCAUGCAGCAAGAUGAAUUGUAAUUUCUUUAUUGUUAUCAACAGCUUUAAUUAAUCUUGAUAUAUAUAUAUAACUUAGUAGAAGUAUAUUAAUCUAGAUUGUAGUUGCACUAAGAUAAUAGGCAAUAUUAUAACAGUGCCACAAUGCUCAUCGCCAAAUAGAAAGGUAGAAAAACUACAAUGAGUAACUCACAACAUUCUCAAACAGGACAUAGCGGCGACUGAUACAUAGAACACUAUUGGCACUCAGGAAAUGAUAAGAUCAGUGCCCAGCAGGCAGCACGUCUUAUUUUACAUACUACUUAAAACUAACCAAAGUCAUUCAGUUGGGAUGGGUGGGAGAUGGUGGUUUGUGCGGUGGCUUUUGGGUAGUUGGUGGCUUCUUUCCUGGAACUGAUGGUUUUUUUGUUGGAGUUGAAGGAGGCUUAAUCGUCUGAGGUGGCUUGUAUGAGUCUUCAGCACUCUCUGCGGGAGGGUGCCCAGGGUUGUGACCAUAAUGGGGUGGCUUCUCUCCCUUAGUUGGUUUGCCAAGUGGGCUGGCUGGCUUGUGCUCCGGGAGCGGCUUCUCUCCCUUAGGUGGUUUGCCAAAUGGGCUUGCUGGCUUGUGCUCUGGGAGCGGCUUCUCUCCCUCAAGAAGUUUACGGGUUUUGUCAGAUGGCUUGUGUUCUGGUGGUGGCUUCUCUCCUUGGGGUGGUUUGCCAAAUGGACUUGGUGGCUUGUGUUCGGGGAGUGGCUCCUCUCCCUUGGGAGGUUUAGUUGGUGGCUGGUGUUCCAUAGGUGGUUUCUCAACCGGGGGCUUGUUCUCCGUUGGUGGUUUAUGAACUGGGGGAUGCUUGGGGUAGUCAGCAAGAGACGGGGUGGUGAGAACCACCAGUCCCAGCAGCAACACUAGCAAGUAUGUGGAAGAGUACAUCUUUGAGUUCAGGCUGAGAUUUGUGCGAGACUUGAAGAAUUAGGUGGCCUUUUAUAGCUGGCUGCACCCAACACUCACAUGACACGUAUCAUGGUGACACAUGUGCUAUGGGUCCAUUUGGGUCCUACAGAAGCUGAAAACUUUUGACUAUUGAGGUGUGGUCACAACUUUUGUCCCUAUUGCUUUCUCCGCAACCGUUUUACAUGUUUCCUUUGGCAUAAUUUUCUAAGCUAAACAAGCAUAUAUCAUAUUUGGUUAAGAAAGAGUAAAGUGUAUAUGGCACACAUCAAGGAAGAGAAACAGAAAAAGUGGGAGACAAUCAAUUGUGAUAAACAGAUAUAUUAUAUUCAUGUAGUACUAGUGACUUUAUCAUUUACUUUUAUCCAAUAGAUCAUCACUCUUUCUUCUAAAUAUUUUGGAGGAUAAUGGUACAUGUUGCUUGUUUCCAAGUCAAAAUUGGUGGCAAAAAUCGGCAUGAUACGAAAGGAUUGGUGAAAAGAUUCACAUAGAUGGUGCUUUGUGCAAUGCAGUCUUGCUCUAAUUCAACAGAGUGGACCAUGGUGAUGUAUUUUAAAUUUUAAAUUUUAAAUUAAUGCAUGCUUCAAAGUUUUAACUAGAUGUCACUUCCAUGGAUUUUUGUUCAUUUAAUUGAGCACAGGAUAGGCUAUCAAACUUGAAGUAAUAUAAAAAUCCCUUCAUUACUGUAACUAAUGAAAGAUCAUUAUCUGCGCUUGGUAUUUUGCCAAGGUAUUUGCUGCUCUUUCUAGCCCUGUCUUACAGUUAAGGACAAUGUGAUCUAGUUAACCUUAGAAGCUAUUCCAUGUCAGAUACAAGAGAUCAAGCACAUUAUCUUUGGGCUCAGUUCAAAACUAUAAUAUAUGGGUGGGGUGGAGGCCCAUAUCAUUUGCAUAUCACCACUAUUGGUUUAGUUUGGAAGGUUUCUUCUGGAAGAUUGCUGCUUUCUGGAAUCAUUUCAAAGAAAUAUAUCUUUUUGUUCUCUUGGUGACGAGCAGCGGCAAUCAAGUCUGUUGACAAACAACCGAGUUGAAAAGUUUGAAAAUUGGUCACAGCCCACGUCCAUGGUUAAGGAAAAGGUCACUGGAAGUGAUCCCUUCUGGGCCUCUUGAUUUCCAUUCUGACAUCUAUAUGACCUGAUAAAUAGAAAGAAAAAAAAACAGAAGAAAAGCGGCACCCGGGUUCAUAGUAAGCAUCAAGACAGGAUACUGAAAGAAGGGAGAAAGGAGAUUGCAAGUCCAAUCCUGAUAAAAUGAUCAACAAAGAGUAUCAAAAUGGGGCCAACAUAAAGACCCAUUGAGGUUAGCAGAUGGCAUGGCAUUUUUCUCCUUAAGUUUUCCAUGAUUAGACUUGAAGUCAAAAUUUCACAUGUAAAUUUGUAUUUCUACAUUUCCCACUGACGACACCCAACUUCAACUUGAGUUAGAAUAACAUUGUGUGAACUUAUCUGGCCCUCAAAAUUUACUGUGAAGUGCUUUCUGCGUGUGAAGAUUCAGAAAAGCACCAAGGGAACAUGUAUGGUCUGCCUUUUUCUGAUGUUAUGUUUGUCUCUAAUUCUGUUCCAUGUCAUGGUAAAUGUUCACAUUGCUUGUAUGGAACACACCAGGAUCACUUUUUCGGGUUUAUUUUGAGGCUUCAUAUUGGGUUCAUAUUGGGUUCAAUGCUUUUAAUGUGUUCAUUAGACAAAUCUGAAUUAUCAUAUGCAUUUAGAUAAGAACAAUAAUGUGAAACCCUAGUUACACCUCCCCUGCAUAACCCCAACCCUGCUUACUCUAUUUCAGUUUACUCACACAAGUUUUACCGGUUCUUAUAAGUCAAGAAAAGGCAACUGAUGUUGGAUUGACUCUCUUCCAUGUAUAAAAAGCAACUUUUAUAUAUACAUAAAAUAACUUCUUCCCCUCACCAAUGUGGGAUAUCAUGGAUUUAUUCUGGAAACACAUCAAAGGAACAUCUUUUCUCUUGGGUGACCCUAAGUGGUGAGUCAGACCAUUUGCAUGCCAUUGAGUUGCACAGUUGGAUAAAUGCACCUACCUCCUGGGCUCCAGAGUUAAAAGGGUGGAUCCCUGGAUCGCAACCCUCUUGGCAUCUUGGUUUCCAUUCCAACAUCCACAUGACUUGACAAAACAAAAAACAGAAUAAAAUCAUCACUAUUUUCAUGCUAAGCACCAAUACAUGAUGGAAAUCAUUGCUUAAAGAUUUGGGGUCAUUUAGGUUUUGACUGCCUCCUAACACCUCACCUAAUCACAAGUUUUUAUGCUUACAAAUCAAAUAUCGUUCUUCAUUAUAUUAAAAUCAUUUUAAGAUUUCAGAUCCAUCUGCUAAUUAUGAUUAUGAUAACAUUAAUUCACCUGUGCUUCUCAUUUUCGACACACAAGGCAUCUAGGUUUGCAGGAUUUCCUUAUUAGAUGAGAUAAAUGAGUACGCAUGGUUAUGUAUGCAGCAUUCAUUAACCAUGGUAUGUGACAUUUAGAAUUAAGAUAGCAAGCAAACUUUCCCUGCAGCUUGAGUAAAUUGUGAUUUCUUAGCCUCUAUGAGUGGUUCCCAAAUCAAAUUAACAUAGUGAAAUAUACGUAGUCCAGUGAAAGGAAAUGUAAAUUAUAAACUAACAGCACUACACUACUGGUAACACUCGAUACUCUCUAUAUAAUGCAAUGAAAUAUACGUUAUACGUUGCUUGUUCCAAGUCAAAAUUUGUGGCCAAACGUUGGCCUUUUUUCAUUUUCCCUAAGAUUAAUGCUCACCUGGGAUAGGCACUACAUGAUUUAUCUGCUCUUUUACUGUAAAGUUGCUUUGUGUAUGAGUUACACCUCCCCUGCACACCCUCAACAUUUGUUGCUCUGUUUUCCUUGUGUCCAGACGAGGAUAUUAAGUGGGGGCUGACAAAACGACUGCUAGCCAAGGAUUUACAAGGUCCUGGUUUGACGCUUCCGCGAAAGUAUUUUUGAAAAUAUACACAUAGAGAUUGCGCGUUCGGUGCAAUGCAACAAUGUGAGCCAUUCUGAAGUUUUUAAUUUCAGAUUAAUGAAUGCUACAAAAUUCUAAGAAGGGCCGUUUCCAAAUAUUUGAGUUCAUUUAUCCGAACAUCGGAUAAGUAAUGAUCAUAGAUUAUUAUUAUUAUCUGACGUUCUUAUAAUGGUUGGCAUUAUAAGAGGGUAUAUGCUUCUUUCUCUAGCCCCUCCUUCAAGGGAGGGACAAUGUGAUCUGUAUCGUUAGAAGCUAUUCCAUGUCGUCAUCUUUUGGCUUAAGUCAAUACUAAAAUAUAUGGGCGGGGCCCCUGUCAUUUUAUAUUUCUUCUAGAAGGUUUGUUCUGGAAAUCUUUCACCGAAACAUAUCUUUUUCUUCUCUACGUGAUCCGUGGUUGGAAAGUUAGAAAAAUGGGUCCGUUCACAAGCCACCGAGUUGAAAAGUUGGAAAAAUGGCAACACCGCCAACCUCUUGUAUUCGAUAGUUAAAUAAAAGGUCACUGGAAGUGAGAUCCCUUUUGGCCUCUUGAUUUUCAUCCCAGCAUCUCUAUGUCCUGAUAAACUAAAAAACUAAAAAAAAAACAGUACGUGGGUUGGUGUUAAGCAUCAAGAGUCAAGACAUGAUAAUGGAGAGAAAGGAUAUUCAAAUUCCAGUUCUGACAACAUGAUUUUCUUUCCUGAACAACCAUGUUAUAUUUGAUCAAGAAAGAGUAGUGCAUGUGGCCAGGAUCAAGACAUACAUUAAUUUCCACAUGAUGAAGACAGUUUCUGAGAGUUUCUUCUAAAGCUCUUGCGCUAGUAGGCUUCAAGUCAAAAUUUCCCAUGUAAACACUGGAUUUUCUUUAAUUGCCACUAAGGAUACAGUUAAAAUUGACUUAAAAUCCUACGUGAUAUAUAUCUUUAACAAAAGUAUAUUGUAUAUAAUAUUUGAAAUAAUGUUGAUUCGUUGUGGAAAUAUGUUUGUAAGGAAAGUUGUUGACAAUUUAAUAUAGUAUAAGAAGAAAAAAGUUAUCAACUAGAGAUGAGUAUGUAAAGUGAGGCUCACGAUUCAACGCGUAAAUAUAAGAUAUUUUAAGGCUCAAUAGUUAUGAUAUCUAUUUUAUUUUUUGUAUCCCAUAUAUUCAAAGAUACAGUAAAAUGAUUUUAUAUAUAUGAACAUAGCCGAUAGUAUCAUGUUAAAACCUUAUAUGACUCUUUGUGCCAAUUGAUUUUUAUCUUUAUUUUGUGUAUUAGUAAUUAGUAUUAAAGUUUUUACUAACAUAAUAAUUGAUAUAAAAGCUUUUUCCAAAAGAGUCAAACAGAGCAAAACACUUAUUAUAAAAAGAAUUUUGAUUGAAGGUGGAGUCAAUUAUUCUUUAUUCAACAUGUGAUGCAUACAGCGGGUACUUCAUAACUAAAGUAUAUAAGUGCAACAUCUCUUAUACAUUCUCAUUCAAUCUCGAAAGUGGAAAAUUUUAAAAGAUUAAAUGGUUCAAAUUUUCCGUGCAUAAAGGGGAUCAUGUCACAUAACCAAACCAUGGCAUACCAAAGCCAUGAUAUGGACUAAGAAUUUUGUUAAAAUAAGUUUCUUAUUAGGGCACAUUAUGUGACUAUUUAUGACAUAUCAAAGGAGUCAAGUGCAUCAAUAAAGACAUAGAAAAUUCAUGCAUCACAUGUACCACUAAGAGAAAAUUGACUUGAUAGAGUUUAGUCCAAAUAGGAGAUUGUUAAAAGGUGCAUCAAAUUCUUGAUUGAUAUAUAUUUUUUUUAUUAGAAAGGUUAUUAUAUAGAUAUUUCAAUAGACUAUUAAUCCUUUGUAAAAAUAGUUAUAUAAUGAGGAUGGUGAUUAAAAAUAUCUCUAUCAAUAUUUUGGAUUAUAAAAAGAAAAAAAAUAUGAGAAAAUGAUAAACAUAUAAAACUUGUACAAGUAGAUAGAGAUGUGAUGAAAGACACUUGAUGAAUGGAGGCCUUGUAUUUCAAGAUGUAAAUAUAUGGAGCAAAACUCUUAAUUAUAUGAUCAAAUGAUUCUCUCAUAUUCAUGAACAUAAGCAGGAUUGGGGAACCAUGAUAGAAUCUUAUAUGCCUCUCCAUGUAGAUUGAUCGAUGUUUAUCUUCAUAUUUUACACCAAUGAAUGACAUUGAAACUCUGAUUGAUAAAAGGGAAAAAGCAUGGCCUCCACCACAAGAAAAACAAGUAACCUCGGUCUAAAUCACUAGUCUACACCCCGAAGAGAGAACUAGCCAAACCUACUAAAAGAGAAACUUACCAAUUUAGAAAGAAAUCUUCCAUGAUAAAGGGCCCCUAAAAGUCCAAUUCAGUCAGGUUGUGAACAAAAACACCUUCAUGUCAAAACAGGAAUAGGUACCACCAAAAUGUAAAGGGAAAGAUGUAAACCAAGUCGAACUUUGGUAAACAAUGGUAAAGAUAGCAUGAUAGCUAAAAGCACUAAAGCUGUGCUUGGUAUGCAAAAAUGAAAAGUGGAAAUCAGCGUCUUAUUCUUUUUCUCCUUUAUUCACAUAUUAGGAUAACUAAUAUCUAAUGUUUUUUUUAUGUCUCAAAUUCUAUUCCAUGUUAUGGUAAACUUUCAUCUUGUUUAAGUGGAAGAGUAGGAUCACUUUUGUCUGGUUUGGGCUCAAGACGAUAAGCCUAUAGAGACUUCAUAUUGGGUUGAAUUGAUGCCCUUGAUCCGAUCAGUUCGUUAGAAAAAUCUGAAUUAUUAUAAGCAUUUAGAUAAAAUAAAUAAAUAAAUGUGAAACAGAGACUAUUCUCUGCACAACCUUGACCCUAGUUACUCAGUUUCACUGCUCACGGGACUAACCUCUCCAUUCAGUCGAAAUGAAUUGUAAUUUCUUUACUGGUAGCAGUAGUACUUUUCAUAGCAAAGAUAAUAGUAAAUAUGAAAUAUAAAUAUAUAGAAGGAAAUCUGGAUUGUAGAUAGCACCAUAAGUAACACUCAAUAUUUACUACAUAAUAAAAGAGAUAGUGUUACAAAGGUAGAGAAACCUACAAUGAGUACUCAUCACCAUUCUCAAACAGAAACAUAGCAGUGACUUAUACAUAGAACCUAUAGGCUCGCAGGGAAAGAGUAACAUGAUAAGUGCACAGCGGGUAGCAGCUCUUAUUUUACGUAUUACUCAAAAUCUCAAACUAACCAAAGUCACUCAGUUGGGAUGGGUAGGAGAUGGUGGUUUGUGGGGUGGCUUCUGGGUAGGAGCUGGUGGCUUCUUUGUUGGAGUUGAAGGAGGCGUAAUCUUCUGAGGUGGCUUGUAUGAGUCUUUGGCACUCUCUGCAGGAGGGUGCCCAGGGUUGUGACCGGAAGGAGGUGGCUUCUGUCCCUUUGGUGGUUUGCCUAAUGGGCUUGGUGGCUUGUGCUCCGGGAGUUGUUUCUCUCCCUCGAGUAGGUUUCGAGUUUUGUCAGAUGGCUUGUGUUCUGGUGGUGGCUUCUCUCCCUGGGGUGGUUUGCCGAAUGGGCUUGGUGGCUUGUGUUCGGGGAGUGGCUUCUCUCCCUUGGCAGGUUCAGUUGGUGGCUGGUGCUCCGUAGGUGGUUUCUUCACCGCCGGCUUCUCUCCCUGGAGAAGGUUACGAGUUUUGUCAGAUGGCUUCUGUUCUGGUGGCGGCUUCUCUCCCUGGGGUGGUUUGCCAAAUGGGCUUGGUGGCUUGUGUUCGGGAACUGGCUUCUCUCCCUUGGCAGGUUCAGUUAGUGGCUGGUGUUCCGUAGGUGGUUUCUUCACCGGCGGCUUGUGCUCCGGAAGCGGCUUCUCUACCUGGAGAAGCUUACGAGUUUUGUCAGAUGGCUUGUGUUGUGGUGGUGGCUUCUCUCCCUGGGGUGGUUUGCCAAAUGGACUUGGUGGCUUGUGUUCGGGGAGUGGCUUCUCUCCAUUGGGAGGUUUAGUUGGUGGUUGGUGUUCCGUAGGUGGUUUCUGAAGUGGGGGAUGCUUGGGGUAGUCAGCAAGAGACGAGGUAGUGAGAACCACCAGUCCCAGCAGCAAUACUAGCAAGGAUGUGGAAGACAUCUUUGAGUUCAGGCUGAGAUUUGUGCAAGGCUAGAAGAAUUAGGUGGCCUUUUAUAGCGGGCUGGACCCAACAACCAAAUGACACGUAUCAUGAUACACAUAUGUGUUAUAAGAUCCUUGUGGGUCCUACAGAAGUUGAAAACUUUGACAAUUGAGGUGUGAUUACAACUUUUGUCCCUAUUGCUUUCUCGUCAGCCGUUUUGCAAGAUUUUUGACAGGAGGACGGUAGUUUAAAAUAAUAAUUUCUAAAGUACUUUUGUGAAAAAAAAUAAUUCCAAACGUGGAUUUUAUCAAGUAAAAAAAACAAAAAAAAGUUAUUUUCUUUUAAAAUCUUUUCUUCAUGAUUCAUAUACCAAAAAAAGAAUUGUUUUCUGUAGGUAAAAUUUUUAAAAUUCAUUUUUAAAAAAAAAAAAUUACACACUAAAAUUAUCUCUUCAAGAAAAUAUUUUUUAAAUUUUAAAUAAUUAUUAAUUUAUAAUUAAUUUUUUAUUAAUUAUUUAUUAAAUUUAUAUGUGAAAAAUGCAUUUAUAAAAAACAAAUUUUUUAUUAAUUUAUUAAAUAAUUAUUUACAAAAUAAAUAAUUUUGCUUUAUUUUAAUUUUAAAAUUAAUUUUAUUAUAUAAAUUUUAAAAUUAAAAAUAUUAAUAUUUAAUUUAAAAUUUAACUAUAAAAGGAAUAAAAUAUAGAAAAAUAAAUUAAUUUAUUAUUCAAUAAAUUAAUUUUCAAUAAAAUUUUCAGCAUUAAGAGAUAAAUUUUUAAGUAUUAAUCAAUUUAAAAAAUAAUAAUAAUCAUUUGUAUACUAAGAUAUUUUAUUUAGUAAUUAUGAAUGAUAAACAACUAAAGUAAUUUGAAAAAAUAAUAAAAUAUUUAAAAAUAAUAAUUUAAUACACUUAAAAUUAGAAAUGAUUAACUAUUUUUUAUUAAGAAAAAAUUGAAGAAAUAUUUUGUUAUUUAAAAUUUUUUAUUUGUUUUCAAUUUUAAAUGUUAUAGGUUUCAAGAAAAUUGAUCAAAUAAAAAUUAAGAAGUCAUUUUUUCAAAAACUAUAUAUCUAAAUAAAAGCCUUGAAAUUCAAAUACACAAUAUCAUAAAUAUAAACACCAAGUCAAUCCUUAAUUAUCAAAUGUUUUUAAUAUUAAAGAAUCAAAAUCACCUACUAUCAUGAUAAUAAGAAAACCAAUAAUAUUGUUCAUAUAAAUACUAAAAAGCUAACAAAUAUCCCAAACAAUUAAUAAAGUAUCAAACAUGAUAAAAAGUCAAUUAUUAUCAUGAAUGCAAAAAAUCAAUAAUUUUGUUUAUAUGAACCAUCAACAAAGAAAAAAAAAAUCAAUAUCUAAAUAUUAAACAUAAUUUAUAUUUUUAUAAAUAUUAUUGUUGAUAAAUAUCUUAAUAAUUAUAAUUUUUUAUAUAUUAAAUUUAGUAAAUAAAAUUAAUUAAUUUUAUAAUAUAAGAUAUAUAUAAUAAUUAAGAGACUAUUUGUCCCAAACAAUUUAUUUAUUUUUUUUUUAGGAAAUUGUCUCUUCAAGAGACGACUUCUCCCAACAUUUUUAAAAAAAAAAAAAAAAACAUCUAUUCAAAAGACGAUUUCUCCUCAUUUUUUAAAAAUGAAUUUUAGAAAUCAUAUUUUCAAAAAUGAAUUUUAGAAAUCAUAUUUUCAAAAGACGAUUUUUUUUUAUAUAAAUUAUUUUUUAAAAUGACGAUUUUAAAAGGAAAUAACGAUCUCUCUCCUACUUGGCAAAAACUAUGGUAAAUUUGGAAUUAUUUCUUCCACAACCAUAGUUUAAGAAUUAUUUUUUUAUACUUUCGUAGACUUAUCAAAAAUCCCUAUUUUGCAUGUCUCAUUUGGCAUGACUUUCUUACCUAAACAAGCAUAUAUAUAUAUAUAUAUAUAUAUAUCACUUUUGUCUGGGUUGAGUCAAUGCCCUUAACUAAUUUGUUCAUUUGAAUAGUCUAAAUUAUUAUAAGCUUUUAGUUAAGAAAAAUGUGAAACAUAAAUUACACCUCUCGGCACAACUUCGACACUGGUUACUCUGUUUCAGUUUAUUCACACAAGAUUAUUGGUUCUAGGGUUUAUUUGGUUUUGGUUUGAUUCUAAUUGCUAAACUUUCUCAAGGAAGAUGUUAUAUAGGGAGUGAGAAACCUUCACUCCUGGCUACCUCCAAGAGAAGAGCAAGUGGUCUGAAUCAAAGAUAUACUGCUCACUUUUUCUUCUUCUAAGGACAGCUAUGACCUUGCUUUAAAAUGUUCGAAUAGCCUAAUGCAACCUCCCAUUUCUCAAGUCAGCUGAUGAUGUAAGUCACCUUGGCUUUCCACAUUCAUACGGUGAGGACGUUUGUGGGUGUAAUUCUCUUAACAGUUUUCAUUUUAUAUGGAAAAAUUCAUAAUUAAGGGUAAUUACUGAUUCCAUUUGACAGUGACCAAGUUUAAAAUAUUAACUCAUGUAUUAAAUGCACAUUAAAAAAUCAUGGAAUAAAUAUAUUUACUAAUAUAUAGUUCUUUUGUCAUGUUCUGUCACAGAAGCAUCGAACUUUCCCUAGAAAUUUUUGCAUGGUAUUCUGCUUAUGAUUUUGAAAACUCUAGGCACCUAAGGCCACUGAUUGCAUGGUUGGAUGAGGAGCUGCAUGAGAUUAUGUAUCCUGUUGCUCCUUAACUACAAAUAUCAGUUUUAAGUAGCAUCUCCAUGUGACAUUUUCCUGAUGCAAUUUCGCUGUCCACCAACAAAUGUCUCCAUGCAGCUAGAUGAAUUGUAAUUUCUUUGUUGUUAUCAACAGCUUUAAUUAAUCUUGAUAUAUAUAUAACUUAGUAGAAGUAAUUAAUCUAGAUUGUAGUUGCACUAAGAUAAUAGGCAAUAUUAUAACAGUGCCACAAUGCUCAUCGCCAAAUAGAAAGGUAGAAAAACUACAAUGAGUAACUCACACAACAUUCUCAAACAGGACAUAGCGGCGACUGAUACAUAGAACACUAUUGGCACUCAGGAAAUGAUAAGAUCAGUGCCCAGCAGGCAGCACGUCUUAUUUUACAUACUACUUAAAACUAACCAAAGUCAUUCAGUUGGGAUGGGUGGGAGAUGGUGGUUUGUGCGGUGGCUUCUUUCCUGGAACUGGUGGUUUUUUUGUUGGAGUUGAAGGAGGCUUAAUCGUCUGAGGUGGCUUGUAUGAGUCUUCAGCACUCUCUGCAAGAGGGUGCCCAGGGUUGUGACCAUAAUGAGGUGGCUUCUCUCCCUUAGGUGGUUUGCCAAGUGGGCUGGCUGGCUUGUGCUCCGGGAGCGGCUUCUCUCCCUUAGGUGGUUUGCCAAAUGGGCUUGCUGGCUUGUGCUCUGGGAGCGGCUUCUCUCCCCCAAGAAGUUUGCGGGUUUUGUCAGAUGGCUUGUGUUCUGGUGGUGGCUUCUCUCCUUGGGGUGGUUUGCCAAAUGGACUUGGUGGCUUGUGUUCGGGGAGUGGCUCCUCUCCCUUGGGAGGUUUAGUUGGUGGCUGGUGUUCCGUAGGUGGUUUCUCAACCGGGGGCUGGUGCUCCGUAGGUGGUUUAUGAACUGGGGGAUGCUUGGGGUAGUCAGCAAGAGACGGGGUGGUGAGAACCACCAGUCCCAGCAGCAACACUAGCAAGUAUGUGGAUGACAUCUUUGAGUUCAGGCUGAGAUUUGUGCAAGACUAGAAGAAUUAGGUGGCCUUUUAUAGCUGGCUGCACCCAACACUCACAUGACACGUAUCACGGUGACACAUGUGCUAUGGGAUCCAUUUGGGUCCUACAGAAGUUGAAAACUUUUGACUAUUGAGGUGUGAUCACAACUUUUGUCCCUAUUGCUUUCUCCGCAACCGUUUUACAUGUUUCCUUUGUGGUGUUUAAUAGUGUUUUUUUCCUUAAUUCUAAAUAAACCUUAAUACUUAAUAAUGUUAAAUAUUAGGUUAUUUAUUUUUAUAAUAUUUUAUUUAUAUUAAGUAUUAAAAAGUAAAGAAAAAUCAAUAUAUUUAUUUUUCUAUUUAGAAAAAACUAUAUAUUUUUAAUUUUUUUAUUUAAUAAAAAAUUUAUAAUAAAUCAUGAAAAAAUAGAAAAACAAACAACCUAAAUUUUAAAAAUAAAUUGUUUUUAGUAAAAACCCAAAAAAACAAACACCACCUUAACUAAACAAAUAUAUAUUAUAUUUAGUUAAGAAAGAGUAAAGUGUAUAUGGCUCAAAUCAAGGAAGAGAAACAGAAUAAGUGGAAGACAAUCAAUUGUGAUAAACAGAUAUAUUACAUGCAUGUAGUACUAGUGACUUUAUCAUUUACUUUUAUACAAUAGAUCAUCACACUCUUUCUUCUAAAUAUUUUGGAGGAUAAUGGUACAUGUUGCUUGUUGCCAAGUCAAAAUUGGUGGCAAAAAUCGGCAUGAUACGAAAGGAUUGGUGAAAAGAUUCACAUAGAUGGUGCUUUGUGCAAUGCAGUCUUGCUCUAAUUCAACAGAGUGGACCAUGGUGAUGUAUUUUAAAUUUUAAAUUUUAAAUUAAUGCAUGCUUCAAAGUUUUAACUAGAUGUCACUUCCAUGGAUUUUUGUUCAUUUAAUUGAGAACAGGAUAGGCUAUCAAACUUGAAGUAAUAUAAAAAUCCCUUCAUUACUGUAACUAAUGAAAGAUCAUUAUCUGCGCUUGGUAUUUUGCCAAGGUAUUUGCUGCUCUUUCUAGCCCUAUCUUACAGUUAAGGACAAUGUGAUCUAGUUAACCUUAGAAGCUAUUCCAUGUCAUAUACAAGAGAUCAAGCACAUUAUCUUUGGGCUCAGUUCAAAACUAUAAUAUAUGGGUGGGGUGGGGGCCUAUACCAUUUGCAUAUCACCACUAUUGGUUUAGUUUGGAAGGUUUCUUCUGGAAGAUUGCUUUCUGGAAACAUUUCAAAGAAAUAUAUCUUUUUGUUCUCUUGGUGACGAGCAGCGGCAAUCAAGUCUGUUGACAAACAACCGAGUUGAAAAGUUUGAAAAUUGGUCACAGCCCACGUCCAUGGUUAAGGAAAAGGUCACUGGAAGUGAUCCCUUCUGGGCCUGUUGGAAGCAGGGGAGGUUAACACACCAAGCAACAAAGAACAGAGAUAUGCUGCUACUGAUCUAUAUUUUUUAUUUGAUCAUAAGGCUAAAUUUAUACAGAUUGUGUAACAGAUAUGACCUCAAAAAAAAGCAUCAAAUCAAGCUACUUGUUGAACAAACAACUACCUUCUACAAAAUAACAUCAAAAUUUAACUUAAAAGCAAAAACAUAAAAAUAGCAACAGCAAAAAUAGAAACAUAAAAAUAGCUUCAGCAUUCUAGUAAUCUCGUUGACUUCAAUUGCAUGUGGUUGACGAUUUCAGCCUUUUCCUCAGCAGCUACUAAGGCAUAACUCUCAACACUCCUCCUUGACUUAGGAGGUGCAAACUCCAAGUCUUUCUCAUAGAAACUCAAAUCUUAUUUUAGGAAGAGCUUUAGUCAGAAUAUCUACAUUUUGACUGUCUGUAUUGCAGUAGACUAGUUGUAUAUCUCCUUCUUUCUGUACUUCCCUCAAAAAUUACAAUUUAAUCUUGAAGUGCUUUGUUUUACCAUGAAAAACUGGAUCAUUUGCAAUAGAUAUAGUGGCCUGGUUGUCUACAAACACCUUUGUACUCACUUCUUGCUUCAUAUCCAAAUCUGUCAGCAACUUUCCAAGCCAUAAGGCUUGAUUUACAGCUGUAACAGCAGCAAUAUACUCUGCCUCAGCUGUGGAUUGAGCCACGACUUCUUGCUUCCUUGAACUCCAUGAAAAAACACCAGAACCAAAACUAAAACAAUAGCCUGAAGUACUUCUCAUAUCGUCAACACAACCAGCCCAAUCACUAUCAGAAAAUCCAUGAAAAUUGAAACUUUGAACUUGACUGAACUUAAUGCCAUAAUCCACAGUGCCUUUAACAUUUCUUAUCACACGCUUUGCUGCCUGGAAAUGAAUUUCACUAGCACAAUGCAUGUAUCUCGAAAGUAGACUUACAGCAUGCAUUAUAUCGAGUCUUGUUGCAGUCAAGUACAUUAAGCAUCCAAUCAUGCUUCGAUAAAGUCCUUCAUCUACCUUUUUAGCACCGUCCUCCUUACAGAACUUCUCUUUCUGGUUCAUAGGGGUAGAUGUAGGUUUGCAUUCCUCCAUUUUGAAUUUCUUCAUAAUUUCUUUGGCAUAUUUUUGUUGGCAGAUGAAAAUCUCAUUCUGCUUCUGGUGUACUUCCAUUCCCAAGAAGUAAGACAUCUCAUCUAGGUCUGUCAUCUCAAAAACCUGCUCCAUUUCAGCCUUGAAUUUGUUCACAAACCCUGCAUUACUUCCUGUUACAAGCAAAUCAUCAACAUAUAGAGAAACAAUUAAUAUAUCUUCUUCAAUCUUCUUAAUGUAGAGUGUAAAUUCACUCAAGCUCUUGUGAAAGCCUAAAGUUAGCAGGUGAGUGUCAAUCCUGCUGUACCAAGCUCUAGGGGCUUGUCUUAACCCAUACAAGGCCUUCUUAAGAAGGUAUACUUUUUCUUCUUUUCCUUUGAUAGCAAAACCUUCUGGUUGUUCGACAAAAAUCUCUUCCUCUAAGUAGCCAUUCAAAAAUGCUGACUUCACAUCUAGUUGAUAAAUCUUCCAUUUUCUUUGAGCUACAAGAGCCAACAACAUCCUGAUUGUAUCCAAACGAGCUACUGGUGCAAAGGUUUCCGAAAAGUCAACACCAAACAUUUGUGCAUACCCUUUGACAACCAGCCUUGCUUUAUGUUUGUUUAUAGAACCAUCAGAGUUGAGUUUGGUUCUGUAAACCCACUUAACCCCAAUAGGUUUUUUGUGUGAAGGUCUAUCUACUAGCUCCCAAGUGUUGUUCUUGUCAAUCAUAUCUAGCUCCUCCUGCAUUGCAACCCUCCAUCUUUUAUUUUCAGCAGCUUCAACAAACCCUGCAAGUUCAAGAACAGCUAUAUUACACCUUUGAUAAAUAUCAAAAAGUGUCAUGAAACCUCUAACUGGAAGUUCAUCAACAUCUUCAUCAAUAUAUUGCUGAUUCUGCUCAUCCCAACUCCAUUUCUCCGUUUCCAAAAACUUAACAUCUCUACUUACCACAAUUUUACUAUUUUGUGGCAAGUAGAUUCUGUAAGCUUUUGAGGUGCUGUUGUAUCCAAUGAAAAUUCCUGGUUCUGACUUUUUAUCUAGCUUGUCUCUUUUCACCUGAGGAACAUAAGAGAAACACAAGCAACCAAAGGUCUUUAAAUUCAUUAGCAUAGGCUUAUAAGCAAACCAGGCCUCAAAAGGUGUCUGUUUCUGCAAUGCUUUUGUUGGUAGUCUAUUUAGCAAAAAUACUACUGUAUUUGCAGCUUCAACCCAAAAACUUUUUGGCAGCUCUUUCUCAUGCAAAAGACAUCUUGUCAUUGAUUACUACUCAAAAAGUGCUAUUUGAUAGCCUUUAAUUAAUCCUUUUUAACACUUUUGAGUAGUAGUUUAGGCCUUUUAACUCAAUUGGCAUGUUAAGGAUCCUUUAAAGCAAUUUUGAUCACUUUGUGCAAGUUUUGGUGUUUUUGUUAGUAUUUCGAUCACCAAAGCAAGUCAAGAAUGAGGAGAGCUAUGAGGAAUCUUGGGCAAAGCUUAGAAUUCAAUUGCCAAGAGUGAAUCCGGAUUGCAAGGAGAAAAAGCAAAGAGGAUCAGUCAUGGAGCAUAUUCUUGAUGACAGUCGUAGCAGCCACUUUUGGAUCACUUUCUGAAGUCCAAAUGAUGCAAGCUAUAUACCAUUUCAAAGCUCAGGAAGUCAACAAUCCAAUGCUUCAAACGGUGUGCGAUUCGGAAUUGAAACGAAGAAGUUGCAGCCAUUACAAGCCAGACACUCUAAAGUGUUGCGGAAUCAGCCAUGUGUUGCGAGAAUUUCGCAGCACUUUUGUACAGUAAGGUGUUUCUCCUUCUAACGAUGCACGAACCAUGCCGCGAGAAGGGAGCUGGAAACUUCAAGAUGGAAGCCAACUUUGCAGCCUAGUGAAGAUAGCUCGGUCUUGCAAGAUAAUUUCGCAGCCCUCUUGGGUGUCUGCGAAAUUUCGCAGGCCUCAUUUUUCACCUGCGAAAUGGCUCUUGAAGCCUCCCGAAGCUUGCUACCGACAUUGGGAGAUAUUUUCCAUUAGAUUUUUGUUGUCUAAAUCCCAAAAUACUCCUUGUAAACCACCAAUUACAUGAUUCCUUAGUUUUUAAGUUAGUAAAAAGACCAAAUAUCUUUGUAACAAUUAGUUUUAUAUUUUGUUGUUAUAAAUACCUCUCGGGAGCCUGUUCUCAGGGAGGAGUUCCUUCUGUAAACGUUUGGUAAGCAAGUAAAGUCUAUUUUCUUUCUACUGCCUUACCUUCUCACUUUGUAUUUUCAUUUUAUUUCUAAGUUAUGAAUUCUCUGAGGAGUUUUCCCCAAAGAAUGAGUAACUAAACCUCCAAUUCCUUGGAGCUAAGGUUGCCGGGGAAGGUUCCAAGUGCAAGAAUGCAAAGCUCUGUGGUUUUAGCUAGUAAUGAAGAGGAAGUGAAAUCCUUUAGUGAUUUCAAUGUUUUUAGUUAACUUAAAACACUUUGGAGUCACCUGGGCCAACACUUGGUAAGGCAAGUGAUUUCCAACCAUGGAAAUGCACUAGUUUACCCCUUGCGAGCCUCUGGUAGGUGACUUCAAGGUAGGAUUUUCUGGAAUUACCAACACUUGGUAAGCUUUUGGACUCCUAGGAGACAUCCAUUAGUUAUCUCUUGCGAGUUUGUGAAGGGAAUCCAAGGUUAAAGAUCACCUUGAAUGGUAAGUGCUCGUGAGAGGCAUGAACCAUUGCAAGUUGUAUCAGUGAGAGAAUUAAAGUGAAAUCUAAUUGAAGGAGUCUUUGUACAUCACCGGUUAGAGAAUUGACUAUAAGUUGAAUCUCUAAUGCGAGGAAAUGAACCAACUGACCAGAGCCGUGUCUUUUGCAUGAGGAACCACCCCAGUGAACCUAAAUCUCCAAGGAAUGUUUUUUUCUUCCUAAAUUAUUCCAAACUUCUGUUAAGUUAGUUAGUUUAAAUCUCAACCUUUACAAAUCAAAGUUUGUGUUUUAUUCCUUAAGCUAACCGUGAAAUGAAACAAGACCAAUUCACUUGGAAUUGGUAUCAUUGAUUGCCUGCAAAUCAUUCCCAGUGAACGAUCCUAGAGCCACUAUACUAUAGUAGCUUUGUAUUUGCUACCCUAGUGUAUGGUGUUAUAGGUAUAAAUUUUGUUGAUCACUUCCUCAAUCAAGGAGCACCAGCUGAACACAAAUCAGCUGAGACACCAAUUAGGCAUGAGUCAAAUGGCGCCGUUGCCGGGGAAUGAAUGUCAAGUUCAUUGUGAUACCAUUGUUGAGCACUUGUGAUUUUCAUCACAAGUUGGUAAAGUUUCUUUCACUUUACUAAUUUUCAUUCUUUCUUUGUUUAUUUACAAUCUAAGUUUAUCUUUUUAAAUUUUAGUCUAGUUUAAUUUUGUUGUUGUAGCCCUGUUUUUCUUGUUGUCCUCUGUUUUCAUUUUUUUUUUCAGGUAGAUACUAGUUGUGUAUGCCCAAGUGGAUACGAGACAUAGGAGGUAGGCUUGUUAAGUGUGAUACACCUCAGAAAGGAGAAUUUGAAGUAAUCUUGAAUAUCAUGGAGGCUGCACCUGAAGAUCAGCAUAGUCACCAAGGUCGUCAAGACAAUCUCAAUGAAUUCAGAUCAAUGAGGGACCGUAUGCAUCCACCUCGUAUGAGUACACCAUCAUGUAUAGUGCCCCCUACAGAGCAGCUAGUGAUCAGACCAUAUCUUGUUCCACUUCUACCAACUUUCCAUGGGAUGGAAAGUGAGAAUCCGUAUGCACACAUCAAGGAAUUUGAAGAUGUUUGUAAUACAUUCCAAGAAGGAGGAGCUUCAAUUGACUUGAUGAGGCUUAAGUUAUUUCCUUUUACUUUAAAGGAUAAGGCCAAAAUUUGGCUUAAUUCUUUAAGGCCAAGGAGUAUCCGCUCUUGGACUGAUUUACAAGCUGAGUUCCUUAAGAAAUUUUUUCCUACUCAUAGAACAAAUGGCUUGAAAAGGCAAAUUUCAAACUUCUCAGCUAAAGAGAAUGAGAAAUUCUAUGAGUGUUGGGAAAGAUACAUGGAAGCUAUAAAUGCUUGUCCUCACCAUGGCUUUGAUACUUGGCUAUUGGUGAGCUAUUUUUAUGAUGGUAUGUCCUCCUCAAUGAAGCAACUCCUCGAGACAAUGUGUGGAGGAGAUUUCAUGAGCAAAAAUCCAGAGGAAGCUAUGGAUUUCUUGAGCUAUGUAGCUGAUGUUUCAAGGGGAUGGGAUGAACCAACUAAAGGAGAAGUGGGAAAGAUGAAGUCUCAGUUGAAUGCUUACAAUGCAAAGGCUGGGAUGUAUAAUUUGAAAGAAGAUGAUGACAUGAAAGCAAAGUUGGCAGCUAUGACAAGAAGAUUGGAGGAGCUGGAGCUGAAAAGAAUGCAUGAAGUGCAAGCUGUUGCUGAAGCACCAGUGCAAGUGAAGCUGUGUCCCAAUUGUCAAUCAUUUGAACAUUUGGUGGAGGAGUGCCCUGCAAUUUCAGUUGAAAGGGAAAUGUAUAGAGAUCAAGCAAAUGUUGUUGGACAAUUUAGGCCCAAUAACAAUGCUCCUUAUGGAAAUACCUACAAUUCAAGUUGGAGGAAUCAUCCAAAUUUCUCAUAGAAGGCCAGAGCAACUCAAUACCAACAGCCGGAUCCACCAUCUCAGCAAUCUUCAAGUAUUGAACAAAUAAUAGCCAAUCUCAGCAAGGUAGUGGGAGAUUUUGUGGGAAAGCAAGAAGCCACCAAUGCUCGAGUUGAUCAAAGAAUGGAUAGAAUGGAGAGUGUGUUGAACAAAAGAAUGGAUGGAAUGCAAAAUGAUAUGAACCAAAAGUUUGAUAACAUCCAAUAUUCAAUUUCAAGGCUUACAAAUUUGAAUACACUGCAAGAAAAAGGAAGAUUUCCUUCUCAACCUAACCAAAAUCCCAAAGGUGUCCAUGAAGUGGAAAGCCAUGAGGGAGAAUCAUCACAGGUGAAAGAUGUGAAAGCUUUGAUCACUCUAAGGAGUGGUAAGAAAAUUGAGCAGCCAACACCCAUGCCACAUGUUGAGAAAGAAGAAGGGAUAAAGAAAGGAAAGGAAAUAGAAGAUAAAGACAGUGAGAUCAGUGAAGAAAAGAAGGACUCUGAUUCAACAAUCAAAGCAAUUCCAGAGAAAGAGCUUCUGAAGGAAGAAAUGCUGAAGAAAUCAACUUUUCCACCUUUUCCUCAAGCAUUACAGGGGAAAAAGGGGGUUAGAAAUGCAGCUGAAAUCCUUGAAGUCUUAAGACAAGUAAAAGUUAAUAUUCCACUGCUGGAUAUGAUCAAACAAGUUCCAACGUAUGCAAAAUUCCUAAAGGACUUGUGUACUAUCAAAAGAGGGGUUGACUGUAAACAAGAAAGCCUUCUUGACUGAGCAAGUAAGUGCAAUCUUACAAUGCAAGUCUCCUUUGAAGUACAAAGACCCUGGAAGUCCUACCAUUUCAGUCAUGAUUGGAGGAAAGGUAGUGGAGAAAGCCUUGCUAGACUUGGGAGCAAGUGUGAAUUUGCUUCCAUACUCUGUCUACAAGCAACUGGGACUUGGAGAGUUGAAGCCAACAGCAAUCACUUUAUCUUUGGCAGAUAGAUCAGUGAAAAUUCCAAGAGGAGUAAUUGAGGAUGUAUUGGUUCAAGUGGAUAAUUUCUACUAUCCAGUAGAUUUUGUUGUUCUUGAUACUGAUCCAACUGUAAAGGAAGCUAAUUUAGUUCCUAUCAUCCUUGGAAGGCCAUUUCUUGCAACUUCAAAUGCAAUCAUCAACUGUAGAAAUGGGCUUAUGCAACUCACUUUUGGUAACAUGACACUGGAUCUCAAUAUUUUCUAUAUGUCUAAAAAGCAAAUCACUCCUGAGGAAGAAGAAGGUCCAGAAGAGCUAUGUAUUAUUGAUACUUUGGUGGAGGAGCACUGCAAUCAGCAUAUGCAAGAUAAGUUGAAUGAAAGUCUUGUGGAUAUUGAGGAAGGUUUUUCUGAAUCUCCUAUUGGGCUUGCUACUCUACAAAGUUGGAGAAAGAUAGAAGGAAUUCUACCUUUGUUCAAUGAAAAAGAGGAGGCAACUGUUGAAGAAGAAAUUCCAAAACUCAAUUUGAAGCCUUUACCUGUGGAGCUGAAAUAUACAUAUCUUGAAGCAAAUAAUCAAUGUCCUGUUGUGAUAUCCUCAUCUCUGACCAGUCAUCAAGAGAAUUGUUUAAUGGAAGUUCUCAUGAGGUGUAAGAAGGCAAUAGGAUGGCAAAUAUCUGACUUGAAAGGCAUUAGUCCUUUAGUUUGUACUCAUCAUAUAUAUAUGGAGGAGGAAGCAAAGCCAAUUCGUCAAUUUCAAAGAAGGUUGAAUCCUCAUCUACAAGAGGUGGUGCGAGCUGAGGUGCUGAAGCUACUUCAAGCAGGAAUCAUUUACCCUAUUUCUGAUAGCCCUUGGGUGAGUCCUACUCAAGUGGUACCAAAGAAGUCAGGGAUCACAGUGAUUCAAAAUGAAAAAGGGGAAGAAAUUACUACACGCCUCACUUCAGGUUGGAGGGUGUGUAUUGAUUAUAGAAAGCUGAAUGCUGUCACCAGGAAGGAUCAUUUUCCAUUGCCAUUUAUUGAUCAAGUGCUGGAGAGAGUCUCUGGACAUCCAUUUUAUUGUUUCUUGGAUGGGUAUUCAGGCUAUUUUCAAAUUGAAAUUGAUUUGGCAGAUCAGGAAAAGACCACUUUUACAUGUCCAUUUGGAACAUUUGCUUAUAGAAGAAUGCCUUUUGGUUUAUGCAAUGCACCUGCUACAUUUCAAAGAUGUAUGUUGAGUAUUUUCAGUGAUAUGGUGGAGAGAAUUAUGGAGGUUUUCAUGGAUGACAUCACCGUAUAUGGAGGUACAUUUGAGGAGUGCUUGGUUAAUUUGGAAGCAGUUCUUCAUAGAUGCAUUGAAAAAGAUUUGGUGCUGAACUGGGAGAAAUGCCAUUUUAUGGUACGUCAAGGAAUUGUCCUUGGCCAUAUCAUCUCUGAAAGAGGCAUUGAAGUUGAUAAAGCAAAGGUGGAGCUUAUUGCCAAAUUACCAUCUCCAACAACUGUGAAAGGAGUAAGACAGUUCCUUGGCCAUGCAGGGUUCUAUAGGAGGUUUAUAAAAGGUUUUUCAAGUCUUUCAAAACCUCUUUGUGAGCUGUUAGCUAAGGAUGCUAAGUUUAUAUGGGAUGAAAGGUGUCAGCAUAGCUUUGAUCAACUGAAGAAGUUUUUAACAACAACUCCAAUAGUGAGAGCCCCUAACUGGCAAUUACCUUUUGAACUGAUGUGUGAUGCCAGUGACUUUGCUAUAGGAGCUGUGCUUGGCCAAAGAGAAGAUGGGAAGCCCUAUGUGAUUUACUAUGCAAGUAAAACACUAAAUGAAGCUCAGAGGAACUACACAACUACAGAGAAAGAAUUGUUAGCUGUGGUAUUUGCUUUGGACAAAUUUCGAGCUUAUUUAGUGGGGUCUUUCAUCAUUGUCUUCACUGACCAUUCAGCCUUGAAGUAUUUAUUGACAAAGCAAGAUGCAAAAGCAAGGUUGAUUAGAUGGAUUCUAUUGUUACAAGAGUUCGAUCUUCAAAUCAAAGAUAAGAAAGGAGUGGAGAAUGUAGUAGCUGACCACUUGUCAAGGUUAGUUAUAGCACAUAAUUCCCAUCCCUUGCCUAUCAAUGAUGAUUUUCCUGAAGAAUCACUCAUGUUCCUAGUGAAAACUCCUUGGUAUGCUCAUAUUGCUAAUUAUUUAGUAACUGGGGAAAUUCCAAGUGAGUGGAAUGCACAGGACAGGAAGCACUUCUUUGCCAAAAUUCAUGCUUAUUAUUGGGAAGAGCCCUUUCUCUUUAAGUAUUGUGCAGAUCAGAUUAUUAGGAAGUGUGUCCCUGAAGAUGAGCAGCAAGGGAUUCUAUCUCAGUGUCAUGAGAAUGCAUGUGGAGGCCACUUUGCCUCUCAGAAAACAGCCAUGAAGGUAUUACAAUCAGGGUUUACUUGGCCAUCUCUUUUCAAAGAUGCCCACAUCAUGUGUAGAAAUUGUGAUAGAUGCCAAAGGCUUGGAAAGCUAACAAAAAGAAAUCAAAUGCCUAUGAACCCCAUUCUGAUAGUUGAGAUAUUUGAUGUUUAGGGCAUUGACUUCAUGGGACCUUUCCCAAUGUCUUUUGGUAAUUCUUACAUUUUGGUGGGGGUAAAUUAUGUUUCUAAAUGGGUUGAGGCAAUCCCCUGUAAGCAAAAUGAUCACAGGGUGGUUCUCAAGUUUCUUAAAGAGAACAUUUUCUCAAGAUUUGGGGUGCCCAAGGCCAUAAUCAGUGAUGGAGGAGCUCAUUUUUGCAACAAACCUUUUGAAGCUCUGUUAUCCAAGUAUGGAGUGAAGCAUAAGGUAGCCACACCUUAUCAUCCUCAGACAUCCGGGCAAGUUGAGCUAGCUAACAGGGAAAUAAAGAACAUUUUGAUGAAAGUGGUGAAUUCCAACAGAAAAGAUUGGUCUAUUAGGCUUCAUGAUUCAUUGUGGGCAUAUAGAACAGCUUAUAAAACUAUUCUUGGGAUGUCUCCCUAUCGUCUUGUCUAUGGCAAAGCAUGCCAUCUCCCUGUGGAAGUUGAAUACAAAGCUUGGUGGGCAAUAAAGAAGCUGAAUAUGGACUUGAUCAAGGCCGGAGAAAAGAGAUUUCUAGACCUUAAUGAGAUGGAGGAAUUAAGAAAUAAUGCUUAUAUCAAUUCCAAAGUUGCAAAACAGAGGAUGAAGAAGUGGCAUGAUCAACUCAUCUCCAACAAGGAAUUUCAGGAAGGGCAAAAAGUUUUGAUGUAUGACACAAGACUCCAUAUCUUUCCUGGGAAGCUCAAAUCAAGGUGGAUUGGUCCAUUUGUUAUUCACCGAGUAUAUUCCAAUGGAGUGGUGGACUUAUUGAAUUCCAAUGGCAAGGAUAGCUUUAAAGUCAAUGGAUAUCGUCUCAAGCCGUUCAUGGAGUCAUUCAAAUCAGAAAAGGAGGCAAUCAACCUCCUUGAACCUCAAAAAGCCUAAGUGAAAAGGGUUUGCUGGACGUGGCUUUACCACAGUCCAAAAUUUUUGUAAAUUUUGUAAAUUUUCAAGUUGUUUCUAUACUUUUGAUUUUAGUUUUUGAUCUUAAAUCAUGUUUUUAGGUGUGUUUUAAUCGUUUUAAAUGAUCCCAGGUGGAAGAAAUUUCAAGGGGAUUGAAAGAAAAAAAAUCGGGUCGAAAUUGGAGCCGAAACAGAGCAAAAACAGGGGAAAAACAGAGCUCUGCGAAAUUUCGCAGGGUGAAGGAAACCUCUGCGAAAUGAGCAUUUUGUUGCGAAACCAUUCCGCAGCACUGUAGAAGCCUCUGCGAGUGUAUUUCGCAGCUGCGAAAGUGAAUUUGGCACACGAGUGCCACUUCGCAGUACAGUAGCAUCCAUUUGGCAGCUGCGAAACUCAUUGCGAAAUGGAAAAGCGUGAUUUCGCACCAAAAGUCCCAUUCCGCAGGGUAUUUCGCAAUUGCGAAAGUGGUUUUGGCACACGAGUGCCACUCCGCAGCACAGUAACAUCAAUUUCGCAGCUGCGAAACUCACUGCGAAGUUGCUGCGAAAAUGGCAAGUUGCUGCGAAAUUGGCGUUUAGUUGCGAAACUUAAACUGACCCCUGAGCUUCCGUUUUUCCUAUUUAUACCGGUCAAAAGUGCUGCGAAAAGGGUUUCAAAAAUCAGAGCACCAUUCUCGCAGCCCCUUCAUCUUCUUCGCCAAGCCACGCCGUCCGAACCUCCGGUCGUCUUCUCCGUUUAGCAGCGCCGGCCAAAGAUCGAUAUUCCAAAAUGGCACGAACGCGAGGGGCAAAAUCUUCAUCCCCUUCGAAUCGCAAAAGGAGUCUGCGAAAGGAGCCAAGUCCAGGUUCUGCUCCAGAACCUGCUCCAAAGCCUUCGCCGUCGAGACCACAACCUUCUCCAGUGAAGCCGGCGCCACUAAAGCCGCCGGCAAGACGAUAUUUGACAAGGUCAGGCGGUUGGCCAUUGAAGAAGAAGCCCAGGGUUGAGAGCUCUGAACCAAUUGAUUUGACUGAGCAAUCCCCUGAGCAGUCCCCAAAUCCUUCACCAGUUCAAACUCCAGUGCCGUCACCGGUUCCCUCGCCAAUUCCCUCACCUGAAGCAACUCCAAUUCCAUCGUCGGUACCAUCUCCGGCACCCCAAGAAAAAGCUCAGGAGCCUCAAGCGCCAAUUCCAGAGCCCCAAAUUGCAGCUGAAGCACCUCUGGAAGAAGUGAUCCGAAGGCCAAUGCUGCCCCAGCCCCCAAUCGAAGGAAACUUGGAUUGUCGAACACGGGCAUUCCAUUCUGAGCUUUGCUUCGAUUUAACAGCAUUCAGAGUGAGGCCAGAGCUUGCCCAAUCCUUCCAGCUGCUGAGGAGAUAUCAUAUGGAGCAUCUGCUAGCUCCAAGGGAUUUUUUCUAUCCCCGGGUAGUCACGGACUUCUACCAGACCAUGACAACCAAAGAAGUAAGAAAUCCAACUCUGAUCCAUUUCAUAAUUGAUGGAAGGCAUGGUAUUUUGGGAGCAAGACACAUUGCUGAAGCUCUGCAAAUUCCUUUUGAGCCAACCCAAUUCGACAAUUUUAAAGCUUGGGUAAAUCCUACUGAGUUAGAGAUGGUUCGCACACUAACCAGAGGAGCUGCAAAUCGAUCACACCUGUUGAGGGGGGAGCUACCUCCAGUGAUGUUUUUGAUUGAUGCCUUUUUGAGGCAUAAUAUCUAUCCCCUGCAGCAUUGGACCCAAAGAAGGGGAAUUCUCCUGGAAGCUUUGUACAAGAUGUCAGAAGGAUUCUUCUUUGGGCCCCAUCAUCUUAUCAUGGCAGCCCUUCUAUACUUUGAGGAAAAGGUUCACAAGAAGAAACUUCAAAGAGCAGAUUGCAUUCCACUCCUCUUCCCAAGGCUGCUAUGCCAAGUUUUGGAGCAUCUCGGAUACCCCUCUGAGCCUCAGCAGGAAAGAAAGAGAAUAUGCCGUGAGCCAUUUACUCUUGAUAAAUGGAAUAAUAUGACGGCCUACAAAAUUGAUCAGCCUGGGCAGCCUCAGCCAGCAGCAAGGAGAGCCUCCCCAAGACAUGCACCUGAAGGUAUAACACUUGCUACUCCUGCCAUCCCUCGAGCUUCACCAGCUGCACCUGCUGCAUCACAGCCAUCCACAUCAGCUGAGCCGAGGAUGGCCAUCCCUAUAUCCGAAUAUCGAGAGCUGUGCCGAGCAUUGGAGACUCUUACAGCUUCCCAGAGCAAUCUUGCUCAAGAGUUGGCAGCCAUCAAAGCAUGCCAGGAGCAGAUGUUAGCCUCUCAGGCUCAACAAGCUGCCAUCCUAAGGCAGCUUCAAGUCCAUUUCGAUCUGCCACAAGCUGUAGAGCCCUCCACUGAGACUCCACCAGAGCCACACUCUCAGCCUUCAGAGUCUCUUCCUCCAGAGCCAGAAGCCCCAACUGAUCCACCUACAGAGGAGGCGGAUCCUUCUGCUUAGCACCAUCACCCCACUCAUCAGACAUUAUAUAUAUUUGCUGUUUAUGUUUUUAUGCAUGUUUGUUUUGUUUUAGUUGAAAUGAAAUCCCAGUAUUUUGGUACUAUAUAUGGGAUUCCUUGUGAUUACUUGUCCUUAGCAUUGUACUCGAAUGAAUUGAAAGUAAUACAAGUUGAAUUUUUCUUGUUAAAAGUUAGCAUUAAAAUUCUCCUUAUUUCCUUUUCUCACAUAUUCUAUUCUUUUUGAAACAUGUGGUUUUCCCCAAUCAAUAUUCGAAUUUGAUAUCAGCAUGGAGGUACCACUUCCUCCCUUUUAUUACAGUCACUCAAAUCACAUUGAGGACAAUGCUCAGUUCGGUUGGGGGGUAUGAGGAAGGAAGUAUUCUAAAUCUUUUUGGUAUUGCAAUUAUAUUGGUUAAUUAGUUGUAGAUUUUACGUUUUACUCUUGUUACUCUAUUCUCCAUGAAUUUUGAGGAAAAAUUUUCAAAUUAAACCAAGAGAAAUUGAACUGUUGUUUUUCACUUGACUUAGAGUAUGGAUUAUGCUUACUAAAGUGGUUCAAUUGUUGAAACUUCUACUGAAAUUGAAUUGAGUUCUUCCAUUUUAAGCUAUCCACACACUGUGCACAUUAGUUUCUGAUUAUAAGAUGAAAAGCUAUUUCCCUCUUGACUUAGGAUAAUUUUGGGACUUGGUAUAUUUGACCUCAUUUGAUAAAAAUUGAAACACCCUGCAAAAGGCCAAUGAGCCUUUGAAAUAAAGAAAGAUGUUUGCUUGCCUUGAAACCCGAGCAAGGUCUGAGGGGCAUAUGGUGAAAGCCUUUAAAGCCUGGUGCCCUAAGCCUUAAUUGGUUGGGAGUCACCGACCUCAAUGCUCGUUACAAGGGUGAAUAGGUAGAGCUAGCAUAUGGUAGAUGCUUGGGUAUUAGAAAUUCAUUCUUAAAAGUCCAGGGAAAAAUCCGAGGAGUUAGUGGUUGAAAGAUCCUUAAAACUUGGUGCCCUAAACCUUAAUUGGUUGGGAGUCAUCGAUGGACCCCCAUUACAUGGACAAGUCAGAAAGAGUACCCCAUAAAGCUACUUUAAAAAAAAAAAAAAAAAAAAAAAAAAGAUGAUGAAAGUGUGUUCUUUUCUUAUUGAUUUUGGUCAGAUUGCUAAAGUGUUGAAAAGAGAUAGGUUGGGGGGGGAGACUAGUUUAGCAUAUUAUUCUCGGAAUCUAAGGAACCAAUACACAUAGAUUUUUGUGGAAGAUUGAAGUUUAGUUCUUAGAAAGUGAAAUGAUUUUAAAACUUCAGUUUGCAUAAUGCACUCCCUUGAUUGACAGUGUUUAGCAUAGGUGUUAUGACUCUUGUUGAGAUUUGGGUUUGUAUUUCUUUAAUGAUUCAUGUGAGAAGUAAAUCAUCAUGCCACUUAAGAAUUAUUUUCCUUUCAGCAUGAUGUUGUAAAUUUUAGAUUAGUUUGCUAUUUAUUUUUAUUUUUCUCUCCUUUAUUGCUAAGGGACUAGCAAUAUGUCGGUUGGGGGGAGUGAUUACUACUCAAAAAGUGCUAUUUGAUAGCCUUUAAUUAAUCCUUUUUAACACUUUUGAGUAGUAGUUUAGGCCUUUUAACUCAAUUGGCAUGUUAAGGAUCCUUUAAAGCAAUUUUGAUCACUUUGUGCAAGUUUUGGUGUUUUUGUUAGUAUUUCGAUCACCAAAGCAAGUCAAGAAUGAGGAGAGCUAUGAGGAAUCUUGGGCAAAGCUUAGAAUUCAAUUGCCAAGAGUGAAUCCGGAUUGCAAGGAGAAAAAGCAAAGAGGAUCAGUCAUGGAGCAUAUUCUUGAUGACAGUCGUAGCAGCCACUUUUGGAGCACUUUCUGAAGUCCAAAUGAUGCAAGCUAUAUACCAUUUCAAAGCUCAGGAAGUCAACAAUCCAAUGCUUCAAACGGUGUGCGAUUCGGAAUUGAAACGAAGAAGUUGCAGCCAUUACAAGCCAGACACUCUAAAGUGUUGCGGAAUCAGCCAUGUGUUGCGAGAAUUUCGCAGCACUUUUGUACAGUAAGGUGUUUCUCCUUCUAACGAUGCACGAACCAUGCCGCGAGAAGGGAGCUGGAAACUUCAAGAUGGAAGCCAACUUGGCAGCCUAGUGAAGAUAGCUCGGUCUUGCAAGAUAAUUUCGCAGCCCUCUUGGGUGUCUGCGAAAUUUCGCAGGCCUCAUUUUUCACCUGCGAAAUGGCUCCUGAAGCCUCCCGAAGCUUGCUACCGACAUUGGGAGAUAUUUUCCAUUAGAUUUUUGUUGUCUAAAUCCCAAAAUACUCCUUGUAAACCACCAAUUACAUGAUUCCUUAGUUUUUAAGUUAGUAAAAAGACCAAAUAUCUUUGUAACAAUUAGUUUUAUAUUUUGUUGUUAUAAAUACCUCUCGGGAGCCUGUUCUCAGGGAGGAGUUCCUUCUGUAAACGUUUGGUAAGCAAGUAAAGUCUAUUUUCUUUCUACUGCCUUACCUUCUCACUUUGUAUUUUCAUUUUAUUUCUAAGUUAUGAAUUCUCUGAGGAGUUUUCCCCAAAGAAUGAGUAACUAAACCUCCAAUUCCUUGGAGCUAAGGUUGCCGGGGAAGGUUCCAAGUGCAAGAAUGCAAAGCUCUGUGGUUUUAGCUAGUAAUGAAGAGGAAGUGAAAUCCUUUAGUGAUUUCAAUGUUUUUAGUUAACUUAAAACACUUUGGAGUCACCUGGGCCAACACUUGGUAAGGCAAGUGAUUUCCAACCAUGGAAAUGCACUAGUUUACCCCUUGCGAGCCUCUGGUAGGUGACUUCAAGGUAGGAUUUUCUGGAAUUACCAACACUUGGUAAGCUUUUGGACUCCUAGGAGACAUCCAUUAGUUAUCUCUUGCGAGUUUGUGAAGGGAAUCCAAGGUUAAAGAUCACCUUGAAUGGUAAGUGCUCGUGAGAGGCAUGAACCAUUGCAAGUUGUAUCAGUGAGAGAAUUAAAGUGAAAUCUAAUUGAAGGAGUCUUUGUACAUCACCGGUUAGAGAAUUGACUAUAAGUUGAAUCUCUAAUGCGAGGAAAUGAACCAACUGACCAGAGCCGUGUCUUUUGCAUGAGGAACCACCCCAGUGAACCUAAAUCUCCAAGGAAUGUUUUUUUCUUCCUAAAUUAUUCCAAACUUCUGUUAAGUUAGUUAGUUUAAAUCUCAACCUUUACAAAUCAAAGUUUGUGUUUUAUUCCUUAAGCUAACCGUGAAAUGAAACAAGACCAAUUCACUUGGAAUUGGUAUCAUUGAUUGCCUGCAAAUCAUUCCCAAUGAACGAUCCUAGAGCCACUAUACUAUAGUAGCUUUGUAUUUACUACCCUAGUGUAUGGUGUUAUAGGUAUAAAUUUUGUUGAUCACUUCCUCAAUCAAGGAGCACCAGCUGAACACAAAUCAGCUGAGACACCAAUUAGGCAUGAGUCAGUCAUCUCCAUUAUUGUUUUAUUUUUUCUUUCCACCACCCCAUUUUGUUGUGGGGUGUAUGGUGCAAUGAGCUGGUGAUCUAUGCCUGCAUCUUCACAAAAUUUGUUGAAUUUUUCUGAAGUAUAUUCUGUACCAUUAUUCGACCUUAUAACCUUGAUUCUGUAUUCACUUUGAUUUUCAACCAUGGCCUUAUAUCUCAAAAACACAUCAGCAACCUCAGCUUUGUAAGUGAGAAAAUAAAUCCAACAAAAUCUUGUGAAGUCAUCAAUAAAUGCAAUAUAGUACUUACUCCCUUUCAAAGAUGGUGUCUUUUGAGGUCCACUCACAUCUGUGUGAACCAAUUGUAGUUUCUGUGUUGAUUUCCAUGCUGCUUUUUGAGGAAAAGGAAGUCUUGUUUGCUUCCCAUAUUGAUAGGCUGCACAUAUAGGAAGUUCUUCUUCCAAAUCAGGGAGUCCUUCUACAAUCUAAUUCUUCUUCAUGUAGAGCACGGUAUUGUGGUGGAAAUGCCCUAAUCUUUUAUGCCAAAGCAUUGUAUUGUUCUCGUGUUGUGCAGCAGUAAUUUGCUCAUCUUCUAACAUAUUUAAGGCAAAACUUUUGCCUUUCAUUUUUAUGUUGAACACCUCUUUGCCUUCAGCAUCCUUGAUUAUGCAAUUUUUGUCUUCAAAACAAACUUUAAACCCUUUCUCAACAAGCUGUCCAACACUUAGCAAAUUUUGGUCAAUGUCAGGCACAAACAAAACAUCAGAAAUGAGCUUUAAACCUGUUAGGCUUUCAAUAGCUAAUGUUCUUUUACCUUUUACUGGAAUAUACUCACCAUUUCCUAUUCUAACUUUGGAAAUAGUUGUCCUAUCAAUCUCCCUAAAGCGAUCUUGAUCAUGUCAUGUGGUUUGUGCAACCACUGUCCACGAGCCAGCUUUCAGAGGUGCUACCGUUUGCAAAACAUGUUGCUGAAAAUAGUUGUUCCUCCUGGUAUUGUUCAGCUGCUACAUUGGUUUCUCCCUGCUGCUGCUGAGUUCUACAGAUCCUUUCUAUGUGUCCAUGUCUACCACAUUUGUUGCAUUUCACAUCUGGUCUCCACCAACAUUUUUGUUGAGGAUGAUUUGUUUUCUUGCAAUGAGGACAGGGUGGAUAGGUUCCAGUUUUUUUAUUGUUGUUGUUGCUUGGCUUAUUGUUGUUCUUUUUGUUCUUCCUCCUUCUUGUGUUACCUUCAUUGGUCUGUGUCUUUGCUUGAAAAGCUCCUUCUACAGAACUUCCUUGCCUCAUGAGUCUUCUUUGUUCCAAAGCUUGUAAAGCAUUUAGUAGUUCUGCCAAGGUGAUACUUGACAAAUCUUUUGUGUUUUCCAAAGAAGAAAUUGUAGCUUCAUAUUUUUCAGGAAUUGUGACAAAAUUGUUUUGAACAACUCUUUCAUCAGAAAACUCUUUACCUAGCAACCUCACCUUGUUUGCUAUGGUAAGAAGUUGUUCUGCAUAAUCUUUUAUGGUUUGAGACUCUUUCAUCCUCACCAUUUCAAAUUCUCGAAUUAGAUUCAUUACCUGCACAUUUCUGACUCUUUCAUUGCCUUGAUAUUCUUCCCGUAGAUGCUUCCAGAUUUCUGCAACAGAUUCAAGUUGCAUGAUUCUGGUGAGAAUUAAUGGUGAGACUACAGAAAAUAAGCAAGCCUUGGCCUUAGCCUUCCUCGUCUUUUUCUCCUUAUGGUUUUUCAUCUGUGACACAGUUGGAUUGGCUCCAAGUGGAGAAAUUUCAUAAUCUUCCUCUAUUGCUUCCCAGACAUCAAGAGCCUGUAGAUGAACAGUCAUCCUGACAGCCUAAGUUUGGUAAUUUUCUCCAUUGAAGACUAGUGGUGCUGCUGUGAAGCUUGCUUCUUCCAUUUCUGCAAGGUUUUCAGAUUCAGGUUUGGUAUACGGUGUUUAGGCUCACACACCUCACUGGUCCCUCAAGACAAAAAUUGCUCUGAUACCAAACUGUUGGAAGCAGGCGAGGUUAACACACCAAGCAACAGAGAACAGAGAUAUGCUGCUACUGAUCUAUAUUUUUUAUUUGAUCAUAAGGCUGAAUUUAUACAGAUUGUGUAACAUAUAUGACCUCAAAAAAAGCAUCAAAUCAAGCUACUUGUUGAACAAAAAACUACCUCCUACAAAAUAGCAUCAGAAUUUAACUUAAAAGCAAAAACAUAAUAAUAGCAACAGCAAAAACAGAAACAUAAAAAUAGCUUCAACAUUCUAGUAAUCUCAUUGACUUCAAUUGCAUGUGGUUGACGAUUUCAGCCUUUUCCUCAGCAGCUACUAAGGCAUAACUCUCAACAGGGCCUCUUAAUUUCCAUUCUGGCAUCUAUAUGACCUGAUAAAUAGAAAGAAAAAAAAACAGAAGAAAAGCGGCACCUGGGUUCAUAGUAAGCAUCAAGACAGGAUGCUGAAAGAAGGGAGAGAGGAGAUUGCAAGUCCAAUCCUGAUAAAAUAUCAACAAAGAGUAUUAAAUGGGGCCAACAUAAAGACCCAUUAAGGUCAGCAGAUGGCAUGGCAUUUUUCUCCUUAAGUUUUCCAUGAUUAGGCUUGAAGUCAAAAUUUCACAUGUAAAUUUGUAUUUCUACAUUUCCCACUGACGACACCCAACUUCAACUUGAGUUAGAAUAACAUUGUGUGAACUUAUCUGGCCCUCAAAAUUUACUGUGAAGUGCUUUCUGCGUGUGAAGAUUCAGAAAAGCACCAAGGGAACAUGUAUGGUCUGCCUUUUUCUGAUGUUAUGUUUGUCUCUAAUUCUGUUCCAUGUCAUGGUAAAUGUUCACAUUGCUUGUAUGGAACACACCAGGAUCACUUUUUCAGGUUUAGGGGGAUACAAAAGGCUUCAUAUUGGGUUCAAUGCUUUUAAUGUGUUCAUUGGACAAAUCUGAAUUAUCAUACGCAUUUAGAUAAGAACAAUAAUGUGAAACCCUAGUUACACCUCCCCUGCAUAACCCCAACCCUGCUUGCUCUAUUUCAGUUUACUCACAAGUUUUACUGGUUCUUAUAAGUCAAGAAAAGGCAACUGAUGUUGGAUCGACUCUCUUCCAUGUAAAAAAUGCAACUUUUAUACAUAUAAAAGAACUUCUUCCCCUCACCAAUGUGGGAUUUCAUAGAUUUAUUCUGGAAACACAUCAAAGGAACAUCUUUUCUCUUGGGUGACCCUAAGUGGUGAGUCAGAUCAUUUGCAUGCCAUUGAGUUGCACAGUUGGAUAAAUGCACCUGCCUCCUGGGCUCCAGAGUUAAAAGGGUGGAUCCCUGGAUUGCAACCCUCUUGGCAUCUUGGUUUCUAUUCCAACAUCCACAUGACUUGACAAAACAAAAAACAGAAUAAAAUCAGCACUAUAUUCAUGCUAAGCACCAAUACAUGAUGGAAAUCAUUGCUUAAAGAUUUGGGGUCGUUUUAGGUUUUGACUGCCUCCUACCACCUCACCUAAUGACAAGUUUUUAUGCUUACAAAUCAAAUAUCGUUCUUCAUUAUAUUAAAAUCAUUUUAAGAUUUCAGAUCCAUCUGCUAAUUAUGAUUAUGAUAACAUUUAUUCACCUGUGCUUCUCAUUUUCGACACACAAGGCAUCUAGGUUUGCAGGAUUUCCUUAUUAGAUGAGAUAAAUGAGUACGUAUGGUUAUGUAUCCAGCAUUCAUUAACCAUGGUAUGUGACAUUUAGAAUUAAGAUAGCAAGCAAACUUUCCCUGCAGCUAGAGUAAAUUGUGAUUUCUUAGCCUCUAUGAGUGGUUCCCAAAUCAAAUUAACAUAGUGAAAUAUACGUAGUCCAGUGAAAGGAAAUGUAAAUUAUAAACUAACAGCACUACACUACUGGUAACAAUCGAUACUCUCUAUAUAAUGCAAUAAACAAUGUCACAAUUGCCUACAAGCAAGGCACAAACACUAGAACAAGUAAAGCACAAACCUUUCCCAACAGUUCCCAGUGACUGAUGCAUAUCAUACCCUCAACUCACAGAAGGGGAUGAUAUCAGUGCACUGCAGCACUUAUUUUACACAUACUACCACUACUACUACUACUACUACUACUCAUUAGCCAAAGUCACUCAGUUGGGAUGAGUGUGAGGUAGAGGUUUGUGGGGUGCUAUGUGGAAAGGAGUUUGGCUUCUUCUCAGGAGAUGGUAGCUUCUUUGCAGGAGUUGAAGGAGGCUUAAUCUUCUGUGGUGGAUUGAUUGUAUGAGUCUUUGGCACUCUCUUCUCUAGUACAGGUGAAUACCCAGGGGUGCAUCCAUAAUGCGGUGGCUUCUAUCCCUUAGGUGGUUUGCCAAAUUCAAAAUCGAAGGAUUUUUUUUUUUUAAGUAUACGUAUCUUUGAAAGCUUUUAUUUUGUAUGGCAAAUGGAAUGAGAGGAGCAGUCAUAUUCUAUUUGGCCAGAGCAACAUAUCACAAAUGAACAAGCUAUUUACUGCCACACUGGGCAAAACAUACAUAAUCCUUGUACUUCAAACAUCCAUGAAUUCUCAUCAUUUUCAGGACACGUUGCAUGGUCUAUCAUUCUAUAUGUCGGCAUAGUAAGUGCAGCUAAUAAGCCUAUUCAGAGCUGAAAUUCAAAAUCUAUUCACAGGAUAAUGACCUUAUUAUUGGAUUUUGCUCACUGUCAUACACACAUAUCAGAUAAAGCCCCACAUGCUCAUAAGCUACAAGCAACCUACAAGCACUAAAAUGAGUGUUAGACGUAUGAAACAUUCCCCAAUACUAGUAGUAUUACCUGUUCCAUAGAACACUAAAUUAGAAGAGAGAAGAUGUGAGACUCCAGCUUUUCUUUCUACAUAUUACUCAUAUCAAGUUGGAAUAGUUAGGCGGUAGAGGCUUGGGGUGGCUUGUGUAGGGGACUAGGCAGCUUCUCUCAGGAGUUGAUUUCGUCUUAUUCUGGAUGUCCAGGUUUCGUCCUUUCGAAUUUCCCAUGCAAAUCAGCAUUCUCCUUGGGAAACUUCACUCCGUUGGGAAACUUGUGUGAAUCUUUGGCAUUCUCUACCAGAGAAGGCCCAGGGCAGUGACCAUAAGGUGGUGGCCUUUUUUCAGGUGGUGGCUCCUCUCCCACUGGAGGCUUGUGGUAAUCAGCAAGAGAGGCAGUGGAGAGAAUCAUCACCCCAAGGAACAGCACUAGCAAGUAUUUGUGAGCCAUAUUUGGGAUCUGAUGAUGAAGACUAGAAGAUAGGAGUUGCCUCAUAUAAUGGGUUGGAGACUAUAUCUCAAGGGGACGUGUAUUUAUGCAUAUGAUCUAUAUAGGACCAUCCUCCUAAUAUUUUCAAAAUAAUGUUAUUGUCUCUCUUGGGUGACAGUUUGAUUUGGUCUAUUUCCAUGCCACUGAGUAGAAAAGUUUGACAAUUGGCUACACCACCUACCUGGAUUACAUGGUUGAAAGUGAAGAUCAGUACAGUGUGAUCACACUUGACCUCUUGUUCCCCAUUCCAGUAUCUAAUUAACCUGACAAAAGUAAAAGGAAAGGAAAAAGGGAAAAAAUAGAAUAAUGUUCAAAUAAAAACGAGAAAAAAUAGCAUAAUGUUGAUGAAUCAUGAUAAGCAUCAAGGCAUGAUAGUGAGAGAGAGGAAAGAAGACAGUGUAAUUUGCAAUCCUGAUAAUCAUUAUAUAGCAGUAACUUUAAUCAUUUUUCUAUCACAGGGAACAUGACACUCAUCUUCCUAUGGAGAUAUUGCAUAAGUUUUUUUCUUUGUAUGUCAACACUAACCAAUGAAGCAUGUUAGCUGGUUUGAAACUGAAACUGUAGCCCUCUGUUUGGUUCUUGAAAAACUUGAGAGAAAAUGGAAGUAAAGUUAAAAGGAAAGAAAAAGUGAAAAAAAAUAAAAAUAGAUUGAAAGUUAACAAAUUAUUUUUACAUGUUCCCUCAAAUUUCUUUCACUUAUUUUUCCUUUUCUAUAUAAAGAUUAAAUGAUUUAAAAAUCAUAAAUUUCUAACUAAUUAUAACUAUAUUUGAUUUUCUUUCAUAUUUUCCAAGAUAAAGUCAGACAUGAGAAAAUCAUUUUCCUUAAAAAAGAAAUUCUUUCCUUUACAGUUUCUUAGAACCAAACCUGGCACAAAAGUCCAAAUUGGGGUUUCUCCAUGUUCCAUUUUUUAUGGCUACCUUUAUGGACCAUAUAAUAUAGAAUGUACUUCUGCAUACCUUCAAGAUCAAGCUGAACUAUAAGAAAAAGACAAGCCAUGGCCCACGGAGCAGGGAUACCAAGCUGCCUUCUCCUAGAUUAAGUUCCAAGAUUUCAGUCUUCAAACCUGCUAAAAGCUAAAGGCAUGUUUCCAGCCUGCGGCAGAUAACAUGCACUGUCCAACAAUAAAUUGCAAACACAUUCGAUGCAGUUUAUUAGUACAAUAAGAUUAAAUCCACCAAAUCUUUUACAGUUCAACCAACACUUGAACUAGUAGCUAGCUUCACUACUGGGUAAUAAUAUAUAAACCAAACUCUUGAUAGGAACCAACCUAUCGCAGAUCGAACUUCUUACAUCCACCAUGAAUUACUGAACCAAAAGAAGAAUCGAAGAGACUGCCAAGGAGGAAAGCCUUCCUAUAACUAGAUAUUUAUAUUCCAAAUUAGGGAGAGCACCCACUGCCCAGGCCUCGCCCAGCAUAAACAGAUAGUAUACAUAUACAUGCAAAAAGCUCCAACCUUCAAGAUUUUAACUAUUAACUUAACACAAUUAAAAAUGUAUCCAAAAAGCAAAUCCCCUUGAACUCCUGAAGCAAUUACUCCAACCAAAUAAAGAUUUUAAGAGUUCCAUGUUCAUAUCCUGCAAGGAAAUCAUUCAAUGUUCAGACCUCUAAUUUCUGUCUUUCUAAAUGCCCAGCCAAAAGGCAUAAAGUAUCAUCCAAAUUGGAUGCACAGCAUAUGUUCUUAAAUCAUGGGAUUUCACCAUAAGUUACUACACUCUAACAGGGCCCAGAAAUUGACCUCCAGAUAUGCCUAUCAAAAAAUUAUCCCCACAUACAUUUUUCUGCUGAAAAGACAAUAUUGUUACAUUUGACAUUCAACCACUACUUGAACUCAACAACCAGGGAAAAGAAUAUAGUAUUUCUACCAAUGAGGAUGAGAGGGGCUGGUGAAUUAACAGGUAAAAGUUUGUUUUGGGUUCAUUGUUUGCAUAAUAAUGUAAAAAUGGAGUAGUAUAUUAUAAAUUAAUGUAAAAAUGGAUUAGCAUAACAUAAAUUGCCAUAAGAGAACCACAAACUACAAAGAAACUUAUUUUCCAAACAAGGAAAAUUAUUCAUAGCCAUUAUUACAUAAGAAAGGAAAUUGAUAAAAUUAUUAUCCAGUUCCCCAUCAGGAAAUAUGAAAGUACUCCUAAAAGCCUCAAUUCUAACCAGAAAACCAUAGAAAUGUAUUAGAAAUAUUGUACAGGGUUCUCUCCAAUAUUAGCUUCAGUUGCUAAGGAGAUCAGAACCUUGAAAGUAAGUCACAAAGGUCGUGUGGGUUUCCCAGAGUCUUCAACAACCAGUAUUCACAUAUGUACACAUUAAAAUUAAAUAAAGCAGGUAUCAAUUCCACAGGCUUUAAGAUUUGAAUUGCUUCUCCCUGGAAUCAUACACCACUCAUAUUGUCACUGACUUUCAAUUACUUCUCCCUGCGAUCAUAUGCCACUCAUAUUGUCACUGCCUUAGGGAACAAAGUGAAAAUCUGCAAUUUCAAUUAAUUCCAACAUAAAAAUAAAAAUCAAUCCUCAAAAAAUGGAUUGCCAGGAGGUAAAUAUAAUAGAAGACGAACAACUCUCACAACCAAGUUAAAGAAACCAGCCGCUAGGUACCUUUGAGUUCUAUACUACCAGGAACAAAUUGGAUGAGAUUAUUUAAAGGCUAUUCCACAGUGGAAAUUCAUUCGUUCAAAAAACAUUUGUCAUGCAUAUAGGCAAUCUAUCCUAUGCAUUCAUACAUCAUGGUCUCAUGCAAUCUUAAUAAAAGUGGUCCUGGAAAAAGAGAGAAAAAAGUAAUUACAAGCCUGUGCGACCAGAUUUCUUUUGUUUUUUUUUUUUUUUUCCUUUGCCAAACAACCAUGUUCAUAGUUUCAGAAGUUCAUUCUGUCUUUAAGAGACCAUGGCAGUGACUUGGCCAUUCAGCUAAGANNNNNNNNNNNNNNNNNNNNNNNNNNNNNNNNNNNNNNNNNNNNNNNNNNNNNNNNNNNNNNNNNNNNNNNNNNNNNNNNNNNNNNNNNNNNNNNNNNNNUCACCAAGGACUCCUCAACCUCAAAAUAAUAGAGAAAGUCUAGGACACCAUGUCACUACUGAGGACAACCCAACACCACAACAUUUCAGUCCGUUCAAAAAGAGUAAUUGGAAUUGUUGCAAAAAAUGUUCAACUAGUCCCAACAGGAGGCAAAUUCCUCCAUUUCUUCAUCGGGUCCGGAUCCUUUGCUCAAAAAGGUAAUUUUCUUACUGCCCUAAAAGAAAAAGGGAAAAUGUGAGUCAUUGGAUUGUUGACUCAGGAGCUUUUGAUCACAUGACUAGAGUGCCACAAUUUUUCAAAAUUAUACACCUUGUUUUGGGGAUGAUACAAUUCGUAUGGCUGAUGGUUCUCUCUCAAAGGUGACUGGUACAAGUUUUAUUGUCAUCUCUAAGGACCUAACUCUUGACUCUAUUCUUUUGGUUCCAAACUUGGAUUGCAAUCUAUUGUCCAUUAGUAAACUCACUUAUGAAAAGAACUAUGUUACUAAAUUUUUCCCAAACCAUUGUGUUUUUUAGAAUUUGAAUUCGGGGAAGACGAUUGGCAAUGUUGAAGUGUGUUUAGGACUCUAUGCCUUCAAAGUGAAUUAUUAUAUUGAAAGACAAUCUUAACCAACAGUUGGUGAAAAAUGGUGUCUUUUUGUCUUUAGUUCUAAUAAAGAUAGUGAUGUUAUGUUAUAGCACUAUUGUCUAGGACAUCCUAGUUUCUUAUAUCUCAAAAAACUCUUUCCAUGGUUUUCAGUGUGAAAUUUGUCAACUAUCCAAGCAUCUUUGCAAGCCCUAUCCAUAGUUUUAAAAGACUUAAGGCACACCAAGACGCAAAGUCCUCUUGGAGCCUUAGGCGCAAGGCACACCUAAGGCGCGAACUUUAGUAAAGUGAGGUGCAUCCUGUUUUACAUAUAUAUUUUUAUAUAAUACAAUCAAGUGCCCGAAAAUUUUCCUCUAAUUUUCCCCUUCUUCUUCAUCCUCUUCUCUUCUUCACAUUGUUCGGGAGGCUAGGACAUUUUUUUUUUUUUACAUGUCUAAAACAAGCAUAUAUUGGGUUUUGGAAGAAGAACAAGCCAAAAUGACAUCGUUUUGGAGCCUAAUCUUUUAAAUAAAUAAAUAAAUAAAUAAAAACCAGCCAAAAAUGACACCGUUUUGGCCCCUGUUCUUUUAAAAGAACAAACCAAACAACGUCAUUUUGAUCUCAGGAAAUUAAAAAAACAAAACCCUCGUCAUUCUCCCUUUGCUACUCUACAACUCAUCGUCAAAGGGUAAAAAGAUGACCAAAAGAAGAAGAAGAAAAAAAAAAAACGACGACAGAGGAUAGAGGUGCACCUGUUGAGGGCGUUGCGCCUAGCCAAGAGGCGAGCGCCUUGCACACUUAAUCAACGCCUCUGUGAAGGGGCGGCUCCUGCAAUCAGGCGAAGCGCUGAAGGGUGAUGUCACAUCGUCUAGAGCCUAGGCGCACCUUUCACAACUAUGACCCUAUCCAACUCAACCAUACAAACCAUCUCAUCUUUUUUCCAUACAUAGUGAUGUUUGGAGGUCAUCUAAAAUAAAGAACAUAACAGGGACUAGAUGGUUGAUGAUCAUACUAGAAUUUCUUAGAUAUUUCUAAUGAAAAAAAAAUCAAAAAUUAGUCAAAUUUUCUAAAAGUGGACCAGAAUUUCUUUAUUGAAUUAAAAAGUUGAAAUUAAUAUUUUGGAAAAGUUAGGGCCGCUCAAGAGGUAGAAAUAGCGCUCGAGUGGUAGAAAUAGCGCUCGAGUGGUAGAAAUAGCCCUCAAGUGGUAGAAAUAGCGCUCAAGCGCUAGGACCGCUCAAGCACUUAACUAGCGCUUGAGCGCUCAUAUAGAAUCUGCCAGAAUAUGGAAGAAUAUUUUUUGGAUAAUCAUGAAAAUUGGAUUUGGAAACUUUAGAAUAUCAAUCUCCUUCGGCCUAGAGGUUUAUAUAAACCCUAUUAUAACCCUUUAGGGUUAAGAAAUUCACCAAGUGGUUUACCCUAACUUGUCAUACCAUUCCCGAUCUCUCAUCAAGGAAUCAAAGUGUUUAAUCUUGGGUUGUUUGAAGACCUGCAUCCCUUCAACAAGGCUAAGGUGUAUUCACUAGAACAAUUGAAAUUGUUGCAUUGCGGACAUGAAUCAAGUUGCAGGUUCUAGAGAGUAAGUCUUUAGAAUAAAGCAGACAAAGAGUUCUAUGUGACUUUAUCUCAUAUAGUGGAUUUAGCUUUGAGGUCUUAGACCUCGUGGGUUUUUAUCUCCAUAGUUAGUGUGGGGGUUUUCCACAUAAAAAUUAUUGUGUCUCUUGAUCUUAUGUUUGAUUUUAGAUAUUCUAUUUAUCCCUGAUAUCUCACAGGUUAACUUUAGGUUAAAAAUUCAACUCCCUAUUUAAUAAUUUUUAAAAUACACCCAUUCACGAGUGUUAUCCUACUGGACAUUGGUUUUUCACCAUAUAUAACACUCAUACCAAAACCCAUGCAACAUGGACUCCAACCUUAAGCUUAACUUUCUACGAAUGGAAAAAAAAAAAGACAUAACAUAAAUAGACAGAUUUAACAACAUGCUCCUAAUCAAGGUGAAUGUCCCUCUUUUUGAAAGAUAUGACCUUUUCCAUACGAGGAGCUUUCUUUAAAAUUUCACCUCUACCAAUUCCCAUGCCUUUACAAAGUUGUGGAAAGCUCCAAAGAGAAGGCCCAGACAUGUAAUGGGUAGAUUCCCUACCUUAGAACCUUACACCAAAGCUAAACCCCUAAUAUUUGUGACUUCUAUAAGAAUCAAUUCAUUUUUUUCCAUAUUUAUUUCUAAAUCAGACAUUGCCUCAAACCACAUGAAGUUAUAACUUGGAUGUUACAGAUGCUCUUAAUUAGUGUCACAAAAAAAUAGGGUAUCAUCAUCAAACAAGAAAUGUGACACUUCCAUCCCCUCCUCCUGUCUUCCUCCCACUUUGAAACUUGAGAUGUAACCCCUUUUAUCUAAUUCUCCUCAAAAUUCAAUUGAAAGCCUUCAUUGCCAAUAUGAAAAUGUAAGGGGAGAGAGGAUCUUUCUACCUCAAAUCCCUUGAGCUCUCAAAGAAACUGAAUAGGACACUAUUUACUAGAAUAGAGAAUUGAGUAGUGGAAAUGAACCAUUUGAUCCACCUCACCCACUUAUGAUCAAAGUCCAUUUUAUCCAACAUCAUUAACAAAAAGUUCCAAUUUACAUGGCCAUCGUCCUUUCCAAUGUCUAACUUGCAAAUUACCCCACUAUUGGGACUCUUUAACCUUGAAUCUAGAGCAUCAUUUAUGAUUAGAACUGCAUCUAGAAAUUGUCUGUCUUCCACAAAAGCAUGCAAAUAAACUAAAACUAUUUUACCCACCACAUUUUUUAGUCUUUUAGCCAAGACUUUUUCCAAUAGCUUGUACAAAAAAACCCCCAACUAAGCUAAUCAAUGUAAAAAAUUUUAGGUUCUCUGCUGCACCUAUAUUAGGGAUCAAGACCAAGAACAUGACAUUUAAAUUUUGCUCAAAGGAACAAUUAUCAAAAAACUCCCCAAGCUCAUUUGCCAAAAUAUUAUAAUAAAUCCAUUUGGCCCCUACAGCUUUAUCCCCACUCAAGCUAGACAAGGCAACAAGAAAUUCCUCAUCAAAGAAAGGUAACUCCAAUUUCCUAGAAUCAGCACAUAGCAUAACUUCAAAGGUCAUCCCAUUAAUGUUGAGUCUCCACUCGCCCAUAUCAGAUAGGAGAUUUUGGAAGGCCCUAAACUCCCCUUCCUUUAUAUUUGCUUCCCAAGCAACCAUUUUGCAUUCACUCAAAUUUUAAACAUGAAGUUUUUUAUUCUUUGGGCAUUGACCAUUUCAUGGAAAAUUUUGGUGUUUUUAUCCACCCCCUCUUUUAACCAAAUUUCUCUUUAUUUUUGCCCCCAUACAUAUAGAUUCUUCUAACAAGGCCCACUUGCUAAACUCAAUCACCACUAACCUUUGGCCUCAACGAUUUCAAGAGAUAAGGUAACUGCUCUCUACUUUGAGUCCCAGAAGUUGAUCCAGUUUAGCACCUCUAGGUUUUUUGUUGAGACAUUCCCAAAACCUUCUUCAUUCCAAGAUUUUAAAUCUCGUUUGACAGCCUUUAGUUUAACUUCCAAAAUAUGACCAUACAAGCCAUCCACAUUAUAACCAUCAACCAACUCCUCACAAAAUCUUUUAAGCCUUUUGUUUUAGGCUACAUAUUUUAAAAUGUAAACUGUGUUUUCCCACUCCUUAUCCUACCUCCAUCUAAAACUAUGGGGUAAUGACCAAAAAUUGGUUUAGGUAAAAUACUCUAGAUUAAAGUAGAAAAACGAUUCUACCAAUCAUCUGACACUAGGAAAUGGCCAAGCUAGCCUUGAAGAAGACAAAAGAUUAUGAACACCACUCCAAGUGAAUAGCCCUCCAACUAGCGAAAGAUCCCAAGGUCAAGUCCUCUAUGUCCUCUGAAAAGAACCUCAUAUCAAACAACAUUCUAAGGCAAUUCCUCCUUUUCAUGGGGAACUUGACCAUAUUAAAAUCCCCUCUGAAGCACUAGAGGUCAUCCCAAAGGCCUCUUAUGGCACCCAACUCUACCCAGAAAUCCACUCUUUCUCCCCUUUAAACCAACCCAUAAACUCUUACGUAUACCUAGACAAAGCUAUCUUCACAAUUCAUAGACAAGCAAUAGAGAAUGCUUCCACCUCCUUACCAAUUAACUCUAAUACCCUACUAUCUUGGAAAACCAAAAUGCCUACUAUCAAGCUUCUAACUUCCAAUACCAUUUCAAAAAUUUUCCUACUCCUAAACUCCUUACCAGUUGAACGAACAUCUAUCGAACCUUGGUUUCUUGUUAACAAACUAGAUCAACCCCUUGAGACCUUAUCAAUGACUUUAUUAUCAUAUACUUUUCCUCAUCAUUUGCUCAUUUGACAUUCCAAGACAGGAUUUUUAGCUUCAUCAUGCAACCUAUGUUGGAUCCUAACUGCUACUCUUGGAGCCCUUUUCCUUUUUGUUGAGCUUUUAUAAUUGACUAAGCAUCCCAACUUGUUGAGGUCCCUCUCAAACCAAGAUAUCGAGGUUAACUUCCUCUUCACCUCCAACGAAAAAACAGAAACCCCUCUCCUUAGCCUGCCACACAAGGGAAAAGAUCUCUUUUUCAAAUCCAUCAACUGGCAUUCUUGAGAAACUAUUGAAAUUUGCCAACUUACAAGAUAUACAAUUGGAGGAGUGCUUCUCUACCAAACAACUACUAAAAUUCACCUCAAAGGUGACCUUUUCCCCUGAUCUCUCCCCGGCCUCCAUACCCACUGACCCUUUCACAAAAUUUUCUAGAAUUUCCACUAUCAAGCCGUUACGGAGAACCAUCCUCAACAAACUCCUUUGACUAAUGUGAAAAACCCCACCCAAGAGCAUCUUCCAGAAGUUAACUUACAAGAUUAACUAUAAUCUUGUGAAGACUCGUUACCUAAUGGGUAAAAAAUUUGAAAUUCUAUUAGUAUAAUUCUUUUUAGGCACAAAAGCUGUGAAAAUAGCAUUGGUGCUCUAAUUAAUAACCCCAUAAUUAUUAAGCAAUAAAACAACUUUUAAUAAAUUCUCUUUCACCACAUCCCACCAAUCCUAAUGCAAAAAAGCUAGGAAAAAGUCAUCAUUGCUCUAAGCAUUUCUCCUCACUAGUUGAAAGACUGCUUUAUGAACUUCCUCUUCGACAAAAGGACAAUCCAACCAAUUAGCACCAUUUUCCAAAAUGAGAGACCAACCCCCACUCUUCUAUCCUCUAAGGAUCUUCAUAUAACCAUUAAUGCCUUUCUAUACCAGCUAGUAUAUAUCGGGUUUUGGGCAAGUCCUAUAAAUUGGUUUGAGUAAGAUUUUUAAUUACCCUGUUCUUUCUUUUUAGUUGAUAAAUAUGCAUAUAUGUAGUAAUUCAUACAUCAGAAAAGAUUUUGCUAAAACAAAAGAAUUGACAUGCAGAUAGUGACUUCUUGAUAAGAGUAAUAGCUUAAGGGAGGAAAAUGAACUCCUCCAGUGGCCCCAAAGUGGUAAGUUCCUUCAGAUCCCAUGUUGCUAUUCUGCAUUUCUUUGUGUUUUGGCAUCAGCCCUCUUAAUUAAUUCACUAUCCAGCUUCUCAAAUUCCUCGGAUUCUUCCCUUGUUCUUGUGGAAACAUCUGCAUCUUGUCCUUGCAUUGUUAUGGAUUGGUGAUUAUCAUUCUUUGAGAACUGUGUGGCAGCUGCUCGUGCACCAGCUAUGGCUGCAAGGAGACCUUCUGGUUUCUUGUCUUCAGCAGCUUUGGAGCCAUCAAAGCAAGAAACAAGUAAUCCUGGUUUCAAAGAGAGGGGAUCUUGUGGUUCUGGAAGCAGAAACUUGACAGGUAGUGGAGCUUGAACAGGACGAAGACCCCUAACUGCUGCCUCAUAUAUCUGCAACAAUUUCAGGGGGGAUAAGUAAUUAAAAAUCAGUCACUCUAUUGCAUUAGUUAGACUUGCUUUCAAUGCGAUAGCAAAGAAAGAAUCAUCAAUGAAAAAAGAAAAAAUAAAUGAAAAAGAACAAAAAGGAGAGGGAAAAAAAAAUGAUGGGUGCUCAAUUUGUACUUUUCUUUCCAGGUUAUAAAUACGUUGGUACCCGCGCAUCUCAAAUGGUAUGAUUAAUUUCUGCAUCAGGUCAGGAGAACUAAGUCCAUCAAUAUACUAAAAAGCAAAUAUACCAAAAGGCAAGCAAAAAUGUUUAACCAUCUUGAGUGUCAAACUCUCCAAGAAACUAUAUACUUUUAGCUGAAUGAAAACACAUGCCUGUGGUUGCUCACAGAGCCAGCAAAACUCUGUUUGCGCUUCUAGCCUUACCUACAAAUAGAGUUUAGGUUAUCCAACCAAAAUGGAGAUACAUCACACAAAACAAACUGUACCUAAUCAGUUUACGAAGGGGACGGGGGGAAGCAAAAAGCAAAAGUAAAUUUCUAAGAUGCCCACCCCUUCAGGUACCUCCUUCCAGCACGCCAGCUCUUCACAUUUAACACAACCAACUACUUCAAUACAACCUGUGGCAAGAAUAGAGUUUGUUGGAUUUAUUGUAGCAUGCCAUACAGAAAAAUUUAGCAUUUCAGUAAGAAUAAGAAUAAGAGAGCUACUUUCCACUAAAAUACGAAUCACCCAUCAACUGUUGCAAACAGACAACAAUGUGAAUAACAGGUUUUAUAUAUAUAUAUAUAGAGAGAGAGAGAGAGAGAGAGAGAGAGAGAGAUAGAUAGAUAUAGAGAGAGAGAGAGAGUCAAAUAAUAAUAAAGGACAAAAAUAUUUCUUUGAGAAAGACUAAUUAGAAAGAAGAAACAAAGAACCCACAUGAAAUCAAUUUAGAUAAGAGAAAUACCUUUAAGAAUCUAGUUCUUUUUGCAAAUUGCAACUUAGAAUUGGAAUGCCACAUAUUAUUAUAAGGUAUCACAAGAGAUUAUUGCUUCAUUUUUUUUCUUUGCCAGAUCAGUUUUAAUAAAUAUAAAUAUAAAAAUAUAAGCAUGUACACACACACACGCAAACACAUUAUGUGUGUAUGUUUAUGGAUAUGUAGAUAUAGGUUUUUAAUAAUAGAGCAUGAAAACAUAUCUAGUCAGAAAUUCCAAAAAUCCAAAACCAUUAGCAACACCUAACAGUCUUGAAACUGGGUAAUGUUCUGGAAACUUGAGGUCUGCUAUCCCAUUCACAGCAUAGAUCUCCCUGUAGAAAUUCUCCAUUGCUUUGAUUGUGUCUGAAUCUGGGACCUUACUAGCAGCAUGAAUCCAGAGUCGGCCUUCAUAAAACAAAACAUGUAUAUUAAGAAAUAUCCUUGUAGAACAGUAACAUUUUUGCCAGCAUGCAAUUCGUGUUAAUAAUCCUUGGUUCUCACCACUCAUUGUACAUUACAAUGUAAAGACCUAAUAAGCCCUAAUAUAGGUAGGUGUCUGUGCAGAGAGAGAGAGAGAGAGAGGGGAGGGGGGUGAAAGGAAAGAUGAUUAUAGAACAAAUACAAGUUGAAUCUCCUGAAAUAAUGUCCAUCAAGUUAUUUCCUAGCAACAAGUACUGAUUAUGCUUUUCCUGAUAACAUGAUUUUCUUUGCUAACAACCAUACUAUAUUUUAUCAAGAAAGAGUAGUGCAUGUGGCGUGCAUCAAGACCCAUUAGAGUUCCGCUAAACCUAUAGUUCUGUCAACGUUAUCAUUUACGUUUCCUCUAGAUAAUGGCAUUUUCCUCUAAAACUCUUGCACCAUUAGGCUUCAAGUCAAAAUUUCACAUGUGAACUUUGGAAAUUUUCUCCAUUUGCCCCUAAGGAUACAGUUAGAAUUGACUUAAAAUCCUGAUUGAUGUAUACUUUUAACCGAAGAAUAUUGUAUAUAAUAAUUGAAAUAUUGUUGAUUCAUCGUGGAAAUACAUUUUGUAAGGAAAGUUGUUAAGAAUUUAGUAUGCUAUAUGGAGAAAAAAGUCAUGACUUAAGGUUGAGUAUGUAUAUUCUAUAUCAAAUAUUAGGUAGGAAUGUGGAAAAGAGCAGAGUGUAAUUAUAAGAAACAAAGAAAUAUAAGAUAUUCUUGAAAGUGGAAAAUGUAAAAUGGCUAAAAGUCAAAUUUAUGAUGCAUAAGGGGGAUCAUGUCACAUAAGAAACUCAUGGCAUACCAAAUACGUGUGGUAUGGAGUAACAAUUUUGUUAAAAUAAGUUUCUCGUUGGAGUACAUUAGGUGACAAUUUUUUAAUAUCAAAUUAAAGAGUCAAGUGCAUCAAUGAAGUCAUAUGUAGAAAAUUUGUUUGUGACAUGUACCAUAAAGAUAAGAUUGACUUGAUAUAAUUUAGUCCAGGUAGGAGUUGUUAAAGGUGUCUCAAAUUUCUAAUUGAUAUAUAUUUUUUUCUAAAAAAAUAUUAUAUAGAUAUUUCAAUAAAUGAUUAAUUCUUUGUAAAAAUACUUACAUAAUAAAAAACAUCAUUAGAAAUAUCUCUAUAAAUAUUUUAAAUCACAAAAAGAAAAAAAAAAUCACUAUGAGAUAAUUAUAAACAUGCAACAUUGUACCAAGUAAACAGAAAUGUGAUAAAAAAAUUUUGAGAAACACUAAAUAAAGGAAGGGCUUGUAUAUCAAGAUGUAAAUAUAGAGAGCAAUAUUUUUAAUCAUAUGAUAGAAUUAUUUUCUCUCAUUCAUGAUUAUAAGCAAAAUUGGGAACCAUUAUAAAAUCUUGUACACCUCGUGUAAAUUGAUGUUUGUCUUCAUAUUUUACACCAACAAAUGACAUUGAAGUUGUCAUUGAUAAAAGGGAAAAGGCAUGGCCUCCACACCAUGUGCUUGAAUCGUAUGGUUCAAGUUUAAAGAAUUUUCUCCAUAAUUUGAAGAUCUAAAACAUUUUCACCUUUAAAUUUCAUUUAAUUAUUAAUAUCUACAAAAAAUAGUUAAAUACUCUUUCUAUUUUUGAGUUGUUGAAUUUUUUGAAAGUUUUUAUAUUUGUUAUCAAGAAUUUAUAUUUUAUUAAGUGUGAAUAUUUAUAAAUAAGAUAUUAUAUAAUAUUUGGAUAAGAGAGAAUGGUGGAAUAUAAUAAAGUUUUAAUCCUUCCCAAUUUUUAUCUUUUUUUUUUUUUUUUUUUAUAAUCGCCUUUCUCUUUCAAUCCUAUUAUCAGGUACCUUAUAUUUGCUGAUGCUAUCUGGAACUAAAUUCCAAUCAGACAUUGUCCAAUUACUAAUAGGACAGAUCAUGUCUCUCUGUUUCUAAACUAACAUGUAUCGUAAUGUGGCCUCAUAAGGAAGGCUAGGAAGAUGGAGGAUUUUGUGGGAAGCGACCAGAAUCAGAUGGAAGAGAGAUAGCCCUGUUGACCUAAUGGCUGUAAUAGGAGAAGCGUGUGGAUUUAUGGGACUUAACUGAUACUAAACCUAUAUGAUGCUUGGAGUGGUGUUUCUUUCAUUUUGUUAAGAAAAUAUGGCAGCAUACAUCCUUUCAAUUGAGUGCAUCAGAGCAUCCAUAAUAGAUGGUCUGCAACCCUAGGUGCAUGCCACUUUCUGACUGAUAAUGAAACUGUCAGGUACUUGGCCUUGACUAAGCUCAACAGCAUCACAUAAAAAGAAGCUUUCAUACUUAGAUUACUGUUUAAAGCUUUUGCUUAUUUGCUUUCUUAAUGCCAUUAUGACAUUAUUGUUUCAAUUCUGCUACCGAUUUUCGAAGUUCUGGGCAUCUACUGAUUGCAUCAUUAUAUGAGAAGUUGCAUGAGUUUAUGUAUCCUGUUAUUGCUCCUUUGCGAUUUCACUGCUCACGGGACUAACCUCUCCAUUCAGUCGAAAUGAAUUGUAAUUUCUUUACUGGUAGCAGUAGUACUUUUCAUAGCAAAGAUAAUAGUAAAUAUGAAAUAUAAAUAGAAGGAAAUCUGAAUUGUAGAUGGCACUAUAAGUAACACUCAAUAUUCACUACAUAAUAAAAUAGACAGUGUUACAAAGGUAGAGAAACCUACAAUGAGUACUCAUCACCAUUCUCAAACAGAAACAUAGCAGCGACUUAUACAUAGAACCUAUAGGCUUGCAGGGAAAGAAGGGAAAGAGUAACAUGAUAAGUUCACAGCGGGUAGCAGCUCUUAUUUUACGUAUUACUCAAAAUCUCAAACUAACCAAAGUCACUCAGUUGGGAUGGGUAGGAGAUGGUGGUUUGUGGGGUGGCUUCUGGGUAGGAGCUGGUGGCUUCUUUGUUGGAGUUGAAGGAGGCGUAAUCUUCUGAGGUGGCUUGUAUGAGUCUUCGGCACUCUCUGCAGGAGGGUGCCCAGGGUUGUGACCGGAAGGAGGUGGCUUCUGUCCCUUUGGUGGUUUGCCUAAUGGGCUUGGUGGCUUGUGCUCCGGGAGUUGUUUCUCUCCCUCGAGUAGGUUUCGAGUUUUGUCAGAUGGCUUGUGUUCUGGUGGUGGCUUCUCUCCCUGGGGUGGUUUGCCGAAUGGGCUUGGUGGCUUGUGUUCGGGGAGUGGCUUCUCUCCCUGGAGAAGGUUACGAGUUUUGUCAGAUGGCUUUUGUUCUGGUGGUGGCUUCUCUCCCUGGGGUGGUUUGCCAAAUGGGCUUGGUGGCUUGUGUUCGGGAACUGGCUUCUCUCCCUUGGGAGGUUCAUUUGGUGGCUGGUGUUCCGUAGGUGGUUCCUUCACCGGCGGCUUGUGCUCCGGAAGCGGCUUCUCUACCUGGAGAAGCUUACGAGUUUUGUCAGAUGGCUUGUGUUGUGGUGGGGGCUUCUCUCCCUGGG
RNAcentral lists this long non-coding RNA (96256 nucleotides) under Vitis vinifera (wine grape). Its description in RNAcentral is "long non-coding RNA (VVIN_LNC001392)". Lineage: Eukaryota; Viridiplantae; Streptophyta; Magnoliopsida; Vitales; Vitaceae. The record is from RNAcentral.